RNAcentral lists this long non-coding RNA (95028 nucleotides) under Hordeum vulgare. RNAcentral's name for it is "long non-coding RNA (HVUL_LNC006881)". Lineage: Eukaryota; Viridiplantae; Streptophyta; Magnoliopsida; Poales; Poaceae. The record is from RNAcentral.
UUUUUCCUCCACAAAACGGCAAUAUCGUACUGGUGAUGACAUUGUUCAAAUUGUUCCUACAUGCCAUUAACAAUUUGAGCUCAUGUCUGCUCCUUCCCCGAGUUGGAAAUUUUUAUAGCCUAAUAUGAACUGUACUGCUACACCUGCUACAGACUAGAGCAGAUUUAUUCAGCUAUUGUCCGCAAGAAAAAAGAUGAUUUACUUUGUUAUGCUUCUUGUGUUGAAUCAAACGACAUGCCAAUAGUACAUGCAAACAUCUCUUAUCAGGUAUAAUAAGUCUAGCAUUUGGACCCUUAGACAUCCUGUUCCUGAAUCACUUGACGACAAAAUUCAGUUAAUUAUAGUCUCAUAUCAGCAACAUUCAGUAUCAUACUUAGCUUUCAAUGUCCUACAAAUCUCAGGACGAAACACAAUUUCCUGGAGCUGAUCAGUAUAACGCAAAUUAAUCAUCUCAUUGCAAAGGUAGAUAUCAAGGCAACAAGGAUAGAUGUACAUGGGAGCACCCUUUAUCCAACCAAUGAGAUAAAAAAAACAUGCCGCAAGAAUUAUACGCUCUAGCUAAAUUGAUUUAUACAAGAAUUGAAAUGCAAUCCCUUGUGCCGCUAUGCUGCUACCGACGUAGUAUUCAUGGAUGCAAGCUAUCAUAUACUCCCAGAAUGCAACAGAACUGAAUACUGCAUGUCUGACAUUUGAAGACACAUGCCACCGAACAAUUUGAUGGUUGCAAGAAAUAUAACUUGUUUUUUAUAUACAACGAAAGUGCUAAUGACACACAAGUUUUAUUGCAGUAACUGUUUAAUCAUCACACGAGACAUGGUAAAGAACAACAACCACAAACCUGGCCGAUGCGGGUGGCGGCGGCGAGGGGCCGGGCCGGGGCGUCGAAGAAGGCGUUGCGCUGGGCGUCGGUGCGGAGGAGGGGGUUGGCGAUGGGGUUGGACGUCGGCGGGGUCGAGAGGGCCGAGGAUUCGGCGGCGGCGACGGCGGCUUUGGAGCGGAUGUGCUCCUCGAUCUCAUCGCGUUCGGAGCUACGGAACUCGAUGUGGGUGGGCUGGGGCCGCAGUAUCGACGGCUGGAUCUGGAUGGGGAUGGGGAUGGCACUGUGGGUUUCGGGUGCGGCGAGCGGGCGACGGUAGCGAAGAGGCGAAUGGAUGGAGGAGAGGCGAGGAGGUCAGCAAUGGGGGUGGGUGCGGAGGGUAGGAGGUCGCCGGCGGGGGAGAGGGUGGUGUCGGCGGCAGAGCGUGACGGUGAGGAAUGAAUCGUGGACGGACGAGCUGGGGCCUGGGGCUGGAUUCGGCUGUGGGUUCUGAAUUAUAGCAAUGGCGCAUCCUAGAGAGGUGGGCCAUUAGUAGUUUCUAAAAAAAAAUAAAAAAAUAUAGUAGUGGGCACUCUGCCCCGGUGCGCCAUUAGUACUUUUGGAAAAAAUACUUUGUUAGUAGUGGCGCACCGUGUGUGUGGUGCGCCAUUAGUGUCCAUCACACUAAUGGCGCACCUGCACAUGAUGCGCCAGUGCUAUAUAGUAGUGGCGCACCAUCUAUAGUCCUUUUCCUAGUAGUGCAACGAGAGAGCGGUGAGUACAUCUUCAUACCUUUGAAGAUCGCUAAGCGGAAGCGUUGCUAGAACGCGGUUGAUGGAGUCGUACUCGCGGCGAUUCAGAUCGCGGUGUGAUUCCGAUCUAGUGCCGAACCACGACACCUUCGCAUUCAACACACGUGCAGCCCGGUGACGUUUCCUGCACCUUGAUCCAGCAAGGAGGAGGGAGAGGUUGGGGAAGAUCUCUGGCAGCACGACGGCGUGGUGUCGAUGGAGAGACAAGGUCUCCCGGCAGGGCUUCGCCAAGCACCGUGGGAGAGGAGGAAGAAGAACAGGAGGGCUGCGCCGAGAGAUAGAUGGAAAACCGUUUUUCCAAAGGCCAAACCCCCCAUUAUAUAUAGGGGGAAGGGAGGGGUGGCGCCCCAUUUAGGGUUCCCCCCUUGAGGGGGGCGGCAACCCUAGACGGGAGUGGGGGGGGGCAGGGAGGAGAGGGGGGUGGCGGCACCCUUGGGUGGUCCUUAGGCCCACCAUUGCCUAGGGUUUCCCCUCCCUCCCUCUCUGGUGCGCCUGGGCUGAGUGUGUGUGUGGUGGGGGGGGGCACCAACCCACCUAGGGGCUGGUUCCCUCCCGUACGUGUCCCAUGUAGCCUUCCGGGGCUUGUAGCCCCUCCCGGUGGGCCUCCGGAACCCUUGUGGUGGUCCCGACACUUUGCCGGUGGUGCCCGAAACAUUUCCGGCGUCCAAACCCAUCCAUCCUAUAUAUCAAUCUUUACCUCCGUACCAUUCUGGAGCUCCUCGUGACGUCCGGGAUCUUAUCCGGGACUCCGAACAACCUUCGGUAACCUCGUAUAACAAUUCCCUAUAACCCUAGCGUCAUCGAACCUUAAGUGUGUAGACCCUACGGGUUCGGGAAUCAUGCAGACAUGACCGAGACACUCUCCGGCCAAUAACCAUCAGCCGGAUCUGGAUACCGAUGGUGGCUCCCACAUGUUCCACGAUGAUCUCAUCGGAUGAACCACGAUGUCAAGGAUUCAAUCAAUCCCGUAUACAAUUCCCUUUGCCUGUCGGUACAGAACUUGCCCGAGAUUCGAUCGUCGGUAUACCUAUACCUUGUUCAAUCUUGUUACUGGUAAGUCUCUUUACUCGUUUCGUAGCACAUCAUAACGCGACUAACUCCUUAGUCACACUGAGCUCAUUAUGAUGAUGUUCUACCGAGUGGGCCCAGAGAUACCUCUCCGUCACACGGAGUGACAAAUCCCGAUCUCGAUUCGUACCAACCUAAUAGACACUUUCGGAGAUACCCGUAGUGCACCUUUAUAGUCACCCAGUUAAGUUGUGACGUUUGAUACACCCAUAGCACUCCUACGGUAUCCGGGAGUUGCACAAUCUCACGGUCGAAGGAAAAGACACUUGACAUUAGAAAAUCUUUAGCAUACGAACAAUACGAUCUAGUGCUAUUCUGAGGAAUGGGUCUAGUCCAUCACAUCAUUCUCGCAAUGAUGUGAUCUCAUUAUCAAUGACAUCCAAUGUCCAUGAUCAGGAAACCAUGAUCAUCUAUUUAUCAACGAGCUAGCCAAUCUAGAGGCUUGCUAGGGACACAUUGUGAUCUAUUUAUUCACACAUGUAUUACUGUUUCCGGUUAAUACAAUUAUAGCAUGAACAAUAGACGAUUAUCAUGGACAAGGAAAUAUGAUAAUAACCAUUUUAUUAUUGCCUCUAGGGCAUAUUUCCAACAGAAAGAAGGUGAAGACUCUCGAACCGUGGCUUUUGAUGCUAAGGUUGAAAACCCGUGGCUGGAAGCAAAGACUAAACAAGUACCAGAGCUCGCGGUUUUGAAAACAGAGAUAAAAUGCUUUUAGGAGUGUAACUUUCCAGUCAAUGGUACACGGUAAAGCUUCUCAAUAUCUUCCAUACCAACCAUAUUAAUGGCGGUUCCCAUGCUUUUUAUGCUUAAACUCCCCUCUACCAAUUCUUACACAAGCCAUGGCUAGCCGCAUUCGCGGGUGCCCUCCAUACAAUCUCAAGCCAAGGGGGAGUGUAUGUUUUUUUAUAAACCAUUUAGAACUGGGCAUUCUCCAAACUAGCCUUUGCCUCAUAAAUUUGACUAGAAUAAACUUUGUCAAAGAGUAAAAUAUUUUUAGCAUGGAAGAUAUCGAUUGCCCCUAACGCUCCAUGAGCUUGUAAGGGUACAAAAAGAGAAAUGCAUUUGAAUAGUUUUGAGAUGGUACAAGAAAGUCUUUGUUAGGAUGGCUGGUAAAUACCAUAUAUAGGAAGGUUUGGUGGAUUCAAAUGGCGCAAACUCGUUUCAAGGAUUUUGGAUGCACAAGCAAUCAGUCCGCUUAGUACAGGCGAAGGCUAGCAAAAGACGGGGAAGCGACCAACUAGAGAGCAAUAACGGUCAUAAUCAUGCAGAGCGACAAAGCAACAUUGAAUCGGGCAUGAAAGUGAUAUAACUAUUCUAAAAUAAAAAUAUCAUCAAGGCUUGAUAGACUUCUAGUCAUAAACAUGUGUAAGCAUGUGCCAAGUCAAUCUAAAAAGGAAGGGAGAUAACACUUCAGUAUGCUAAACCAUGAACAAUGCAAUGCAUGCAAAUCAUUUCAAUAACACAUUAUGCACUCCAGCUAUUUGAGACAAGUCACAAAUAAAGCAUGAACUACUGGGAAAUCAUUGUAAACAUAGCACUAUGUUGCUACAAGUUGGUAUCUAGAUCAUAAGUACAAGCAUAUGUACAAAAGUAGAAACAAAUAGAGUUCAUACCAGCUAUCCUUGUUGCAUCCCUUCCGUCGAUCUUCGUCAUUAUUGCGUCGACACUUGCACGAUCGAACGUAGAAAGAUAUAAUCAAGUGCAAUUGCAACCAUGGACGUGAGCUGAACUAUGCAAACAAAGCAAACUAAAGAGAGAAAGGAAAUCUUUUGGGGUUUUCCAAAGGUUAAACGAAAGCAAAAGAAAAGAGACAUCUUUUUGUUGUUUUUGCAAAGAAAGAACAAAGAAGAACAUGCAAAAACUCUGAAAAGAUUAAAAAAGAAACCAUGGAACACCUAUCCCGAGCACACGCAAGGGAACCGUAGACAGGCAAGUGAAAUCCAAUCCACGAAAUAAUUUGAUCCAUGGACGGCACCGUUGUAAUGAAAGGGGAGAAGGGUACGUACUCCCCCAAGCUUAGGCUUUUGGCCUAAGUUGGGCUUGGCUACUACGGCCUCGAGGAGCUCCCUACGGCUCCGGGAUGGUACUGGUAGCUCGAAGAAUCGUACGGGGCCUCAGGCGCAUAGACCGAUGUCCUGCCGUCCUCCCAAGAAGAAGGCUGCUCUUCCUCGGGAACAACCCCCUCCAUGGGGUUGUGGAACUGCUGCUGGAUCACAAACUCGUCUAGCUCAAUCGCGGUGAAGGACCAUCCGUUCCUGCUAGUAUAAUCAAACAAAAGUUGUGCAGGUAGACGGAUCUCGCGAGUAGUAAACUCGCCAAACCUCAUAAUAUAAACAAGGUUAUCAAACUCAAAAGUCCUAGUAACAAACUCAUGCCUCUUCAUAGCGGUAAGAUCAAAUCUUAUGAAUGGAAAAGGCGCAUCAUCCGUGCGUAUAGUGCGCUCGAGAUGCUCGGGGAUAAGCGUGGCAUAAAUGCCACCAAAGUGAGGCUCUUUGCCGUUGUUAGCGACGAGGCGACGAGCAAUAAGAGCACCAAUAUUAUAUGUGUUAUCUCGUGAGAGGGCGGCUGCCAAGAUAGCAAUAUCCGGAGCCGAAAUGUUGCUCGUGUUGUCACGAGCUAACACUCCCCGAGCAAUAUAGUAUGCGAAACACCUGAUGUGGGGGAAGCACGAUACUGGAACUCUUCCCCCGGUGAAUGUCUUGCGGAUCCUUGCUGCAAAGGGAGGCGAAUAGGAAUUUCAGCUCGUAGGGCUGAACUUUCAUUCUGGUCGUCUUCCCGACAUUCCGCACACCUAUAGCGUCACAAAAUUCUGCCAAAGACAUGGUAAAGACAUCCUCAUAUAAUCUGAAUUCAAUCAUGGAAGUUUUAUCAUUAUAUCUAAACCAGUUGACAAAAUAAUAGGUGAGUUUUGAGUAUUGUGGCACACAUCGUGUUACGAGACGUGUCAAACCUGCAACUGCACAGAGGUUAUCAAACUCAUCCUUAAUACCUGCCAUCGCAAGGAAUUCUGAACACGGGUAUGUCAUGGCACAUGACAUGUCCGUCUCGUGGAGCAACUCUGGUGGCACGAUAUCAUCAUUGUAACUUGUCCUCACAAUAGAAGGUGAAGCUGCAGCUCUAGUUAGUCUAUCGGUAGGCUCGGGUCUCUUCUUCCCAAGCCAUCCUUUUGCUUUUCAAAACAAACUCAUUUCUGAAAUUUUGGUAGUUUAAGCAAAAUGAGUUGGAGCAAACUAUUCUACUCACUUCCCCAAGGCAUAAACUUGCGUCAAAACUUCAUAAAUAAAUUUCUAAACAUGCAUGCAAGCUCAUAUGAACAGCACCAAGGACUCCUAAAUACUCACAAAUAAGACUAGCAAUCAAAAUUCUAAUUAGAGGGGUGGAGGAGUCACAUACCAAGGAGAAAAUGCUCAAAUUCUCAAUGCAAAUGAUGGGUUGUAGAGAGGGAUCGAGAUUUUCCACCAAGAGCAGCAAGAACUCGAGCUCCAGGAGAAAAUUGGGAUUUUUGGAGUGAGAGAGAGAGAAGGGAAGAAGAAAUACGUGGAAAGGGGACCAGGCGGGCCCAGGCACCCUCUCGGCGCGACCAUAGGCCAGGCCGUGCCACUUGGCCGCCUAGACAGGGGGUGCCCCCCUGGUCAGCCCCAGGUGCCCCUGUGUCUCUUUUUUGAUGGAAAUUUUUAUUAUAUUUUUUUUUGAUUUUUUCUCACAACUUCACCUUUGAAAAAGUUUCGAAGUACCGAAAGGUGCAAAACUUCCACAAAGCUCGAAGCAAUGGUUAAGCAUAUGAAGCUUCAAAAACAUAAAACUUUGGUACAACAAGGAGGAUGAAAGAUAAAGGAAAUGAAAACAUGACAAGCUUCUCUUUUUACUCAUAUAAAACAUGUUUGUUAGCAAGGUUGAUCAUGUCUUACUACCAAACAUGUAUUAUAUCGAGCAAAAAGUUUCACUUCUUAUAAAGCAAUCAUGGUACCUUUAUUUUAAUGGAUAUUCUCCCCACCAUAAUGGUUUUGUAUUUGUGGUGCACAUGUAGAGGACAAUCCCACUCUCCAACCUUCAUGGCCUCAAUAUUCUCAAUAGAAAUAAGGCCAUGCUUUUUAUUAAUCUUCUUCGGAAAAUAUACCGUGUGCUCCUUCUCAUUAACAUUGAAAGUCACCUUUCCUUUAUUGCAAUCAAUAAUAGCACCCGCGGUGUUAAGAAAAGGUCUACCAAGAAUAAUGGACAUGCUCCCAUCCUCGGGAAUGUCAAGCACAACAAAGUAAGUAAGGAUCAAUCAAUUAGCAACUUCAACAAGAACAUCCUCACAGAUACCAAUAGGAACGGUUGUUGACUUAUCAACCAUUUGAAGAGAGAUAUCUGUAGGGAUUAGUUUAUCUAGACAAAGCCUUUUGUAAAGAGAGAAAGGCAUAACACUCACUCCUGCACCAAGAUCACAUAAAGCAGUUCUGACGUAAUUAUUUUUAUGGAGCAAGGAAUGGUGGGUAUACCUGGAUCACCAAGCUUCUCAGGAAUCUUACCACUGAAAGAGUAAUUAGCAAGCAUAGUAGAUAUUGCCUCAUUAGGAACUUUGCUUUUAUUAGUAACAAUAUCUUUCAUAUACCUCGAGUAUGGAGGCAAAUUAAUAGCAUGAGUCAAAGGAAUUUGAAGAAAAAGAGGUUUCAUACAUUCACAAAAUUUAUUGUAAUGCUCUUCUUCUUUGGUUUUGAAAGACUUACCCAGGAAGGGCAUUAAUUUCUGUACCCAUGGUUCUCUUUCCUUCCCAUGUCUUCUUGCAACAAAGUCUUCUCUAGUAUAUCUCUUGCGCUUGUCGGGUGCUUCUUCUUCUUGUACUUCAGGAGGAUCAUUCUUCUCAUUAUCUUUAUUAGGUUCAACACCAUCUUCAGUUUCAGCAUCGGAAGUAGAUAUACUAUUAGGAUCAACAAUAGGUUCAUCAUUAAUUAUUGGAUCAUUGGAGUUUUCAGCUUCCUUGUGUUUCUUCUUCUUCUUCUUGUUCGGGGAGCUAACAACGUCUUCUUCCUGCAAUUGAGAAUCUUGCUCGAUCCUCUUUGGAUGCCCUCCGGAUAGAGGGGGUCCUGGGUGUGUGUACCACCUCGGGUCUGUAUACCAUACGCCUGUGUAUCAACUUGUUUGGCAUUGUUAGCAAGUAUAUCUUUUUGCACAUUAGAAAUUUGUUCAGGCCGAGUUUGAACCAUAUGAAAAUGCUUAACAAGACCUUUAACAUCAUUAAUAGUUCUACUUAAAACAUCAAGCAAACUUUUGAUAGCAAGGGAAUUAUCAUGCAAUUGGCUUUGAAUCCUCUGAUUAAAGUGACUUUGCUUGACAAUGAAAUUAUCAAGCUCAUCUAAACAUUGAUCAGGGGGCUUAUCAUGAGGGAUGUCCCUUGCAUUGAAUUCUAAAAGAGAGUGUACCUCUACCAUAGGUGGGUGGGUGGUAGGCUCACAUAAUUUCUCAAUAGGAGGCAGAUUCUUCACAUCUUCAGCUUUAAUACCUCUCUAUUUAAUAGUCUUCUUGUCUUCUUGCAUAAUUUCGGGGCUCAAGAAAAGCAUACCCCUCUUCCUUGGUGGUGGAAGUGGUUCAGGAACGGACCAAUCAUCAUGAUUCUUAGCUAUAUUGCCCAUUAGUUCUUCAGCAUUGUCCGAUGUUCUUUCCCUGAAAACACAACCAACACAACUAUCCAGAUAGGUUCUAGAUUCAUUGGUUAGACGAGCAUAAAAUACAUCAAGCAAUUCAUUCUUAGGGAUUCCAUGUCCCGGCUUAGCCUUGAGUAAAGUGCAAUACCUCCCCCAAGCUUUAGGGAGGUGCUCAUCCUGCAACUGUUUUAAGUUAUAUAUUCUUUGUAAAGCAGCAUGUUGCUUAUGAGCAGGAAAAUAUUUAGCAACAAAAGAUUGAGCUAAAUCUUGAGGACUCUUAAUGGAACCACAUGGUAGUGCAUCAUACCAUGCUUUAGCAUCUCCCUUCAAAGAGAAAGGAAGUAGCUUAGUAACAUAAUAAUUUCUCUUCUUAUCCUCUGUAGUGAAUAAGCCAUCCAACUCAGUGAGUUUGGUAAGGUGUACAGUAGCGUCGUCAUUUUCUCUGACAUAAAAGGGGUCAGGUUCAACUGUGGAUAUAAGUGAAAGAUCGAUAGAAAAAUCAAAAUCAGCAUCCUCAAUGCAAAUAGGAUAUGAAGCAAAUUCAGGAUCAGGAGUAAAUUUGUUCUUCAUAGAAUGCUUUUCAAGCAGCUUCUUAACAACAGCAGGGUCAGAGUCAGCACACUCUGUAAGCUCCCUGCAUAAAUCAUCAUCAAGUUAAAUAUAAUCAUCAUCAAGAAUUCUUUCCUUGAGACCACUCAACUGUAGGUAACCAAAGGGUCUACCAAUGGGGUAGCGUGUAAUAGGAAUUUCAAUUCCAGACUGCUUCGCAACCUUAGUAAUCCGAGACUCAAUAAAAUAACCAUGUAAACCAGUCUCAUCAAGAGUAGUAGAAGCAUCAGCAAAAGUAUCAGACUUAGUGACGGACUCGGUAGAGGCAACAUGUAGUCGUGGUGAAGCAAACUUACUCAUAACGGAAGGUGAAUCAAGCGCAACACUAGUGCUAAGAAUAGUACCUUUUCUUGAAGUGGAUGGUAAAAUCGGAACCUUGGGGUCUCCUUUCUUACCCAUAACGGAUAAAUCGCAGCAAGAAAAAUAACUCCAAGUAGACUUGUAAAUAAAGCUAUGGUCCCCGGCAACGGCGCCAGAAAAUAGUCUCGAUAACCCACAAGUGUAGGGGAUCGCAAGAGUCUUCGCUGGUAAGAUAACCCAAUUUAUUGAUUCGAUACAAGGGGAGCCAAAGAAUAUUUAUAAGCUUUAGCAGUUGAGUUGUCAAUUCAACCGCACUUGAAAGAUACUUACUGGGCAACAAAGUAUUAGUAGCAACGAUGAUAUGGAAGUGAUGGUGGCAACGGAAAUAAUGGUGGCAAAGCAACGAAAGUAAAACAGCAAAAGCAAAGCAACUUGUAACCAGUAGGAUUAAAACACUGUAGGCUAGGGAGAUGGAUGGUUAGUCAUGGAUGAGAGAUAUAAUGUAUUUAACUUGGGGCAAGGCACAUAGAAAAGUAAUGAUCAUCUAGGCAAAUAUCAAACAUUAGGCAUGUAUCCCAAGGUAGUCGUGCGUGCUUGCAAUAAGAAGUUGCACACCAUCUUUUGUUGUACCAUCCCGCUACCAACCGGGCCAAAAGGAACUUAUGGAGAUUAAGGUUCUCCUGUCAAAGAGCACCGGAACAAAGCAUUAACAAUCAGUGGAUACAUGGAAUCCUCAAAUUAUAGUCUUCCCCAUUGGUGUCCCAAGCUGUCACCAUUGGGAUCGCCCAGUUCCGGACUAUAAUAGGUGCAUACAACUCAUAGAUAGGAUCAAGAACUCAAAUAUAUUCAUGAAAACAUAAUGGGUUCAGAUAUUAAAUCAUGGAACUCGAGCCCAAAAUGACAAACAUUAAGAGCAAUAAGUAGUAGCAAAGAUGAUAAGCACCAUAGUAGAUGAUAUGCAACAUGCCCCCAACAAUCUGACGAACUAUUACAUGAUCUAACUCAUCCAAUCCCUACCACCCCUUCGCUUACAGUAGGGAAUUACUCACACAUGAAAGGGGAAGUCAUGGAAGGGUGAUGGAGUGGUGAUGGUGAUGAUGAUGGUGACGAUUUCUCCACUCCGGAGGCCAAGGCAGCCUCCAGAUUAGCUCUCCCGGAGAAGAACCGAGGGUGGCGGCGGCUGCACAUCGAGAAUUGGCAAAACGACUUCUGUUCUGGGGUUUCUCCAUCUCGGGUAAAAAUAGGAGCCAAGGUAGGGCACGGGAGGGGGUGGGCACCACCCAGGCUGCCUCCUUGCGCGACCAGGGGGUAGGCCGCGCCACCCGGUCGCCUGGAGGCCUGGUGACCCCCUGUGGCCCAUCUUCUGGUCAUGGGUUCCUCCUGGUGCGUGUAUUUUCUCUAUUUUUUAUUGGAAUUUUCUGGGAGACCUAAAAAUUCAUAUUCCUGCACACAAGAAAACCAUACAGGCAGCUCUAGUGAAAACUAUGUUAGUCUGGGUUAGUUUCGUUCAAGUCAUGCAAGAAUGAGGCCAAAACAAUAGCAAAAGUGUUUGGAAAAGUCGAUAUGUUUGAGACGUAUCAACUCCCCCAAGCUUAGCAUAUUGCUUGUCCUCAAGCAGUUCAGUUCGACAAACUGGACGCGACAAAGAAAACUUUGACAAACUCUUUUGCUUCAUUAGAUGUAUAUAAGCAUGUACUAUGAACAAGUCCAACAAGUAUUGGAGCAAUGCUACAAAUACAAUGCAUGAAGUAAUCCUUCGAUCACGUGAAGAGUUUCAAAAAACUAAGAAUGAAUGACAUGCAACUGAAAACAACGUCAGUCCGGAUUAGUUUCAUUUAAAUCAUGCAAGAAUGAGGCCAAACAAUAGCAAAAGUGUUUGGAAAAGUCGAUACGUUUGAGACGUAUCAGUGACCCUUUCCACUUGAUCAUACCAAAUGGCACGACCAUUCACAUAAGAACGGUUCCUGCCAUGGCCUAGCAAAAAACCACCAUGGUUGAUCUCCACCGAAAAAUUGCUGCUGAUUCCUAACUACAUGCAUCACAAUAUCGUUAUUUAACUCUCAAAAACCCUAAGCCCUGAUUCCCUUAACCCCAAAUCCUGACUGAAAACCCUAGAACAAUCGGUCCAAUCUUGCAACUACAGCACAUCUUAGAUGGAAAUGCGGCCCUAAGGAGGUUCUUUGACGAUUAAAAUGCACAAACACGACGAGAAGAACAGGGGGCGAAUACUUAUUGUAGACAGGGGGUGGCGCCCCUUCUGCGCGACGAACAGGGGCCAUCCGCGGAGGACCUCCGCGCCUCAGUUUGCAUGCACCAUCGACGAUUGCUGGGGGCGACGUCGCCUAUGCAGCCGCUCCCUUAUUUCCAAUCAAAGAUGAAGAGGUGACAUGAGUGGAGUAGGGGUGAAUGGGUGGAUUCCGUGAUGGCCAGGGGGCUCGACCCAAAAAACGAUGGCCACGCCUCCGUAGUUUGCCACCUGGUGUGGACGACCGGUCAACAAGUGUUCAACCGCGCUGUACCCACCGUGUACGUGCUAGAGUGACCAUAUUUUCACGUAAAAUCGUAUUCGGUGACCAUAUUGAGCGUAUUGCUAAGUUCAGUGACCGUAUUGUGCUUCCGUCGCAACUAUAUUGACCAUGAGUGUAUUUAUCUCUUCAGGAAAUAAAGGGAAUUGGAGCAUCGUCCUACUUUGUGAACUCCAGAAAUACUCCUACAAUGCAACUGCUGCAAUGAUCUCGCCUCUUUGAGAACUGGUGCAGCUGCAAUGCAACUGAUUAAAAUUCAUGGUGGAUGAGGGUCGUGUGAUUAUGUGAGACCAACACGAGUACCGACGGACUCGAUCUGCUGAUCAUUUCAUAUGACUGAAAUGCAGUGGAAUCACGGUGGUCAUGAUACGAGCUCUUUCAAACUAGAUCAUGGACUCAUCCCAAUCGAGUAUCAGUGUGUCAUGGCCUAUCCUCCUCCUCCUUGAACGAACCCACAUAGGAAGAAGUCCUGGAUCGAUAUAUCAUAUAUGUCGCUCAAAGUGCAAACUACUUUGGUGCUUGACUUGUUGACGUGCAAACCCGACUCACUGUGCAGUAGUGGCGGAUAUAGGGGUGGGGGUCGUGAGGGUCAUGACCCCCACAAAUAAUUUGUAGAACUUUUUUGAAUAGUAUAUUCAUAUGUAUAUUCAGUAUUUUAUUGGCUAUUUUAAUGUGUUUGACAACAAAAAGUGCUAUCCUUUUUAAUGUUGCUCCCACAUUAGUCAAGUUCUAGACCCGUCACUGUUGUGCAGUCUCGUGUUCCUUGCGGAAAACACCGAGGAUGUGCUUGGUAGCCUGCAUCAAUGUUAACCAAGCCUUUGUGAUACAAUUUUGACAAUUUUGGUUGUCCGUCUUGCAUCAAACCAUCAACCCAUAAGAGAGACAUAUAUGUACAAUCAUUGCUCUAUCUCUCUCCCUCCCUCCCCCCUCUCUCCACUAUAAUGCUAGUUUGGACCUAUUUUGCAAUAAUAAGGAAGUUAUUAUUUUAUCAAAGUCAAGAAUAAAGUGAUACUUCUUUUUAAGUAAGACACACAAAAUUUGGUAUCAACAUACACGUUUUUCUGUUCCAACAAAAGAAAACAUGCACCGGAAAAAUUGUUCAAUAAUCGUACCAUAUAUUUGCACAUGAUCAAUGUCAGGUUUUACGAAAACCGGUGGGGGAGAUCAAAUUUACCAAAAAAGAUCCUAAAAGAUCUUGUUAAUUAUUAGAAUUUUUGAUCUCAUAUCUUCUAGAUGUUGUAUUAAUAGCAAUUAUUAAAUUCCAGAUCUUCUUGGUAAUGAGAUGAUUAAAUAGUACAUGAGUCCAUGCACUCUAUAGUUUUGUAAGAUCCUUAUAAAUUUCACCUUAUGCAAUACCCACAUAAGCAUCAAACAACACCCUAGCAUAUGCAUUCUAUUCUCCAUAGCAUCUACUUCAAAUUGUUGACCUUGCUAGUAGCUAUGGAUCCUAACGACUCCUAUGCAAACAUUUCCCCCUUGCAUGAAGCAUUGAGAGGCACGACAGCCAUGCCGACAUUGAAUGAUUUUGUACCCCUUGAAUCCCCAUCAUCAGAUUCACCUUUGGUGGGAAAUUCCUUGCAAACCAUCCAUGCACCACGAGAAGCUACCUUGUUCUCAGAAAAUGAUAGUACCAUGAUUCCAUACCAAUCGAAUACAUACCUUGCACCACUACCCCCGCAGCUGAGUGAUACAAUUCCCAACCCUUCAUCCUUGGAAGAAAAUGAAAUGUUUUCACAUGACUUCCUCACAAAUCCUUUUUGGAAUGAAUUCGACUCAUCUCAUCAGAAGCAGAAGUUUUCCAUGGAGGUUUCGUCAUUCACAUCCUUACUCAGAAAAGAACCAAAUUCAAUUGCUCAUUCCCUACUUAACACCGUGGGAGAGUCGGAUGAUGGUUCAAUCAGUAAGAUGGCCACCAGGCUUGUCUCCAAGGUAAACCCACUACCAUCUAGGCAUCUUUGUUCUCCUGAAAAGAUUCACCCCUUCACACCAAGUACUAUGCAGCAGGAACAAAACAUACAAGAUGGAAGGUUAUUACAUGGUGCUCCUUACGGUCUACCCGCCCCUGGUUCUCUAGUCAUGCAAUCCUCACAUGCUCCAAGAGAAGAUAAAAUCCCUCUAGUUGGUCCAAAUGGCAAUUCUACUAGUGCUAAUAUGCAUGGUUCUACAAUCUCACGUAAGUACACAUGCAAGAUUUGUAGUGCCACAUUCAACACAUCUCAAGCAUAUGGUGGUCACAUGAGUUCGCAUAGCAAAGCAAGGAUGAAAAGCCUACAAAGUUGAUCUUCCCAUGUAGUUGGACAUCCCAUGAUUAUUAUUAUUGGGACAAAUAUUUGUCCUAGCGACACAAUCGAUGAAGGAACAAAGGUUUCCAUGCAAGUGGACAGAAACUAUAAGAGGUUAUUUUUUGGAAAUAAAAUUAUCAAGAAUAGCUUAAGAGUGAAGAUAUGUUAUGUCAGUGCAAAACUAUAGGAAAACAUUUUCUUUACUAUGUUUCUAUUUUUAUUUCCCUAUAUGAACAAGUCAUGUUUGAUGGUUGUGUUUUACUCUCUCCAUUCCAUAUUACUCCCUCUGUUCCUAAAUAUGUGUCUUUUUAAGGAUUCAACUAUGGACUACAUAUGAAGCAAAAUGAAUGAAUAUACAUUUUAAAUUAUGACUAUAUACAUCCGUAUGUAGUUCAUAGUGAAAUCUCUAGAAAGACCUGAACACAGAGAAUAUAAGGUGCAUCAGUUUAGAUGUUAGCCAAACUUAUGUAUGUUUGACGAGGAUUAUAGAACUUUUCAGGAUGAAUCUAAUGGGAAAAAACUGUUAUUGUAGAUUUUUUGAAAAAAUGGUUAAACAUGCGCAUGUUUUACUUUAUAAAAAACUAAUACACCUUAUAUUUUGAAACUGGGAGGAGGGGGGUAUGUUAACAAUCUUUCCCUUGUAACUAAUGAUGAGACAAUGCUUUUGAAUGAAGGUUUGCUAGAACUUUGUAAAAUGUAUAUUUGCUACCAGAAUUGUUAAUUUUUUUCAAAGUUCAUUAAGAGUCCUAAAAUAAUUUGCCAUAUAAAGUGUGAACGCAUCUCAAACAUUCUUGUUAAUGGGUAAUUCCAUAUUUGGCAUGAUAAUAUAUACCUAUGACAUAGAUGCUCAAAUGUGAGCACCACCAAGGUACUAAAACACUAUAAAGAUUCCCAUGAACUUACAAAUAAAUUGUACACUGCUACACAUAGAAAAUCUUGAGUAGGUAAAACAAACGAUAAAAUCGAACACAUGAUGCCUCUACAGAUUUUCAUACAGAUGAACAAACUAAAACUGAUGCUCAAAAACAAAUUUCUAUCGCUAAGAGCCCCAGGGAGCCUAUGUGAAAAAAUAGGCACAUGGUUACCUAUUAUGAAACCAUAAGUGAAACAAGUUAUAGAUACGAGUUAUUCUUUAUUUCUGGAUACGGCUACUCGUGGGUCAUUGGCUAUGUGAACUGCCACCACACUAUUGAAUCAUUGAACCUAUACAACAAUAUUCUUUUGUUGUUUCUUUUCUAGGUAUCGUGGAACAAAUGUAUCAUAGGUUGAUUGUGUUUAAUUUUACUUAUAAGAAAUAGAUUUUUUUAAUGUAAGUGUCCUCAGUGCAAACACAAACGUUCCUUGAAUUUGUUAUCUCUAUAGGAUAGCUUGAUUAUGAAAAUUUCUCGCAAUACCACUGAAAAGAAAACGAAAACAUACACCAACUUUUAAACAAUAUCAUUAAGUAAAUAUCAUCAUCAUUUAUAUGGAAAAACUAGAAUACCACAUGGUGAUAAAAUAGUAUAAUUAAAAUUCCUAGAUAAUUAGGAACCCUAGGAGACAACUUGUUUUAAGCAUAAAGCUAAGCAUAGUUCGGUCUACUGCAUGUGGCAUAUAAGUUCUUGCAUAGAAAAUAUCUAUGUGUAGUAGAAAUGCAUUGUAUAUAUUUCUUGCGUUUCAUUUGUAUGACGGUGAUAUGUUUAUUAUGUGUACUUGUUUGCCUCAAAGAAAAAACAAUCUUUUAUAUAUGGUCUAUGCGGUUGGAGCAACAAAGACAUUUCUCAUGAACCCAAUCGGUAAAUGAUACACACAUGCGGUUCUGAUUGAGAGCCACCUGCGGCUGUACCCGAUGACCCACAAGUAUAGGGGAUAAAUCAUAGUAUUUUCGAUAAGUAAGAGUCUCGAACCCAAUGAGGAGCAGAAGGAAAUGACAAGUGGUUUCUAGCAAGGUGAUUCCUGCAUACACUAAGAGUGGCGGUAACAGGUAGUUUGAUAGUAAUGCAAUUUGUAACAAGUGAUAAUUAACAAGUGUAACUAGGGUGCUUCAAGGUAGCCCGAUCCUUUCGAUAGCAAAGGACAAGCCUGAAAUUUCUCUUAUAUAGAGUAAAGCACUCUCGAGGGCACAUGAGAAUUGUUGUGUAGUCACGUUCAUCAUGUUUAGUUGAUUUGUGUUCGAUACUUUGAUAAUUUGACAUGUGGGUGGACCAGUGCUAGGGUGAUGUUCUAACUUGAACAAACAACCCACUUAUGAUUACACCCUCACGCAAGCAUCUAUAACUAGGAAAGAAGAAUUAAGAUAAAUCUAACCACAACAUGAAAAAUAUGGAUCCAAAUCAGCCCCUGCGGAAUAACACAUAAACUAGGGUUUAAAGUUCUGUCACUCUCACAACCCAUCAUCUACUUAUUAGUCGACAAUGCUUUCCCUUAGGACCAAGUAUGGUGAAGUGUCAUGUAGUCAAUGUUCACAUGACACCACUAAAGGAAGAGAAACAUACACAUCAUAAAAAUAUCAAACGAAUACCAACAUCACAUGAUUACUUACAACAAGACUUAUCCCAUGUCCCCAAGAACGGAAGUAACUACUCACAAAUCACAAUCAUGUUCAAUAUUAGAGGUAUAAUUAAUAUGCUUAACUAUCUACACAUAUAAUAUUCCACCAAGUAAACCAAUUAGCUCAACUAUAAGGUGUAAUCAACACUACUAGCAGCCCCACGUACCAAUCUGAGGUUUGAUAUGUCUCCAAUUGAAGGGAUCAAUAUGGAUGACUAGAGGGGGGGGGGUGAAUACAAAAUUUAAGCUUUCUUUAACAAAUUAAGUUUAGAAACAAAUAGGUUGUGUAGAUAUGCAACUAAGUGAGCAGCCUAUAUGAUGCUAGCAACAAUAAUAACAAGUAAGUAACUAAUACAAGUAAAGGUAAGAAGUAACCACAAGUGGAACUGAUGAAGACGAGGAUGUGUUUUCGAAGUUCCUUCCCUUUGAGGAGAAGUAUGUAUAUGUUGGUGUGGUGUGGAGGCAUAAUUCUCCCCAAGAUGCCACUAAGGCCAAUGUAUUCUCCUCAUGCCCUUACACAAUACGAGCUGACGUGAUUCCCCUAGUGGUGCCCUUCAAGACGACGACUGGACCUUUACAAAUAAGGUUGGGGCAAUCUCCACAACUGAAUUGGAGGCUCCCAAUGAAACAACGAAGCUUCACCACAAUGGAAUACGGCUUCAAGGUGACCUCAACCGUCUAAGGUUCUCAAACACCCAAGAGUAACAAGAUUCGCGAGGGAUUAGAGGGGGGCAUCAAAUUUCUCAUGUUGGAAGUGUAGAUCAAGGCCCUCUAAAGCAAACCCUAGAGUAUCAACAAGUUUUGUUGGCUAGGGAGAGAUAUCGGGCGAAAAUGGAGCUUGGAGCAAGAAUUGAGCUUAGGAUUGGGAAAGGUGGUCUUCUGGGGGAAGAAGAACCCCCUUAGAUAGUGGGGGAACGAAUCCAACAAUUACCCACUUACUAUGCCCGCAUCAGAGCAGUACUACCGCUCGAGGGAGCGGUACUACCUAUGAUAAGAGGUAGUACUGCUCCAGAGAGGAGCGAUAUUACCGCUGGAGAAGAGGGCAGCAACCACAGAGGGAAGAAGAGGCUGGUAGUAUGGCCGGAGCGGCACUAUCGCUGCUAGGAGCGGUACAACCACUCAUAAGAGGUAGUACCGCCUCCUAUAUCCGCUCAAGAUAUGCUGCAGACCUAGCCCAGAAGUACCAAGGGGUUCUGGUGCAGUAGUAACAAGCGAUACUACCACUCGCUGGGCGGUACUACCGCCCUGCACUAUCGCUCCAAAAAUCUCUCAGUCCGACAUGAAAAGUGCCGACACCCACGGGCAGCGGCACUAGCUAGCAGAACUAGCUAGACCACUUCCGCCCUGGAGCGGUACUACCACCGGCCAGGGGUAGUACUACCGCUCGGAUCUUUCUAGAAAGGAUAGGGCAAUGUAGGAUGCUCCAUUAAGGCGGGAAAGAGGGUGCGAGGAAAUGUGUACGUGAUGAUUCCACCCAAACCUUUUCAAAGAAGACCCCGUCUUUAUAGUUUAGCUUUUCCUACGACUCAAGUCCACCGAUAAUGAAAUGUAAGAGAUAAAACCGUCUGCAUAUAAACACCGAGUGGCAUGAACCGUCUUGUGCCAAAUGAUGAGAUACGUGAAAGGCUUAGUGCAUACGAUUAGUCCACAAACACAUUGUCAUCAAUCAGCAAAACCACUAGGGUAGAAAUAUGCCCUUACAAUCUCCCCCUUUUGGUGGAUUGAUGACAACACGAGAUUUGCAUAGAAGCAGGGGCGGAGACAGGGGCCUACCCCCCCAAUGAUCGAUGAAACCUGAAGUAUGUUGUGUAUAUUUAACUGAUAUGAGCAAGUACGUAUGUAUUUGCCCCCAUCAACGGCCAUAUCCAAAUCCUGGCUCCGCCACUGCACAAAAGAUAUAUAUAAGAUAGAAUGCAAACCCCACUCUCUACAAAAUAUAGACAACCCCCUAGAUGUGUGCACUAUUUAAGUAUGCUUUUGGAAUGCAAAGUUCACACACUAGGAUCGACACUCCCCCUAUAUUUUAUAGACACACACUACUUGCACUUAGGGGAAACUGAAAGUAAUAUAGAUGCAAGAAGUGAUGUGAUCAUUAAUAAUAGGGCACAAGAUAAGCAUCUCGCAAACUUAAGACAUCCAAUAAAAUUAAGGUAGCAUAUGUCUCACACAAUAUGGUGUAGCCUCACAAGAGUCUCACACAGAUGAAAAGCAAAGCAAAUGAUGAAAUAGUUCACGAGUGAAUAAAGAUGGGCAAAAAAAGGAACACUCGUGACUCUAGCAAAUGCAAACUCUCUCCCCCUUUGGCAGCAAGAUGCUAAAAAGGACAGAAACAAAGAGGAUCCAAGAAGGGCGGUAACGUUGAACAUCAAUAUUCUCCAAACUCAGAGCUGUGAUGAAUGGUGCGAGGAGGAGCACGAGAGCCAGGCAACUCAGCAUCGGAAUCCCAUGGGCAGUGACGACCAAUCCAUGUGUCCUCAUCAGUGAGUCUGUCCUCAGAACUUCUCUCAAUCAUUAAGACAACAUGCCUACCAAGAGCCUUGUGACGACUUAUGGCCGCCUUUUCAGUCGCAUGAUCCGUGUACUAACCCUUGGCCUGCAGUCAGAAGAGCUUCUUCAUCUUCUCCUUGAGCUUCUUAGCUCAAGAUGGUUCUAUAGUAGGGGGCACAACACAGGAAGCAGUCUCAUCUUCAGCCACAAAAUCCUCAUCAAACUCUUCAUCAUCAGAAUCUGCAUCCGCAUUUUCCGGCACAUCCUGCUCAGGGGUAGUGUGAGAAGCCCACUUAUCCUUCUGCCGAAGCUGCACAACCUUGUGCAAUACUAGCUCCCCACACUCAAGAAGCUCGCUAGGGAAGGUUUCUGCCCAGGUCCUCUGAAUCAGAUACAUCAGAUGGGUCUCAUAGAUGGGGCACCUAUGCUCAGAAACAGCAGAAAGAAGCUCACACCACAUAACAUGAGAAACAUCUAGUGGCUUCACAUUAACCUUGAACUUAUGAAAUUCAUAGUAAAGGAGCAUGUCCGCCAAGUAUGAGUGUACCUGAUCCAGAUUCCCAACUUGAGGAAACAGAGUGUGACGGAAGAUGCGGUGCAUUGUAUCUAAAAAUGGUUCCAACACCCAAGUGGACUUGCUUGUUGUAGAGGAGAUCUUCUCAGCACUAUACUUGUAAAGUGCUUGUCUGUGUGUUGAGGCAAACUCUUUGUGUGGACGGAAGCCAAGAAAAUUCUCGAUUCCCUUAUCAUCAAAGCCAAGCAAGUUCAUGAAAGUCUUCGAGGGAGCAGAAAGCAGUCUACCGUUGAUCGUCCAAGUAAGAGUCCUCUCCGCAUCGGUUCCCAAAUGCACCGUGGCAAAGAAUACCACAACAAUCUCAGGAUCAAAGUCUUUGUUGAAUUGCAUGAUGUUGAGUAUACCCACCUUUUCACAAAGAGUAAGAUUUUUUCUGAAGUACCUGACAUUUUGCUGUAAGUAUUCAACAUCAAUGCAUUUGAAAUUGUGAACAUACAGGUUCUCUUUACGCUUCAGAACAUCAAUGUAGAUAGACAGUUGAUGCCUGGUCUAGAAGGGACGGUUGCGCAACGAUGGGUCCUGAUGUUCCACAUAGGGAUAAUUCUUGCGAGACAUCCAGAAGUCCUUAGCUUUCAGAGUGUCCAUGGAUUGGGACUUUGAUGGCCUGACAUCAGGGCACUUUGUCACACCCUGUUUUUGCUAUCACUUGUCUGUGUUGUGAAAAUCCGAGCUUGUUAAAACUUUUUCAAAACUAAUGUUGUGAGUGCCAUGAUUAACAUUGUAUGCUUGUAUGCUUUAUCAUGUGAGGUUUUAAAACCCUAAAGUCCUUUGGUAUUAUACUGAUUUCCAAAAAAACCUUUGCUUAUUGCUGACCAAAGUAAAACCGCCUUGAGUUGCACUACAUGUCCUUGAUAGCAAGCAGUGCUUCUACUCAUAUUUGGUAAUCUGUUUUUUACCUAUCCUUAUAUUUCAAAACCACAAAAAUAAUUAUUUUUGUGAUUAUUAUCCUAAUUAAACAACCUGUCCAUUUCUAAGGUCAGAAUUGGAAUUCCAACAUGGAAAAAUACUUUUCUGCUGUGGAAAAAUCUGAUUAAAUUUAGAGAUGAUGAGAAGGACAUAUAUUUUCCAUACAUACGAUUUUAAACCCCAUUUUAUAUUAUAUUUAUUGAUUAAAACUAUAAAAGCUAUUUCUGUCUGUUUUGGCAUUUUGAAAUAUUUCCAAAGGAAAUAUUCUCAAUAAAUUCCUAGAAAAUUCCAGUGUUAUCCCUAAGCCUUGUUUGGUGUCCACAUAAAAUUUCACCUUGAUCAAAGGAGGAUAAGGACCCCAAAUAACCCUAAAACCCUGUCUGUCCAGAAUCAAGGAGGAUAAGGACCCCAAAGUUUGUCCAAUGUUGCUAAAACUUUGCAGGAGUGCCUAAUACCUCAAAUGAGGGUUCCACACCAAAAAUGGGAUUUGUGGGACUUAGUUUGCCCACACUCCCUUUGGAAGGAACAGAUGUGGUCAUAUUGUAGUGUUUUCAAGUUUGCAAAGCUAAACUUGUACUUUGGAGCUCAAAUUUGGUGAAACUCCAUGGUUUACCACCAAACCCAAACAUGUUAAGUUGCAGCACCAGUGGUGGGGUGCAACCCCCUAAACCAACUGUCGAACACGUUUUGACAGAUAGGAAAAAGCCACCUUAGCCACAGCUAAACCAAACUCCUUUGCUUCAAACUCUUGGAUUAAGUGGCGAGCACCUGUGUCUAACCCCAUUCAACUGGCCCCUCACUGGUUCAAAGUGGAAAGCCAAAAACCCCAAUUUAGAUCUUAGUUCAUGACUGACAGCACCAGUAUUUCUUGCCUCCCUUGACCAGCCGAAGCUCCCACAAGAACCAAACGGCUAGCCACACUCCUAGACAGUGCCGGGACAUGCCAAAACUGCGCUCUGGGCACGCUACAGGGAGUCACCAAGGUGGGGGCGAUGCCCUCGGCCAGUUCCAGCCUCCCCCGAGAUGUCGAACCUCUUCCCCGACAACCCUUCUGCGUCGAGCAAGCCUCAGGGCCCCUCCUCUCCCGCGCUAGAGCUCGCACGACGCGUGCCCACGCGCACCAGAACCGGCCAAGGUUGCGCGGCCACGAAUGCUCGACUCUCCUCUCUCUCUCUCUGUUGUAGAUGGUUCAGGCGGUCCAAAACCACGUCCUGAGACCAUGGUUUCAACCCCAACCUCUCUCUGUGCCUCCAUGCGCGCCAGGUGAGUCACCGGCGCUCCCGAAUUUGUUCACCAUCGCGGGCCUAUAAAUAGCCUUCCCCCUCGCUCCAGCACCCCUCAGAUAGCUUCACUACGAUCACUAGUACCUCCCUAGCCACCCCAGCAAGCCAGCAGAGCCCCGGUGCUCGAGAUCGACCGAGGCCCCUCCGCCUCGGAGCUCCGGUCGAUCUCCGGCUACACGACGGCUCCUGUGCCCCUCGACCCACCAAACUGACCCCCUCGAUCCCAGUAAGCUUUCCCCCAACUCGCCCGAGCUUUUCCGUGUCUCUAACCACCCCCUCGAACACCUCCCGAAACUCCUCCGCCACGGCCUCCUCGUCGCCGGCGAACCCCUGCCUCCCCGACGUUGUUUCGACCACCAGCAGGUAGGAGACAACAAGGCGAACCCAUUCCUGUGCUCGUCGGGGCAUGAGCGCGUCGGCAACCUCGUCGGUGUCCUCCUCCUCUUCUCUAGCCGGAGGUAGGAGACGACCCCGACAGGUGUGACCCACCUGUCGGUGGCCCAGCCUCCUCCCCCGCACUGACCUCGGCGCUGACCGCAGGGCCCCGCGCGUCAGGUAUGCUUAGAUGAAAUUUUCCAACAACUAUUCUAUUUUGUAUUAAUAAAAAGGACUAAAUUGGAAUAGUUUUGCUUAUGUUUGGUUGAUUUCAAAAAUAUUCAUUCAAGGAAAACUAAGGCAAAUAUUUUUAAAAUGAUAUCUUAGAUUUAUCAGUAAUAGAGAACAUUUUAAAAAUGACUUUGUGGUCUGUUUCUGUGUGAGCUAUUUCUUAUUCAUUGUUUUAUCAAUGAUAGAAAAUCCGUGUGACGAGGGAAUCAGAGCGGAAGACCUCGAAGACCCCGGAUACUUAGCUGACCAAGGCAAGCAACCCUUUGACCAUGACUGAGCAUAUGUUACUUUGCAUGUUAAAAUAUCAAGUAUUCCCGUUGCAUAUGAUCAUAAGUGCCGGUAAUCAUUUGAUAUGAUUUUACCGAAGGCUCCUCCGGAGUAUUUUGCAUUGAGCUUGACUCUACCCCUUGAGGGUCAUGCUAAUACCAUGUUGACAAGUAAAGAUAGAAGUAGUAGUAUCAUGAGCAUGAUUUUUUCAUAAGACAAGAGUUUAUGAAAACCCCAUCGGGUGCCACUAGUGCCCGAGGGUGAUGAUGAGUUAGGUGGUCACUUUUGGUGAAGUGAUGCACCCGGUAUUUGUCUCGGUAUGGUUUCGGAAUUGGGAUUAGAUUUAUGAUGUGUCGACCGUCCCAACCUUACCAGUACGACCACGUUACCCCUUAUGGGACGAGGCUAUGUUAAUUACUUUGGUCGGUGCUAGCAAAGAGCCACAUUACUAGUGGCGGGAGUGAUGUGUGGUCACUCUCGUGAUGGGGUCGUGCCGGGUAGGACGACUAUGCCAUUUUUAUGAGUUCUAGUCACACCGUUGGUCCCCGCAUGGUUGGUACAGUCUAGAGUAAGUGCUCGUAAGACGUACAACAUGUGGGCUGGGUACCAAUCAAUUGGACCUCUUUGUCUAGUAUCGUCAAGGGAAAGGCAUUGAUCGGGUACUUACCUCGGGUAUGUGAUAUACCGUGAGUCGUGGAUGACACGGAAGUUUCCCGGAUCUCGUGGGUCCAGCGUACUACCUCUCGAGAGUGUAAACUAUUCGAAUAGCCGUGUCCACGGUCGAGGACAGUUGGGUAAUCCUGUUUAAACUACGUCCAGUUAUUUCCGCAUAAACCAAGUGUGCGUGAGUGUGUGUGUGGUGAUGAGAAAGGUGUUUCUAUGAUAGCAAUGAUAUGACCAAGUUCGGUGACUUGGCAUAUAGGGUGAACCCGGAUGGUUUAGCCCUCGGUAGAUAUAUUGAUAUGUGUAACCUGUUCUUCAAGAGUAAUUCUUUAACUUGAUGCAUAUUCAUGAUCAUUCCACCCAGAUGAGUUACACUAGAGAUGCAUGAUAUUGUUAUCCUUCACUUUCGUUGAUUAUAUCACGGGUUGUUUGCGAGUACAUUCAAAGUACUCAUUGGCUUGCCACUGGUUUUGUUAUUGACCAGGCAUGGAAGGACCGGAGUUUGGAGAUGAGUACGUCUUCGGAGACACCCUUCCGAACUAGGACGCUUCCGAGUCAGAAUGCCUGUCGGUGUAGGGUUGAUGGCAUGGGCACCCGCUUAGCCCCUUUGUUUUCCGCUAUUAGUGUACUCGUGUGAUUUGGCCUUAGGCCGUGUCUUGUGAACUUGACCCUUCGAUCACGUGUUGUAAUAAUCGGUACUUGGAUGUAAGACUCUUUAUUCAAUAUCUGUGUUCGGUGAGCAUUGAUCUCUGUGAUCACUGAGCACGGUGAUUCUCGACUAGUAAGUCGGGGUCCCCACACACUUCCCCUUAAACUUGGAAGUAGCCAGGCUAGCACUCUCCUCUUGAACAGGCCCCUGCGAUUGACUUAGGCUAUUUGCCUGAGAUGUACUGUAACACUUCGUGCUUCCAUGACUAGGUUCGUCCUAUGCUCCUGAUGAGCACAACUGUCACCUCCUGAGAUCCAAAACAUAACCAGAGGAAAACACGAGAGUAAACGAUGUGCAUAAGUCAACAAGAAACCAAGAAAUGGGAGAAAAAGGUGAUGAAAUAGUAGGAAUGAAGUGCACAUGUCAUCCCAGAGCGGUAGUACUGCUACCAGGAGUGGGUACCGCCCAAAAGAGUGGUAGUACCGCUCAGGGCAGAGAUCGUGGGGUGAAAACCACCACUGGUCAGAUCUGGUACUUGCGGGGAUGUCACAAUCACCAAAUUCCUACGAGAACAACAAGUCUACUCCCUAGACACCUUCUACACCCUACUCAUGCCGCGAACCAGGCUAAAACAAGGGAUACAACUCAUAUUUCCCACAACCAAUAUUGAAAAAUAGACCAAACGAAGAGAAGAACGGCGACAAUACCAGUAUCCAUGGCAAGAGGAAGGGGUGGGGAUCGAUUCCUCCUGUUGGAAUCACGAAGGAACGAUUGAAAUCAGAGAUCGGCAGCGGCCAUUGGAGCCUUUGGAUCACCUGGAGAGAGAAACCCACGAGGAGGAGUAGGUAUGAAUGGGUAUGGGGAGUGGAAACUACCCCUGUCCGUGCCCCAUAACCCCUUGUGGAGUCACGUAAGCGGUAGUAUCGCUCGCGGAGCGAUAGUUCAGCCCGAUGGUACUACCACUGCGACCUGCGGUACUACCUCUUAUCAUCGGUAGUAUCGCUCGGGGCAAUGGUAGUACCUCCCCAGACAACCAAAAAAAGAAGCAAAGAAGCAUAUUUUUGGCAUGAGACUUUAAAACACUGUCACGAUGAUGGUGAGACUCCAAGUUGUGAACAAAUAAAAUAGAGAGAAAUCAACUUGGAGUGACACAAAAGAAAUACAACAUGCCCUCAAGAUGCAAAUGCCUCAAGUAGGAGGGGGCGUGGCCGAAGCCACCUAUGUUUGAGUCAAUUGGUAUGGCACCGCAAAGAUUUUAACCUUGGGCUCAAGACCAAAACUCGGCUUUGAAGCACAAGUGUCAUCUAAAAUGACUAAUGUGAAAGGCUUGAUCGAUUUAUGCAUAAUAGGGGGAGGGGGAGUUCAUUGAGAGGACAAUGCCCCCCCUAAAUCCAUGCUUGUAUCUAAAAAAGAUAGUAUGAUGAGACUCGUGGGCUAUGCGUAAUUUCAAUUCACAUUGCUCAAAUAAAUGAUACUUAGCUCAUGUCUUAACUUGUGAAAUCUAGCUUAAUUCAAUGGCUUCCUGAAAAUGUUUGCAAGUUGAUCAUUAGUGUUAAGGUAAUUAAGACCAAUUUCCCCACGCUUGAUAUGAUCCUUAAAGAAAUGGUGACGAAUACUAAUGUGCUUCGUCUUGAAGUGUUGAACCAGGUUGUUGGAGAUCAAGAUAGCACUUGUACUAUGACAAUAAAGAGGCACUUUGUCACAAGUGACACCGUAAUCCUUUAAAGUUUUACUCAUCCAAAGCAAGUGAGCACAACAACUUGCAGCAGCGACAUACUCGACCUCGAUGGACGAGGGAGAAAUACAAUUUUGUUUCUUUUAAGACCAACUUACGAGAGAGAGCGACCAAGAAAUUGGCAACCUUCGGAAGUUGAGUUCCUCUCCAUACGGCCACCCACACAAUCCGAAUCCGAGUACCCUAUGAGAUCAAAUGAAGCACCUUUGGGAUACCAUAAGCCAAAAUUUGGGGUAUGAGACAAAUAUUGAAAUAUUCGCUUGACCGCUACAUAGUGACUUUCCUUAGGUGAGGAUUGAAAUCAUACACAAAUUCCCACAUCAACAUAAUAUCCGGUCUAGAUGCACAAAGGUAAAGCAAAGAGCCAAUCAUAGAGCGAUAUAACUUUUGUUCCACAACUUUACCAUUGUGAUCAAGGUCAAGAUGGGACUUGAGAGGCAUGGGAGUGUUUGCCUUGGCCUGUUUGAGAUCAUCCAUCUUGAACCUCUUGAGCAUGUCUUAGGUAUAUUUUUCUUGAUUGAUGAAGAUUCCUUGACUUUGUUGCUUGACUUCAACUCCAAGGAAAACCUUCAACUGUCCAUCAUAGACAUCUCAAAUUAUUUGGUCAUUAGUGCGAUAAACUCUUCAUUGAAAGCUUUGUUAGGAGAACCAAAAAUAUUAGCAUCAACAUAUAGUUGGCAUAUGUACAAACUCCCUUCGACCUUCUUAGUAAAAAAGGUGGGGUCAAUUUUCGCAAUUUUGAACCGACGAUCAUGUAACAUCUCUGUAAGGUCCUCAUAUCACGCUCAUGGGGCUUGUUUCAGGACAUAGAGUGCCUUAUCGAUUACAUAAACAUGAUUGGGGAACUUGGGAUCUGAAAGUGCGUUAUAUCGACUAAAGGGGGUGGGUGAAUAGGCGUUUUUACAAAUUUAUCAUUGAGGAAAUUCCAAGUGAGGAAAGUCCUCAAUCGUGAACUGAGUGCACAGGAAUAAGUAUUCAAACUGAUAUGCCAAAGGGACUAUAGCUUAGUUCUCAGAGUGAGUUGUAGUGUUCAGUUUACACAAGUCGCGUGAACAGGAUAAGAAGGUGAUGAAUAACUUGAGUGAAGAAUUUGAGGUGAGGAAUUCAAAGAAAGUGUUGAGUAAAAUUCUUCAAACGGUACACAUCAAAGUCAUCAACAUGCAAUUGAGGAAAUGAAUGAGUUGAAUAAAUAGAAACCGUAGUUCGAUGAAGACAAUAAUUUGAUGACCCAAUUUCUACACCUAUGACAGUCGUACAUCUGGUUUGGAGCGGCUUGGUAUUCAAACCAAAGGACAUACAGUCCCGGGACACACAGUCUCUACCCUAUUCGCCUUGAGCUAAGGACACACUGUCCUCGCCUAACACUCUUGGUAAGUCUUCAGGGCAAACUUCUAAACCCUCACAAACUCGGUCACCUGGCGAACCAUAAUUUACUGCUAGAUGCUCUAGAACAUUGACGCCUAACCGUAUGGAGGAUGCUUAGUCCUCAAAGGUAACAAGCAUCGGUUCAACACAUGAACAAUCCCUUAAGUGAUGCUCAAUCACUUUGGGUUUUGGUUUUGGUUUGGGUGUUUGGGGUUUUUUCAUCACCUGAUGAUUUUCGCUCAAAGUCCUCGAGGAUAGGGUUGCACUAAAUUACAAUUGUUAGUUUCUCCCGGAGAAGCCAACCUACUAGUGUUGUUGUAGGGGGUGGCUAUUUAUAGCCGGGGAGCAUCCGAACAUGAUUCGACAUUACUUCCCCCAAUGAUAUGACCGUUGAGUGGAUAAGAUUGGGGACAGGUGGCGUGCGACACGACAAUAGUUGGAUCUUUAAACUAUGAAAGUCCUCAUGUCUCUCAUGUUCCUCACUCAUAGGCAGUUCGUGUUGGAAAUAUGACCUAGAGGCAAUGAUAAAUUAAGUUAUUAUUAUAUUUCCUUGUUCUUAAUAAUCGUUUAUUAUCCAUGCUAGAAUUGUAUUGAUUGGAAAUUCAAAUACAUGUGUGGAUACAUAGACAACACACUGUCCCUAGUGAGCCUCUAGUUGACUAGUUCGUUGAUCAAAGAUGGUCAAGGUUUCCUCGCCAUAGACAAGUGUUGUCACUUGAUAACGGGAUCACAUCAUUGGGAGAAUGAUGUGAUGGACAAGACCCAAACUAUAAACGUAGCAUAUGAUCGUGUCAGUUUAUUGUUACUGUUUUCUGCAUGUCAAUGUAUCUGUUCCUAUGACCAUGAGAUCAUGCAACUCCCGGAUACCGGAGGAAUACCUUGUGGGUUAUCGAACGUCGCAAUGUAACUCGGUGACUAUAAAGGUGCUCUACAGGUAUCUCCGAAGGUGUCUGUUGGGUUGGCAUGGAUCAAGAAUAGGAUUUGUCACUCCGUGUGAUGGAGAGGUAUCUCGGGGCCCACUCGGUAAUACAACAUCACAAUAAGCCUUGCAAGCAAUGUGACUAAGAAGUUAGUCACGGGAUCUUGUAUUACAGAACGAGUAAAGAGACUUGCCGGUAACGAGAUUGAACUAGGUAUAGAGAUACCGAUGAUCGAAUCUCGGGCAAGUAACAUACCGAAGGACAAACGGAAUAGUAUACGGGAUUAUAUGAAUCCUUGACAUAGAGGUUCAACCAAUAGAGAUCUUCGUAGAAUAUGUGGGAGUCAGUAUGGACAUCCAGGUCCCACUAUUGAUUAUUGACCGGAGAGUGUCUCAGGUCAUGUCUGCAUAGUUCUCGAACCCGUAGGGUCUGCACACUUAAGGUUCGGUGACGUUUUAGUGUAGUUGAGUUAUAUGUGUUGGUGACCGAAGGUUGUUCGGAGUCCCGGAUGAGAUCACAGACGUCAAGAGGGUUUUCGGAAUGGUCCGGAAUAUAAGAAGUUGGUGUUUGGAUUCCGGAAGGUUUUCGGGUAUUGUCGACAGUGUACAUGGAAUGGCGAAUGGGUUCUGGGGCCCAUUGGGUGGGCCCACCACACCCCAAGGGUUCCACAUGGGUUUAUUGGAUGCGAAAUAAGGCAUAAUGGGCUGACAAAGUCAUUCAAGGAAAGCCCAUGAGGAAACAGUGGAAAAUCAAAAAGAGGUGGGAAUUUAAGGAAGGAGUCCUAAUCCAAGUGGAGUUGGAGGAGGACUCCUCCCUCCUCUAGUUAGGCCGACACAAGGGAGCCUCCCUUGCGGCGCCAAGGCUGCCCCCCUCCUCCUAUAUAUACUAGAGGUUUAGGGCUUUUUGAGACACAACUUUGCCACGUGCAACUCAAACCUAUACCACGUCGUUCUUCCUCUAGAUCGAAUUUCUGCGGAGCUCGGGCGGAGCCCUGCAAGAGUAGAUCAUCACCACCACCAGCGCACCGUCAUGCUAACGGAGAACUCAUCUAAUUCUCUGGCUCUCUUGCUGGAUCAAGAAGGCCGAGAUCGUCAUCGAGCUGUACGUGUCCUGAACGCGGAGGUGCCAUCCGUUCGGCGCUAGAUCGGAACGGAUCGUGGGACGACGGUGAUUUGAAUCACGAAGCUAUACCACUACAUCAACCGCGUUUCUUAACACUCACCGCUUAACAAUCUACUAGGGUAUGUGGAUCUAAUCUCCCUCUCGUAGAUGAACAUCACCAUGAUAGGUUUUCGUGUGCGUAGGAAAUUUUUUGUUUCCCAUUCAACGUUCCCCAACAGUUCGGACUGGCGAAAUCCUAACUUCUGAGUUAGUGAAAUUUCUUCAGCGACCAGAAGAACUUCGUCUCUCUCAUUGAAGACUUUGACUAAUCUAUGAGAGAUUUUCAAAUGCUUCACUUGAAGGAUUUGGUAUUUGUAGGCUUUGAGUUGAGCAUCAUGAGGAAAUCUUUCCUUAGUAUUACCUCGACCCCCUUUAACAGUACGGUGUUUCUUUGACUCGAGAUAGAAUAAAAUGAAACAAAAAGAGUAAAUCUUCAAGCUUCAAAGUCUUCAGGGCAUUUUCUUUGUGAUACACCAAAUUCCUCAUAUUAAAGUCUUCAUGAGGAAUAUCAAUUUCUUCGCUAUCAAAGUCUUCACCCAAAGACAUACAUUUUUAGGGGUCUAUAUUCUUCGAAUAACUCAAAUCCCUCAGCGACUUAUAGGUCCUGUGUACACUCACAAACAUAUUAGUCUCUCAACCUAUAAGUCUUCAAUCCAGCAAAAUCACUAAGGGGCACUAGAUGCACUUACAAUCUCCCCCUUUUUGGUGGUCGAUGACAAAUAGGUUAAGUUUCCAACGAGGAUACAAAUAUGAAGUGUAAGUACAAAGUUUGAGGAAUUUGAUUGCAAGAUAUAGCGAACCCCCCCUGAAGAUGUGCAUAUAUGAGGAAUUUGCUUUGAACUGCAAAUACGAUUGAGGAUUUAUACCAUGGAGAUAUCCCACUAUAUCUUGUAAUUCAUACAUGUAUUUAAAAUAUAUAAUGAUGAAAAAUGGUGUCUGACGAAUUUGAGCAUGCAGGCAUUUAAUCAACUUGAGGAAUAAGCAUGCGAGGAAAAAACAUUAAAAAGUGUCAUACCACCACCGGGCUUAAGUUACAACUCAUUACAACAAAAACUUCAGAAGAACGAGAGUUUGUAACUUAAUAAAGUUUAUAAUAGCCCAUAAAGCAGACCUGCUUGAAGACUAACUCAGAUUUCUCCCCCUUUGUCAUCAAGUGACGAAAAGGGAAGAAAUUGAGAACUAACACCCUUGAAGAAUAGCACUUCUUUGUUUGAGGAGGAGCAUUGGGGUCGUUCGUCACAGUAGUGUCAUCAAGGUCUUUAGCUUCAUUCGUGGUGCGCGUUGAAGAAAUGAGCUGGCCACGAGUUGAGGAACAUGAAUCUUCUUGCAAAUUCUUCUUUGGAGGCCAGGACCAGUCAAAGUCUUGGUGGAAUUCCAUUUCAGUGAGUUCCUUAGGAGUCUUGAGGUGAGAUAGAGUGGCCCAUGUGCGGUGAAAGAUCUCAUGAAGAUAAUAGUGAUUUUUAUUCACUGCAUUCCGAGUGGCAUUGAGGUGUUUCACAAUGGCACCAAACUGAUGCUUGACCCAUUUCUGGUUGCCUUCAACCUUCUGAUGAAUACUGAGCAGGAACUCAUGGUCAGUCAUCUCACGCGGUAUAGCUGGGUUUGGAGGUUCUUGUGAUUCAUUGUCUUCAUUGGUGGAGUAUGAUGGUGCCUUGCGAAAUUGGCCAUCAAGGGGCCGAGUUCCUUCAUCGAUCACAAACUUUCCUUUGUCUUCGAUUUCUUCGAAGGAACACUUGACGACUUUAAUUGGAGGCAAGUAAGUGUGGUUAUUCACAAUGUCAGCCUUGUAAGAAAUUCCACACCUUUUCCAAAUGAAUUGCAUGAUCCAUGGCGCAUAAGGCUUCAAAUCAAAUGGUGAGAGAGCAGAGUGGGACAAAGUUCUCAUUAAGAAAUCAUGAAGAUUUAUGGGGAUUCCAUGUAUGAUGUCGAAGAACCAAUUCGUCAUGAUGCCCACAAUUUCUUCAUCAUUUGAGUCAUGGCCCUUGAUUGGACAGAAGGUUUUGGCUAAGAUGCGGUAUACAGUCGUGGGCACAUAGAUAAAGUCCUUUGCAAGAAAUGUGGUUCUUGGUGGCUGAUGGGGUUAUAGUCCUAGGGUAGGGUCAUAGGCCUGCCCUGUAGGUCCUACCCAAGGACUACCCCUCAUAAGGGACAAGGCCCUUAGUCAGUUCCGACUGAACUAAGGAGUUCCCAUCGUCCAGUCGGUAACAGGUCCUCGACCAUCCAGCCGGAGACUAGCAUUCGGAGUAUAUCAAACUAACCGACUGGGUUCCACUCUGUGCAUCGUAACCCCCGUGGAGGGAAACGGUCGUACGUUUCCAUGUGCCUUUAUUAGCAUUUAAGACGUACGUUACCUGUAACGUAGGCAUUUAAUCGCCACUACUCCACCCUGUACACCAGACCGUUGUGGAGGGCAGCGCACUCUAUAUAAGCCACCCUCCCCCACUGGUGCAGGGGUUAGCAUUUCACUGUAUUCUAUAUUCCACUCGACAACAAGCUCCCUGAGCACUGAGACGUAGGGCUAUUACCUCCACCGCAGAGGGGCCUGAACUCAUACAACCUCACCGUAGCUAAGGCUCUGCCCAUCCUUUCGUACCCUACACAUCUACUCUCAGGCUUAUACCCACGACAGUUGGCGCCCACCGUGGAGCAGGCGUCUAAGCGACUUCCGGCGAGUUUGCGACUACAUCAUUUCGUCAUGUCGUCCAGUGGAGAUUCGAGCAUGGGUCACGCGAUCUUCUUCGGCGCUCUCUCCUUCAUCGUCGAUGAUUCGGCAUGGCUUCGGGACGCCCCUCUCGAUGUCGAGGCGCUUCCCCGCCGCGGGGCUACGCACUUCUGUGCCAGCGCCCGCGACAUUCUUCUUCUCCAGCAGUCGGCUCUGGUGUCGACCUACACCACCGUCACGCGCCGCAACAAGCGGUCCCGCCGUCCGCGGCUCCAGCGUUGGGUGCAACACGCCCAGGCGCGCCAGAACGCGUCUUCACAAGUGGUGGUUCUAGAGUCAGUUGUGGUUGCCCCGCCGUCCCACCGCUCGGACUCGGUUCCGACUGAGUUUCCUUCCGAGUAGGCGGGUCGCGGGCCUGUAGCAGAAGUACACAUGGCCAACUCCCAUGAAGAUCCCCGUCAAGCUGGCCGGAAUGAGCACGAGAUCGGCGAAACAUCCGACGCGCAUCGUCCACCUCGCCGUUCUGCCAGUCGGCACACUCGGCGGAGCAACGUGGAGUUGUUCCGCACACCCCUCCUCAACUUGGCUGCGGCUGCCAAGAUAGCCGAUUCCCUUCAGCCGACUGAUUCAGAGGCUGGCAGGGGGAUCGAGCAAAUCCGUGCCCUGUUGCACACGGCGCAGCAGCAAAAUUCGGCGGUCUCCCACUCGCACAACAGGAUCCACAAUAGUUCUGUUCAUGCAAAUACGCAUCGGUCAGUUCAUAGCCCUGGUUCUCAUCAGCGACAUAGAGGAGGCAACCGUUCCAUAAAUCCCGAAGAUCGUCGCCGUUCACGCACCCCUCCGCGGGGUGGGCCCUACGCGCCCCGACAUCAUGAUGAUCAGCGUUCAGUCGGUGGCACUUACGACCCAAGGCCCGAUGCGAGAGGGCAUAUCGCCCAGCGGAGGGUCGACAGGGGCCGAGCCCACCGUGAUGGUUACGAUAUUGACCGUCCGAGUGGAAGCAGGACCAUGGUUUCUGGUCCCGAGUGUUUCAGUCGAGCCAUCCGUUCGGCUGACAUCCCUCCCAACUUCUGAUUGGCAACGGGAAUUAGCAAGUUUAUAGGAGAGUCCAAGCUAGAAACGUGGCUGGAUGAUUACCGAGUGGCAGUCCAGAUUGGAGGAGGAGACGAGCAUGUCGCCAUGAAGCACCUCCCUCUGAUGCUCGACGGCUCGACGCGAGCGUGGCUGAACCAGUUGGCCCCCUCAAGCAUCUACAGCUAGGCAGAUCUGGCCCGAGUGUUCAUCAGGACCUUCGAAGGGACGUGCAAGCGCCCUGCUGGCCUCGUGGAGCUCCAGCACUGCGUCCAGAAGCAUAAUGAGCCCCUACGGGAUUUCAUUCAGCGUUGGACAACCCUCUACCACACGGUGGAGAACGUCACAGAGCAUCAAGCAGUCUGCGCCUUCAAGGCAGGCGUGCGGUACAGGGAUCUGUGCCUGAAGUUCGGCUGAACAGGCGACAUCUCCAUGAGCAAGAUGAUGGAGAUAGCAACACGCUAUGCAAAUGGCGAAGAAGAGGACCGCAUCCGAAGCGGCAAGCACAAAAUAGUCGCCGAUGGAGAUGGGAGUAACACUCGGAAGCAGAAGCAGAAAGCUCCGUCCACUCCGCAGGCAGAAGCUGCAGCCAUAACCAAUGCCAAGUUCAAGGGCAAAGGGAAGGCUCAGUUCACCCCCAAGAAGAAGCAGUUCAAUAACCCCAUCCUGGACCAGGCAUGUCCGGUUCAUUCGAAGAUGGAUGAAGAGGGCAACCCCAUAUAUGCGAAGCAUACCACUCUACAGUGUCGCCUCCAGAUCCAGGGGUUCAGCGAAGGGCAACCGAGUGAAAAGGACAAUGAACAGGCUGAGGAGGAGAAGGAGGAUCCGUUCCCCCAAGUCCAUGCAACACUGAUGAUUUUUGCUGACGUUGAGAGCAAGAGUCGACUGAAGCUGGUGAAUAGGGAGGUGAACAUGGCCACCUCUACCAACCCCAAGUUCCUCAAAUGGUCUCAGACUGCGAUCAUGUUUGACCAGUCGGAUCAUCCAGCACACGUACCCACCCCAGGGAGACAGGCUCUGGUCGUCGACCCGGUGGUGGAGGGAGUCCGACGGUGCAAAGUUCUCAUGGACGGCGGCAGUGGCUUGAACAUCAUGUACACCGACACUCUCAAGGGGAUGGGCAUUCCGAUGUCCAAACUCAGCGAGAGCAGCAUGCAGUUCCAUGGAGUCGUCCCUGGACGAAAGGCGAAGUCACUCGGCCAGAUCGCGUUGGACGUCGUUUUCGGCUCCGACAAGAACUUCCACAAGGAAAAGCUGACGUUCGAGGUGGCAGACUUCCAGAGCGCUUACCACGCAAUUCUAGGCCGCCCGACGUAUGCGCGUUUCAUGGCCCGUCCAUGUUACGUAUACCUGAAGCUGAAGAUGCCAGGCCCGAAAGGUGUGAUCACCAUCACUGGCAAUCGACAGUGAGCCGAAGAGUGUCUGCAGCAGGGAUCAAGAAUCGCCGACCAGCAGAUGGCCGUCCUCGAGCUUGACGAGUACAAGAAAACAGUCGACCCCGCUGAUUUGAUGCGUUCGAGGAAACCAGCUUCGGAGUCCGCAUUUCAGUCGGCGAGAGAGACGAAGAAGGUCAACAUCCACCCGACGGACGACACUGCUGCCCCGACGAACAUCUCCACCACCCUCGAUCCUAAAUAGGAAUCCGAGCUCACCCAAUUCCUCCGUGAGAACUCGGACAUCUUCGCAUGGAAACCCUCUGACAUGCCAGGUGUACCCAGGGAGUUGGGUGAGCACCGAUUGCAUGUGGAUCCCACCGCUCGGCCUGUCCGAGAAUGCCUGCGUCGGUCCGCCGCGCACAAGAGGAAGGCAAUCGGGGAAGAGGUGGCCAAGCUGUUGGCAGCCAACUUCAUUCGCGAGGUUCACCACUCCGAGUGGCUCGCCAAUGUUGUCAUGGUGCCCAAGAAGGACAAGUCGCUCCGAAUGUGCAUCGACUUCAAGCACCUCAAUAAGGUCUGCCCGAAAGACCAUUUUCCGCUCCCCCGCAUCGAUCAAAUUGUCGAUUCGACUGCGGAUUGCGAGCGUUUGUCAUUUCUUGAUGCCUACUCGGGCUAUCAUCAGAUCCGUCUGUAUGGCCCCGAUGAAUUAAAAACAGCCUUCAUCACCCCGUUCGGGUGCUUCUGCUACAUCACUAUGCCAUUCGGUUUGAAGAAUGCAGGAGCUACCUUUAUGCGCAUGAUCCAAAAAUGCCUCCUCGACCAAAUCGGUCAGAAUGUGGAGGCGUAUAUGGAUGAUAUCAUAGUCAAGUCACGCAAAGGUUCCGACCUGCUGACCGACUUGGCAGAAACAUUCGCCAACCUUUGUUGGUACGAUAUCAAGCUCAAUCCCGCCAAGUGUUCAUUCGGUGUUCCCAGCGGAAAGUUACUCGGUUUCUUCGUUUUCGAACGAGGGAUCGAUGUCAACCCCGAAAAGCUCGGAACCAUCGUCCGAAUGGAGAGGCCGGUCAGAAUACACAAUGUUCAAGGGCUCACAGGUUGCCUAGCGGCUUUGAGCAGGUUUAUCAGUCGACUCGGCGAGAAAGCACUUCCUCUGUACCGACUCAUGAAGAAAUCAGAUACUUUCGAGUGGACAGAUGAAGCCCAAGUUGCAUUCGACGACCUCAAAGUCCUACUUUCCACCCAGCCGGUUCUUACUGCUCCGCUCAGUAAAGAGCCCCUUCUUCUGUAUAUUGCGGCUACAAAUCAAGUCGUCAACACUGUUCUUACAGUCGAACGAGAAGAAGAAGGCAAAGUAUACAAAGUUCAGCGGCCAGUGUAUUACGUCUCCGAAGUCCUGACUCCUUCCAAGCAGAGGUAUCCCCACUAUCAAAAACUUAUCUACGGGAUUUACAUGACUGCGAAGAAGGUGGCCCAUUAUUUCCAAGACCACUCGGUGUCUGUCGUUUCUGAUGCUCCGUUGUCGGAAAUCCUCCACAAUCGGGACGCAUCAGGCCGAGUGGCGAAGUGGGCAAUGGAGAUGUUGUACUGCGAUAUCAAGUUCGAGGCCAAGAAAGCUAUAAAGUCUCAAGCUCUGGCUGACUUCAUAGAAGAAUGGGUAGAACAACACCAACCGACCAACAUCUACUCGGCUCAUUGGACAAUGUUCUUUGAUGGGUCCAAGAUACUGAAUGGCUCCGGCGCUGGCGUUGUGAUCGUAUCACCAAAGGGCGACAAAAUCAAGUAUGUGCUGCAGAUACACUUUGAUUCCUCCAACAAUGAGGCAGAGUAUGAAGCUCUCCUUUAUGGAUUGCGCAUGGCCAUCGCACUCGGCGUCCGUCGCUUGAUGUAGUAUGGCGAUUCGGAUUUGGUGGUUAAUCAAGUGAUGAAAGAGUGGGACGUCAGGAACCCCACCAUGACCGCAUACUGCAAUGCAGUGAGGAAGCUUGAGAAGAAGUUUGAAGGUCUAGAACUCCACCAUGUUCCGCGACUGAAGAACCAAGCAGCUGAUGAGUUGGCAAAACUCGGAUCCACUCGGAGACCAGUCCCGAGUGAUGUCUGCCUCGAGCACCUCCACCUCCUUCAGUCAAAGAAGAUCCUUUCACAGAGGAACCAGUACAACCAAAGAGCUCGACAGAUCCGACUAAAGUCGACGUACCUGCUGUGGUUGAUCUGAUCAUGGAGAUUCUUGCUGUCACCCCCGAUUGGACUGUGCCGAUCAUUGCAUAUAUCCUGAGGCAGGAAUUACCAGAAGACGAAGUCCAAGCCAGAUAGAUAGUCCGCAGGUCGAAGUCAUUCACUGUCAUUGAUGGUCAGUUGUAUAGGAAAAGCGUUUCAGGCGUUCUUCAACGAUCCAUCUCCUCAGAGGAGGGAAAGUUGAUCCUGGAAGAAAUUCACUCGGGAACCUGCGGUCAUCACGCCUCUUCGAGAGCAAUCGUCGCCAAAGCAUUCAGAGCUGGUUUCUUCUGGCUACAGGCGAACGAAAUGGCUAAAGAUAUGGUCGACAGAUGUGAAGGCUGUCAGUUCUACUCCAACAAGUCCCACAAGCCAACAUCUGCAUUGAAGACAAUCCCUCUUGUGUGGCCAUUUGCAGUAUGGGGAUUAGAUACAGUUGGUCCAUUCAGGACAGGCCAAGGAGGAUAAACACAUCUAUUGGUGGCAGUCGACAAGUUCACAAAAUGGAUUGAAGCCAAGCCCAUCAAGAAGCUCGACGCCCUAACCACCAUCAAGUUUGUCAGGGACAUCAUCUCCCGAUUCAGGGUACCUCACAGCAUAAUCACACACAACGGAACAAACUUUGACUCGGACAGAUUCAAAGGUUUCUGUGCAAGCCAAGGUAUCCGAGUGGAUUUUGCAUCCGUGGUGCAUCCUCAAUCAAACGGACAAGCAGAGCGGGCAAAUGGACUUAUUCUGCAAGGUUUGAAGCCUCGACUCCUGCGAGAGGUGGGACAUGCCGCUGGCGCAUGGGUCACCGAACUGCCUUCAGUGCUUUGGGGUCUCCGCACAACCCCAAACAGAUCUACAGGGCGAUCACCGUUCUUCCUCGUUUACGGAGCAGAAGCAGUCCUUCCGAGUGACUUGCUUCACAAUGCUCGACGAGUCGAACUCUUCUCCGAAGGUGAAGCAAAACAAGCAAGGCAAGACGGAGUAGACCUUCUAGAGGAGGAGCGCGAGAUGGCACUGACUCGCUCAACUAUUUAUCAACAAGAUCUGCGGCGUUUUCACGCACGACACGUCAGGAGUCGCACGUUCCAAGAAGGCGACCUAGUGCUCCGAGUGGAUCAGCAAAUACCUCACAAGUUGGCUCCUGCCUGGGAAGGACCCUUCAUCAUCUCCAAGGUGCUGAACAACGGAGCAUACAGACUCUACAACAUCGACAGAGAGACAGACGAACCAGGAGCAUGGAACGGAGAUCUCCUGAAGCGCUUCUACACGUGACCGUCGACUCAAGCAAUGUAAAGAACAAGUAUUGGUGAAAUAACAUAAAGCAGAUUGAGCUUUUGCAGAUUCAAAGUUCUUCCGCGGUCGCAGACUCCGGUCUAAAAAAAACCUAAGUAUUAACUUUCUUCGAGUGUGCACUUAACGUCACACUCGAGGACUUAGCUGCGAUCCAGAAUCGCCUAAGUAUUAACUUUUCCGAGUGCGCACUUAACGUCACACUCGGGGACUUAGCUGCGAUCCAGAAUCGCCUAAGUAUUACCUUUCUCCGAGUGUGCACUUAACGUCACACUCGGAGACUUAGUCGCGAUAACGAAUCGCCUAAGCACUCAGAUGCCUUCGACUGUGUCCUACAGAUACACUCGGGGACUCAACAGAACCUCAUUGAGGCUCAUGUGGAUGUCAAAACAACUGAUAAUUACAUGAGUAGCAGAACCUCAUUGAGGCUCAUGUGGAUGUCAAAACAACUGACAAUUACAUGAGUAGCAGACCCUCAUUGAGGCUCAUGUGGAUGUCAAAACAACUGACAAUUACAUGAGUAGCAGAACCUCAUCGAGGCUCAUGUGGAUGUCAAAACAACUGACAACUACAUGAGUAACAACUCACCCCGAGUGCGACCUGAUAGUCGCACUCGACAACUUCGCUGCGAUCCCGUAUCGCCCAAGUAUUCUAUGACCUUCGAGUGUGUCCUACAAAUACACUCGGUGAUCCUACAGAUCCACUUGGUGAUCCUACAGAUCCACUCGGAGAUUUUACAAGACCCUGAGUGAGGCUCAUGCAGAUGUCAAGACAACGCAUGUUUGCCUUUGGAUUCACCAAGAAACGCCAAACAAAAACACGAGUCAAAAUCGUCUCAACAACUCUUUGGCAAAAGAAGAGCAAAAGAUUCGAUUCAAAUUCAAAGUUCACAUAAAGAUAGUUGGCCCGGUGUGGAUCAAGCUUAUCCACACCGAACCAAGAAUGUGACGGCCAACAGCAGUGGCCAAAGUUUCUUACAAAUCAACACUCGGCAUACCGAGGAUAAAGUUUUCUCAAACACCGUCGGGACUGGCAGGCUCUACGAAUGUGUCCAGAUCGAUGCCGUCGGCGAUGCGAGUGGCGCUCUCAAGGAAGGUUUCCAUGGAGUCUUCGAACCGAAGUUUCUUCGUGUUGGCGACCUGCAACAUUUUUAGCUUCUCUUCGCGCACCUCCUUGCAAUGCACUCGGACAAGAGACAGAGUAACGUCUGCGCCACAGCGAGCCGCAGAUUUCUUCCAUGACUGCACUCGGUUUGGGACCUCCUCCAGCCGUGUCAUCAAGCCUUCCAUCUCAUGCCGAGACUCGUCCUCAGGCCAAAGCUCCUUGUCAAUCCGACCGACGACUUCUCUCAGUCGACCGAUGAAAGGCCCAACUUUGCCCAAGCGAAUGUGCGCUCGGAGCAGAUCUCAAUUGGCGUCCUCCCCGAGUGGAAUAUUCUCACGCAUCGACCGCUCCACGUCAGCUGCUUCAGCCUCAGCGUCCAUGCAAAAAUCUGCAAACACAGGACGAGCAAAUAAUAAGCGCCGAGUGAAAAUCUCAUACCACACGCACUCAGAAAAACAGGACUUACCACCCAGACGCGUUAUCAUCUGCUGGGCCCAGUCACUGACGUAUUUUUCCUGCGCUAUACACCGCUUGUUCAGCACAUCGAUUUGUCCCAUUAGCCCGGACCUCUGCGCCUUCAUUUUCUCCACUUCAGCAGUCAACGCCUUGUACGCUUCACGAGCCUGCUCCAAAGACAUCUCUUGUUCCGCCAGAACAUCCUUCAUACCAGCCAUGGCAACCAGUGCCGCAUCCAGUUCACCAGCAAACUGAACCUUUUCAGCCCUGAGAGUCUCGUACGCCGUCCCCAUCUCGCAAGUUUUCUGCCAGCCAACGCCAAGAGACGAUCAGCCAAAUCCAACAAUAAAAAGUCUAAGUUCUUCAGACCCCUGCCGACGCAAGCAGUCGACAGCGGUCUCGGGGACUACACCCAGUGGGUUCACUGAGAGUGACCCCACUGGCAUGAAACUCAAACAGGUCCGCCCUAUUGAGCUACAUGACAACACCUAAGCCUGUGAGGCUACUACUACCCGACCUGAGUAAAAUUACUCUCGGGGACUCAUCCAGUAGGUACACUCCGAGUGCCCCAACUGUCAGCAUUCGAACAGAUUAAUUUGUGAUCUGAUCAAGUCAAAGACAAUGUGUAUAAAGACAACUGCCGGUGCAAGCACUCGACAGAAGUCUCGAGGACUACACCCACUAGGUUCACUAAGAGUGAACCCAUUGCAAAAAUCAUACGAUAUCCGAACACACCCAGUGGGUUACAAGAGAAAAGUAAAUACUUACUAGCCCACUUACUCGGAUAUCGUCCCGCAGUUCCAAGCUUCGCUGGUACAGGGACGCGAUGGAGUCGUACGCCUUCUUGGCUUCUCCCGCCAUUAGCUCCGCCUGCACCAUGGCCCCCUUGGCUGCUCCCACCUGGUCUUCUGGGAGGUUCUGCAGAUUGUACACGAUGUUCCACGGGCCUGGCAUCGUUGAAGGCUCCUUUGGCAUCCCAAGGCCCGCUCCAGUCGAUUCAGCAGUAACCAGCGCCGUUUCAGUCGACGGCAUCGCCUCAGUCGGCGGCACGUCCACGGCGAGAGCAGUAACUAGAGGAGAAGCCUCAAGGACAAGCACCGCAGCUUGCUCAGACCUUCCCUGGUCACCCUCAUCCACAUAAAUCGCCCCUGAGAGAAACCCGACCGAACGGCGUGAGAUCAUAGAAAAAGGGCAAGACCGAAGACAGAAUUCGCGAUGCAAUAAUGUAAACUCUCGGAAUCCCUAUGACGCACCUGGCUGGGACGAGACAACAUUGUCCGUGUCCAUGGGAUCAUCCCCCUGGCGCGCCGGAGAGGUGGCAGAGGUGGCAACCCUGUCGAGUGAAAUUCAUUCGACCAUCAAACAGGAGUUUAAUCGAAUAUCAGAAGAAGUUAGAAGAACAAUGCACUUACGUUGAGGUGACGGGAACGAUGAUCCUCAUCCGCGGCAAAGCCUUCCGAGGUUUAGAUCCGCUCGGUUUGGCCACCAUGGAAGGCUGACCCGCAGGUUCAGCAGCAGCGUCCCUGGUCCUCUUGGCGCUCCGAGCACUCAGGACCACGGGAGCAGUUGGCUGAGCACUCGAGGAUGCUGGAAGGGCCGAGGGAGCUGCAGGUUCAUGUCGGCGCUUCGUUCGAUGCUCUGGCGGCGGGGGUGGCGAGUCCUGCUCUUCGUCUUCCUCCUCUUCUUCGCCAGACUCCUCCUCCAUCUCCCCACUGUCGGAGACGUACUCGACGUUCUCCAUGCUGCCCUCCUGGCUGCCCUCUUCCUCCUCCUCGGCCGGGUUCCCGUUCGAGACAGGGGAGAACCACUUGGUCCACUUCUGCAUAAAAUACAGUCAGUGACAUCAGAUGUCAGAUGGCGAUUCAAGACAGCGAUAAAUCUAAGACAGUUAUGUGCGCUCGACAAGUUGUACUCACCUCGUUCGGAGGAGGGUUGUCUGCGCGGAAAGCCUUCACUCACCGGGACCCUCUGGGGUUCUCACACGCGCCUGUGAUCUUGAGCACCCACGAUGCCACUGUCUGCCAAGUCACGCACUCGACGUUGGUCCGAGUGGAGUCUUCGGGUCCCGUGUAAUGCCACAUGGCGUAGUCUCGGGCCUACAGUGGUUGGAUGCGCCGGCCGAGGAAAACCUCCAGCAAAUCUAUGCCGGUGACUCCCUUUCUGACGACAUCUACGAGUGCGUCGACCAGGGGAUGGAUACGGAUCUUCUCCGCCUUCGUGAGCGCGAGCUGCUUAGGCGGAGCUGGUCGAUCUAAGCUAAAAGGAGGUAGCCCUAUCGUGGUAUUCGGGCAAGCGACGUCCUGGCAGUAGAACCAUGUCGACUGCCAGUUCCUAACCGAUUCACUCAGCUGAAGAGCGGGAUAACUACUUUUGCUCUUAUUUUGGAAGCCUAAACCCCCAUAGAGCUGGAGAAGGUGAGUCUUAUCAUCCGACUGAUUAAGUUGUUUGAUAGUUUGGGACCUAGCAGAGAAGAUAUGUUUGAAAAGCCCCCAAUGGGGAGGACAACCGAUGAAGCACUCGCACAAGACUACGAAAGCAGAGAGAUGGGCGAUGGCAUUCGGGGGAAAGUGGUGGAGCUGCGCCCCAAAGUGGUUCAUUAUGCCUUUGAAGAAAGGGUGCGGGGGCAGGGAGGAACCUCGAUGCACGUGGCUGAGCAGCAGGACGCGCUCCCCCUCCCGAGGCGCCGGCUCGGUCUCACCCUCCUCCGGCAACCUCCAUGACUUGUGCGCGAUCAUCCCGUGCUCCACCAGCUCCAGCAAGUCCUCCUCCGUCAUCGUGGAGGGGAGGAAGUCCCCCUGGAUCCACCCCGCCGGUAGCGUUCGCUGCCUCCGCGCAGGAGCCGCCGCCUUCCCCCUCUUCUUCCGUGCCUCUAGCUUACUAGUCUGCCCCUUGGUCAUGGCGGAAGCUGCGGAUGCGCGAGGGAGAAGGAGAAGGAAGAAGCUUAGAAGGCGCAGAAGAUGGCGAAGGAAGCAGAGCAAAAGCGAGGUGUCCAGCAAGCGUAACGAAAAAACCCUCGCUGCUGGGAUUUAGGUAAGGUUCCGACUGGGCCACUGGCAAGUGGCCCCGAAAUCUUGUCCACCGACCGACCGCGGUGAUAUCAGUGGAGAAGAUGAAGGUGCGAGAAUCGAGGCGUCAGGCGCUACUCGAGCGUGAUGGCGUCAUCCCCGCUGAGCGCGCGAUAACCGAAAUUUGAGGAUCCCGGGAAAUCCGCCGCUGUGAGUUGACUGGUCACGUCAGAAGAUUCCACGGAAGCACUCGGUUUCCGACAGUUUGUUUCGCAACUACUUCCACUCGGAUCAUUGGUCAGAAAAGAUAAAAUGGAUCGAGGCAAGAAACGCCAAAGUUACAUCCGUAUCAGUCGGAUCCAAACUUCAAGCAUCACUUCGUCGUUCCAACCCCAAUCCAUUCGGGGACUAAUGAUGGGGUUAUAGUCCUAGGGUAGGGUCAUAGGCCUGCCCUGUAGGUCCUACCCAAGGACUACUGCUCAUAAGGGACAAGGCCCUUAGUCAGUUUCGACUGAACUAAGGAGUUCCCAUCGUCCAGUCGGUAACAGGUCCUCGACCAAACUAACCGACUGGGUUCCACUCUGUGCAUCGUAACCCCCUGGAGGGAAACGGUCAUACGUUUCCAUGUGCCUUUAUUAGCAUUUAAGACGUACGUUACCUCUAACGUAGGCAUUUAAUCGCCAGUACUCCACCCCUGUACACCGGACCGUUGUGGAGGGCAGCACACUCUAUAUAAGCCACCCUCCCCCACUGGUGCAGGGGUUAGCAUUUCACUGUAUUCUAUAUUCCACUCGCCAACAAGCUCCCUGAGCACUGAGACGUAGGGCUAUUACCUCCACCACAGAGGGGCCUGAACUCAUACAACCUCGCCGUAGCUAAGGCUCUGCGCAUCCUUUCGUACCCUACACAUCUACUGUCAGGCUUAUACCCACGACAGUGUCUGACCUUGUGAGAAAGGCUUCAUGAGGACUUGCAUGAGAUGGUUUGGCAAUUCAGGUUCUUCAGAGAUGCAUCUGUCUCCAUCUAAGAGAAUUGGGACUGAAAGAGCCCAAAGUAAUUCAAUUGCAGGGGCUUUGAAGUGUCUAUCUUGUGUCAUCCAAUCCAAAACCCAAUUGUUGACAUCUGAGACAUCUCCUGAAAGGUGUAGUGUGGCAUAGAACUGAAGAAUGAUUUUUUUCAUUCUAGUCACAGAUGUCGGCGCAGAAUUGCAGGAGUCUAGACUCGUUAACAAGACAAAGAACUGGUUCAUAGGAAGGAAUUACCUCCAUAUCUCCAUGAGGAAUUUGCGUGUGAGGAAAGGCCUUUUUCUUGUUGAAGAGCACAACACUAUAAUAGUUCAUCUGUCCGAGGGCCCAAAAUUUGAUGCGUCGGAGCUAAGGAGAUUCAUAUGGACUGAGGACAGUGAAGUAGUGAUGUUCAUGAAAGAAUUCAGACCUGUCAAACUUCGACCUUUUUUUCCUUUGUAGGGCUGAAUACCUAUUGGUUGAAGAUUUGGCAUCAAGCGGCGACCAAGUCUUCAAAGAUUUUUUGUUUGAGGAAUUUCAGCCACAAUAACUGCAGACAGAGGAUUAUCAACAUGUGGUUCAGUUGUAUUAUCUUCCAUUUGAGGGACAUGUUCAUCAGCAACGCUCUUCUCAGUUUGAUGAAUAUGAUGUGCAUGUUCUUCGGUUUUUGGGGCAACAGUUUCCUCAGUAUCUUCAGCUGAUGCAGCCGAUUCAGUAUCCGGUCAGACUUCAUCGGAGUGCUCUUUCCUUUAGACCCCGUCUGAAUUUCAGUUGGUGUAGGGGACUCAUGUACUUGAGGAAUUGUAGUGGCCAAUGGUGAGUUGGGAUGAGUAUUUUCCCAAAAUUCAUCAUGUAUCACUAUUGUGUUGUAGCCAAUGUCCACAUAUUCAUCCUUUUCUUCAGCAGUCACCUCUGUGUUCUGAACAGGAGGAGUUGAGGAUUGAGUAAUUUGAUUAGCUUGAAUUUCCUCAUCCAUGGGUGUGGAAGCAGUAGAGCGAUUUUCUUCCAUUUCUUCAUCCCCUUCUGGAAUGAUAUAUUCCUCACCAUAGGGCACCAUCACAUAAGAUGGUGCAGCGUUGAUUAGUGUGGCAUCAAUUGGAGCUGUUGAGGAAAUUUCCAAAGUCCUCAUGCAUUUUGGUUCUGAGGACUCUGAAGUCACUCAUGCCUUUCUCUUCUUAGCUUCCUUUUCAGCAGAUUUGGUUUUCUUCACUUCUGAUGCAGAAGGAAGAGUGAUUUUAUUCACAGUUGAAGACCUUGGUGAAGGAGCAUUUUGUUCAUGCAUAGCAUAUUCGUUAGCUGGCCUCGGAGGUUCAUCAGUAGCGGGUUCAUUAUCGCAAUCAUUAGGAAGUUCAAUAGUGUUGUUGGCCUGAGGAAUUGAUGGUUGCGUUGGGGCUGCAACCCUUUUGUUAUACUCUUCUACUACUUCAGUAGCGCUCUUGACGAAUCACACUUUGGAUCCUUUCCUGUCAGCAUGAUACCUUGUGAAUUUCUCACUAAGGGUUUUGAUUCCGGAUUGAGUGGAGACAAGUUGCUCUGGUGUCAAGAUUAGAAGAUUUUGCUGCAAAUACUUCUCCUUUUGAACAAUUGCUUUUUGAGCUUGUUUGGCUUGCUGGGCCUUCCAUUUUUCUUCAUUGAUGGAAGUGUCCACCAUGUGACUAGGUCCACGUGGAAGCUUCAAAUCAUCAAUGGGUGUGUUUGGAUCUUCGUACCAAAGAUCAAUGAAGUCUAGUAUCAUCUUCGGAUCAAGUGCAAGGGGAAUGGUAGUACCUUCUUGAAAGUGCGUUAUAUUGACUAGAGGGGGGGGGGUGAAUAGGCGAUUUUUACAAAUUCAUCACUGAGGAAAUUCCUAGGGAAGAAAGUCCUUAGUCAUCAUAUGAGUGCGACAAAUAUAGCACUUAAUCUGAAGUGCAAAACGUCUACAUCAAAGUACCCAAUGUGAAUUAAAAGAACCGGUUUGCACAGGUCACGAGUACAGGAUAAGCAGGUGAUGAAUAACUCAGCUGAAGAAUUUGAGGUGAGGAAAUCAGAGAAAGUCUUUAGUCAAAUUCUUCAAAUAGAACAGAUGAAAGUCUUCAACAUAGAAUUGAGGAAACGAAAGGUGUUGAGGAAAUAGAACCACUAGCUCGAUGAAGACAAUUGUUGGUGACCCAGUUCCAACCGCUAUGACAGUUGUACGUAUGGUUUGGAGCGGAUUGGUAUUAAAACCUGUAAGUGCAUGUAGUGCCCCUUAGUGAUUUUGGUGGUUUGAAGACUUAUAUGUUUAGUAUCUAAUGUGUUUAUGAGUGUACACAGGAUCUAUAAGUCACUGAGCAGUUUGAGAUAUUUGAUGAAUAUCGACCCCUAAAAAUAUAUAUCUUCGGAUGAAGAAAUUGGUCUGAAGCUGAAGAAUUGAAUCGCGAAGAAUCUGCGAUGAAAUUGAUAUUCCUCAUGAAGAUACUGAAAUUGAGGAGUUCGGUGUGUCCUGAAGAAAAUCAUUUUGAAGACUUUGAAUAAUGAGGAUUUACUCUUUCUGUUUUAUUUUCUUCGCAUUUGAGUAAUAGGAACACCGUACUGUUAAAGGGGGUCGAAGUUACACUUUGGAAUGAAUUUCCUCAUGAUGCUCAACCGAAGCCUAAUCCUACCAAAAGCCUGAAGUGAGGAAUACGAGUGACAUGAGGACUCUCACAGUUGAGGGUGUGGACCGUUUCGAUAGCCACGCCACAUCAUUGGUCUUAUCCACACCAACGGUCAUAUUAUUUAAGGGCAUUAGUGUCAAAUCAUGUCGGGAUGCUCCGAGGCUAUAAAUAUCCGCCCCCACAACCAUUAGCUGGUUGGCUGCUCCGUUAGAAACUGACACUUGUCAUAAGAGCAACCCAAUUCCUCAAAGUCCUCGAGAGUAUUUCAUCAGUGAGGAAAUACCCCAUACACCGAAACCACAAACCAAACCUAGUGAUUGAGCAUCAGUGAAGAAGUUGUUCCUGUGUGGGACUUAAGCCUUUUACCUUUGAGGACUAUGCAUCCUCCAGACGGUUAGGCGUCAUGGUCUAGAGCUUUUGAGCAGUCAAUUGUGGAUCGCCGGGUGACCAAGUUUGUGAGGGUUUGGAAGUCUUCCCUGAAGACUUACCAUGAGUGUUGAGCAGGGACUCUGUGUUCUUAGCCCAAGGAGAACACGGUAGGUACUGUGUGUCUCGGGACUGUGUGUCCUUUGGUUUCAAUACCAAACCGCUCCAAACCAGAUGUACGACUGUCACAGCAGUUGGAACUGGGUCAUCAACUACUGUCUUCGCUGUGAAACGGGUUCUAAUUCCACAACUCCUUACUUUCCUCACAUUAUGUGUUGAUGACUUUCACUGCUACUGUUUGAAGAAUUUGCUGAAGACUUUCUAUAAAAUUCCUCAACCCCAAAUUCUUCACGCUAGUUAAUCCUCAUCUGUAUUUUGCGUGCCUGCUCACUGUGCAAUCUGUAUUCACAUUCCUCACUCUGAAAAACUGAUGUUGUGAAACUUUGCACUUCUGAUCCUUUACUGUUUCCGCUGGAAGUUAGUCUUCAGUGAGGAAUUUCCUCAAAAGGAAUUUCCUCGGUGAUGAAAUUAUAAAAAUCUCCUAUUCACCCCCAUCUAGUCGAUAUAACGCACUUUCAAAACCAAAGGACAUAAAGUCCCGGGACACACAAUCCCUAGCGUAUUCUCCUUGAACUAAGGACACAUAGUCCUCGCCCAACACUGGUGGUAAGUCUUCAGGGCAGACUUCCAAACCCUUACAAACUCUGUCACCCGGCGAUCCACAAUUAACUAUUGGAUGCUCUAGAUCAUGACUCCUAGCCGUCUGGAGGAUGCACAGUCCUCAAAGGUAACAAGUGUCAGUUCCACACAGGAAUAAGUUCUUCAGUGAUGCUCAAUCACUUGGGUUUUGGUUUGAGUUUGGGUGUUUCGGGUAUGUCCUCACUUGAUGAUUUGCGCUUGAAGGCUUUGAGGAUUUUGGGUUGCUGUAAAUGACAAGUGUUAGUUUCUCUUGGAGCAGCCAACCAACUAGUGGUUGUGGGGGAGGCUAUUUAUAGCCUGGGAGCAUCCCGUGAUGAUUUGACAUAAAUGCCCUUAAUGAUAUGACAAUUGGGUGGAUAAGAUAUGGGACAGGUGGCGCGUGGCGCGGCAACGGUCGGAACUUUCAGUUGUGAAAGUCCUCAUGUCUCUCAUGUUCCUCACUUUGAGUUGGUAGGUGUAGGUUUAGGUUGAGCAUCAUGAGGAAAUUCUUUCCAUAGUUUUACCUCGACCCCCUUUAAUAGUAUGGUGUUUCUAUGACUCAAGAGUGAAGAAAAUGAAACAGAAAGAGUAAAUCUUCAAGCUUCCAAGUCUUUAGAGUAUAUUCUUCGGGAACCACUGAAUUCCUCAUCUUCAAUAUCUUAAUGAGGAAUAUCAUUUUCUUUGCAAUUUCUUCGCGAUCAAAGUCUUUGAGGAAUGACCAAAGUCUUCAGACGAAGACAUACAUUUUUAGGGGUCGAUAUUCAUAGAAUAACUCAAACUCCUCAAUGACUUAUAGAGCCUGUGUACACUUAGAAACUUAUCAAUCUCUUAACCUAUAAGUCUUCAAACCACCAAAACCACUAAGGGGCACUAGAUGCACUUACAAUUUCCCCCUUUUGGUCGUUGAUGACAAAUAGGUUAAGUUAUCAACGGGGAUAAAAAUAUGGAAUGUAAGUACAUAGUUUGAGGAAUUUGAUUGCAAUAUACACAGAAACCCCCCGUGAAGAUGUGCAUAUUUGAGGAAUUUGCAUUGGACAAUAAAUGCACAUUGAUGAUAUAUAUCAUGGAGAUCUCCCCCUGUAUCUUGUAAUUCAUGCAUGCAUUUGACAUAUAUUAUGAGAAAUUUGAAACGCAUGAUGAAAAAUGGUGUGUGAAAAAUUUCAGCAUGCAUGCAUUAACAUGCGGAAUAAGCAUGAGAGGAAAAACGUUCAAAAGUGUCAGAACACCAUUGGGCUUAAGUUACAACUCAUUACAUCAAACACUUCAGAAGAAACGAGAGUUUGUAACUUAAUAAAGUUUAUAAGCCCGUAAAUUUGACCUGCUUGAAGACUAACUCAGAUUUCUCCCCCGUUGUCAUCAAGUGACGAAAUGGGACGAAACCGAGGACUAACGCCUAUGAAAACUUCACUUAUGUGUUGAAGGUGAGGCGCGAGCAUUCUUCGAGUCAGGAUUCCUUGUUGGGCUAGUUGCAGUAUCAGCAGGUUCUUCAUCUGAAUCAACAGUGUGCAAUGAAGAAUAUGAGCUACCCACCAAGUCAGGAGCUGGAAUAUUCUUCAAUUUCUUCUUUCGUGGGCAUGACCAAUCAAAGUCGUGAGUGAAUUACAAUUUUUCAAGUUCCUUUGGAGUUUUCAAGUGAGACAGUAUGGCCCACGUGCGAUCAAAUACCUCAUGAAGAUAAUAGUGAUUUUUCUUCGCGAUAUUUUGAAUAUCAUUGAGGGUUUUCACAAUAGAGCCAAAUUGAUGCUUAACCCACUUAUGGUUUCGAUCAACUUUGUGAUGAAGACCAAGGAGAAGCUCUCUAUUAGUCAUCCCCCAUGGGGCAGUUGGACUUGGAGGUUUUGCUCUCCCAUCAGAUUCUUGGGUGGUAGUGUCAUCAUAUGAGGAGUAGGAUGCAGCCUUGCGAAAUUGACCAUCCACUGGCCGAUUUCCUUCAUCAAUGAAAGACUUGCCUUUGCCCUCAAUUGGAUCAAAAUAUUUCUUGAUGACUUUAUGAGGAGGCAGAUACCGAAGAUGAUUCUGAUAGUUUGCUUGAUAGUUGAUUUCGGAUCUGGUUCUGAUGAAUCUCAUGAUCCAAGGCGCAUAAAUCUUUAGCUCAAAUGGUGACAAGGCAUUGUUGGCUGAAGUCCUCAAGAAGAAGUGAUGAAGGUUCAUUUUGAUGCCGUGAAUGACGUUGAAGAGGAAGUUCUUCAUGAUUCCUACAACAUCUUCAUUAUCACGUGCUUUGAUAGGUGCGAAUGAAUAGGCCAAUACUGUGUAGACUGUUCUGGGCACAUACUUCAAUUCCUUCACCAGAAAUCAAGUCCUUGAAGGUUUGCCCUGAGCUAAUGGCUUUAUGAGGGCCUCCAUUAGAUGAUUUGGCAAUUCUUUUUCUUUAUAGAUAUUUAUUGCAUCAUCUCAAGGAAUUGAGAUUGGUAGAGCUGAGUCAUCCAGUCCAGAACCCAAGAGUUGAUGUUUUUGGGGUCACGUGAGAUAUGCAGUGUGGCAUAUAACUGAAAAAAGAUAUAUGUAUUCCACUCACUGAAAUCCGUACAGAAAGGCAGUAGCCCUGCAUCGUGAAGAACACUCACAACUGGAGUAAACAAGGGAUUUCCUCCAUAUCCGUGACAGCCCAAUACCGACGCUACAGAAGAUUCCCCUCUUAUUCCGUUUCUGCCGUGCGAGUAGUUGUCUGUCGCAUUCAUCAUCGCAUAAUGCGCAUCAUUCGCAUUGCAUAAGCACUCCGUUGCCACCAGUUUUCAAAAACUUGCAUCCGUUAUUAGUUGCCGGUUCUCACCGUUUUCGUCGUUGUCUGCUUCGAGUCCAACCACACAUGCACGCGCCUACAACAUCAUUAAAAUAUUGUUUUAAAGCGUGUAUAAAAUAUUCUAGGAUUGGGUUGAAACUUAGCGCGUGGUCUAAUUUUAAUAUAGGUAGGCCGCGUGCCAGAUUUCGUCGCAUUCGAAGUCUGUUUGAUAUGUGAACGGUCAACCGUAGCGGGACCAUCAUUUAUAUAUCGUGAGACAUUUUUUGGUGUUUACAAUCUCAUGUCGGGCCGAAAAUCUCCCUCUCUUCUUAGCCCACAACCCCUCUACACAACCUACCUAGCCUACCCCGCCAUUUCAGACUGUCCGAUCGAGAUUCGACAGCUCAAAAACGGUGCAACUGCUAACCCUAGCUCCAUUCCUAUUUAAACAACCUUCCUCCUAAUUUUGGGAAGCCACCCCCCUUGCCUCGAAAUCCAUGCAACCCUAGAUGCCUCCCACCUCCUCUCACCUCAGCCGUUGGGCCCUCGUGAGCCCGGGUCAGGCCCGUCAAGCCCAUAUGACCAGCUCCUCUCGAGCUUCGCCCAUGGCAGCCAGCCGCCCGAUGCCCUCGCUCCCGCCGAUCCCGCCGCCGCAAGCCAACUCCGGGUUGCUCCUAUCUUUCCGAGAGCCGCCGCCGCCGGUGUUGAUCUGCGCCGCCACGCCUACACUCUCCGGCCGGAGCCCCUACUCGCCGGAGCACCUCCCGUCGCUGGAGUGCAGCCGUCCAGCUCCCGCGCCCGCGCCCUAGCCCGCAAGCUGCGCCCGCCAUCGCGCAUUCCUCGUCGAAGCCCGCUCGCCGGUCGCCGCCCCUCGUCCUCGCUCAGGUGGCUCGCCGUCCCUUCACUCCAGCUCCGGGUCGUCGUCGCUAGCCGCAUCAACCCUCCGCCCAUGGCCCUAUGCAGAUGGGAUCUGGAUCCCGCCGCGUUGACCGCCAACUGCCACGCGUGGGCCAAGGCCAGCAGCAGCCGAGCCAGCCGGCCUGCUCCCCGCGCGAGCCUAGCCGGCCUGCCUCGCCUCUCCUCCGAGCCGACCCAACUUCGAUAGGUCUGAGGUGAGCACCCCCACAUUCCAAUCCCCCGCCCUGGCGCGAUUUAGUUAUAUUGCGCCAUCAAAACAUACCCGUUUAGUAUUUUUUCCGCCCUCCGAUUUUUCCAUUUACGACGAAUUUCAGAAAAAUUCAUGAUUUUAAAAUGCCUGUAACUUUUAAACCGUGCAUCGGUUCUAAAUAAGUUCGAUAUGUAAAAUGUGUAGAAUUUCAUGUAGAAUAAUAUUUUCCAACUCUUAUGCAUAUUUAAGUCUGUUAGCUGUGUUGUUUGCGUCAGUUUGCAUGUUCACGUGUACGAAAUGGUUUAGUUCGUAGUUAUUUAACAGGAGCUCCGUUGGAGAUGAGGCAUAUAUGUAGAUGGACUAGAACGACGAGUAGAACCACGUGAACCACUUUUUUUUGCCUUUUAACAAACAUAAAAUGUUAUUAGGACAAAUCUGGACAUAUUUAGAUUUUAACAUGUUGGGUCGCUUCGGAAAUGCUAUAUGUCGUUUCCGGCCUCAUUUAAAAUGCUUAGAUAGGUAGUUUAUUUGUGCUUAACCCCUUGCCAUGUUUAACAAUAUUUAAUAUUGACAUGUACCUAAACGGGAGUGAACUAAAUAAUUCGUAUGUGGAGUUUCGUCAAUAUACAACUCGUUGCAUAUUGAGCUUCACUUAAUGUGUAGUGUUUGAUUGUGUGAAUUUCCAUGCCGUGUGUUGCAUGAUUUAACCGAGCAUGCAUCAUAUGUGUUGUGCAUCAUGUCGUGCCUGUGCCAUGGUGAAUAUCGUGUGUUGAUUCUUGUUUCCGGUCUGCUUCUUCUCGAUAGAGUUCCGCAAGCAUGUCGGAAUGUGGGAAUCCGUUUGACUACAUUGGUUCGUCUGCUUCACGUAGUCGUUCUUCUUCCAAGCGGGAUUACAGGCAAGAUGAUCAUUUCCCCAGAUACCAUUACUAUCAUUGCCAUGCUAGUUAUAUCGUUUCUACCUCUAUGUCUCGCUGCCUACCACCUAUUAAAUAUCAGCCCCCCAACAUUGCCAUGAAAACCUUCAAACUUUCUACAACCUAGCAAACCACGGAUUGGCUAUGUUACUGCUUGCUUGACCAUUUGAUAGCGUUGCUAGUUGCAGGUACAGUUGCUUCCAUGUGCCAACAUGGGUUCCUUGUUAUAUUACCAUAUUAAUUCUAUUUAAAUUAAUGCACCUAUAUACUUGGUAAAAGCUGGAAGGCUCGGCCUUUCUAGCUUGGUCUUUUGUUCCACCUUUGCCACCUUAGUUUCGGCUACCGGUGUUAUGUUCCAUAAAUGAGCCUUCCAACCAUGGUUGGGGUUGUUAUGGGGACCCCCUAGAUUCUCAUUUUGGGAUAGAACUCGUCUGGCAAGGCCCAACAUUGGUAUUUAUUUGCCCAACAUAAUAAUACUGAUAUUAAUGUGACACAUAGGGAGUUAGCGCUACCCGAGGAGUAAUUCAACAUAAUACAGAGGUGCAAGUGUUGCUGGUGUAGGUCCCAAACAAAGCCACUUGCGGGGCCACCCGGGGCAACUCGGGGGAUUUGUAUCCAGCCACCGUAUGUAUUGCUCAUCCGUCGUGUCCUGAGAACAAGAUACGCGGCUCCUAUCGGGAUCGUUGACACGCCGGGCGACCUUGCUGGACUUGUUUUACCUUUGUCGAGCAUCUCGUGCGUGGGAUUCCGAGGAUACUUUGGGCUAUCUCGAGGUUGAGAUUUUCCAAUAGGAACCCGAGGAGAUCAUGGGUUUUCCCUGAUCAAGGUCAUUCCGGUGCAGUGUGUGGUAGUUUGUGGUGGACUAGUUGGAGCACCCCUGCAGGGUUAAAUCUUUCGGAAAGCCAUGCCCGUGGUUAUGUGGCAAUGUGAAAAAUUUGUUUAACAUCCAGUUCUAGAUAACUUGAACUAAGCUUAAUUAAAAUAUGCCAACUGAGUGCGUAACCAUUACUGUCUCUAUCGUGAGCUCCUUCUCCGAUCGAGGACAUGGUGGGGUUAUGUCAGACAUAAAUAGGUGUUCAUGAUCAUCAGUAGACAAGUCCGUUAUGCGUCGAUCAUCCCCCUCUUAUUAUUGUACUCGUAAGUUAGCCACCUCAAAUAAAUGCUUAGUCACUUGUCGCAACCUCACCACUUAACCUUACCUAACCCAUUAAGCUUUGCUAGUCUUGAUACCUUUGGAAUUGACAUUGCUGAAUCCCUAUGGCUCACAGAUUACUACAACACCAGUUGCAUGUACAUGUAAAGAGUUACUUUGACGUGAGCACGAUGAUUGUGUUUUUGGAGUUUCUUCUUCUUCUUCUUCUUCUUCUUCAUUGAUCUAGGAUGGGUUCCAGGCCGGCAGCAUGGGUAGCAAGAAUGUACGUCGUUCUUUUAUCGUUUGUUUUCGUUCGUAGAUGGACCCUGUCCUUCUUCAUGAUGAUUAUUUAUAUUGUUGUAUUGAUGUGACACUGAUGUAGCUUGUGGCGAGUGUAAGCCAACUCCUUAUACUCAUCUUUUCAGUACAUGUACUUCUAAUCAUAUCCAUUCUGGCGAAACGACGAGAUGCGUUUCUAUCCCUGUCGAGGCCAUCGCACCAAAAUAAGGAUAGGACCGCAUCUUGGGCGUUACAAUAUCACAAUGAGGAAUGUGUGUGUGAUGAAAUAUCAUUCUCUUCUCCACAAGCACAACAACAUAGUAAUUGAGUUGUGUUCUGGUCCAGAACUUCCUGUGCCUGAUACGAAGCUUGUCGUAUGGAUUUUCUCGAGUGAAGAAAUGAUGUUCAUCAUAAAAAUCUGCUUUCAGAAACUUUGGCCUCUUUGAGUAUGGCUGAUGAGGCUUUUUGGUUGAAUAUUUUGAUGUUGAAUUUCAUCAUCUUGAGGAAUUUUGGCCACCACAAUUGCAGUUUCAGGAUUUGCAACACGUGGUUCAUCAGUUGAAUCUUUAUGCUGAGCUGAGGCAGUUUCUUCAACAACUUGUUCUUUAGUUUGAGGAAUUUGUUGUGUCGUAGGUGCAGAUACAAUUUCUGGAACAUCAGUUUCUUUUUCAUGUUCGUUUUCAUCAGCUGAUGCAGCUGGUUCUUGGUCUGGUGCUGAUUUCACACGUGAGCUCUUUUCUUCAGAGCCAGUCAGAAUUUCUGUAGCGGACGGAGAUGCACGAGUUUGAGGAAUAUGAGAGGUCAUUGGCGAGUUCGGAUGAUUCUUUUGCCAUAAAUCAUCAUGGAUUACAUGUAUGGUGCAGCCAGUGUCCACAUCAUCCUCCUUUUAUUCAGCAGUCGUUUCUUGGUUUUGAGGAGGAGGUGUUUGGACUUGAGGAAAUUGAUCAGCUUGAAUUUACUCAUCUAUUGGUGUAGAUGCCGCAGAGCGAUUUUCAUCAAUUUCCUCAUCCUGUUCUGGAAUGAUAUGUUCUUCACCGAAUGGAAGAAUCAUGUAUGACGGUGCAACGCUGAGAGGAGUUGCAUCAAGUGGAGCCGAUGAUGAAGUAGACCGAGUCUUCACGCAUUUUGCCUCUGAAGACUUUCUAGGUGUCGAUGCCUUUCUAUUCUUAGCUUCCUUCUCAGCAGCUUUUGUUUUCUUCACGUCUGAGCCAUACGAAAGUGUCACUUUCUUCACUUUUAAAGACAUUGGUGAAGGAGCAUUUUCUUCAGGCAUUGCGUAUGCAGUUUCAGGCUUGGCAGAUUCUUCAGUUGUUACAUUCUGAGCAGAUUCAUCAGCAACUACAUUCUGAGCAGAUUCAUCAGCAACUACAUUUUGAGCAGAUUCAUCAGCAGCUGUUUCUUCAUCUUCAUAAGAAUCAAGCAGUUGUACAGUGUAGCUGGCUUGAGGAAUUGUUGGUUGCUUUGGAGUUGCAAACCUGCUGUUGUAUUCAUCGAUGGCAUCACUUGCUGCCUUGACAAAACUCACUUUGACACCCUUUCGGUGUGCAUGAAGACUUGUGUAUUUGUCAGUGAGAGUUUUCAGGUCUUCUUGAGUAGAAACAAGUUUCUCAGGCGUCAGGUUAAGGAUGUUUUGUUUCAAAUACUUCUCCUUUUUCACCUUUACAUCCCGAGCUUGUUUUGCUUGCUGAUCCUUCCACUUUGCUUCAUUGAUGAAUGAGGUUACCAUGUGGCUGAGACCAGGUGGAAGUUUCAAAUCAUCAAUGGGUUUGUUUGGAUCUUCAUACCAAAUAUCGAUGAAGUUCAACACCACUUUUAGAUCCAGUGCGAUGGGAAUGGUGUUACUAGCAGCUUGUUAAACCCUUUCUUGUUUGUUCUUGAUGAUGGCUUGAAGAUUUUGAUCAUCAUAUUCCUCACUUCCCUCUAACGCAGAAGGAAUAUUGAGGACAACUUUGCUUGAGCUCGGGUUUGUUCCUCUCCAAGCAGUCGUCUUCGUUUUCAGUAAGCCAGGUGAAGAUUUUGCUGCAGUUGAGGACUUUGCAGCCGUUGUUGCUUCUUUUUGAGGAAUUUUCUCUUUGGAUAAGGCUGUUGAGGGUUUUGAGUUGACAUUUGAUUUCUUCACAAGUGUCUUCUUAGGGGGUUGUACUGUGACAGAAGCCUCAACAGCAGAGGAGGAGGCAGGAGCAACAUAAUUCUCAUUGAACUUUGUUACAACAACAUUUGCGUUUUUCUUCAGCUUGGACAAAUACUUGUCUUUUUCCUCAGGAUAGUCUUCAAUUGUGGCUACAGUCGAGGGAUGUGCAGUUUGUUGGUCUCCCCGAGGCAAUCUUUUGCAAGGAGGUUUGAGGACAAACUUCUUAGCAUACUUUGGAGUGACAUAUUUGUAUUCUUUCCACUCCUUUGCCCAUCUGUGUUCAAUCCUUUGAAGCCCGAUCUUGCGUUUCACACUCAUUUCUUUCCCAUGAUUUUCUUCAUGUGGCGUGCAGUAAUCAUCAUAUAAGUCCUAUGGGAUUUCAAAAGUAGUGUUUUGUUCUAAUUUCUUGCCACCCUUCUGUUUUCUGUCCUCCUCCAUUUUCUUCAGCUGAGGUUUAUGCUAAGGAAUUCGUAUUCUUGAGCAAUAAGAUGACACAGGUAUCGUUUCUUCAAGAAAUGUUGCAAAUGAGUUAAGUUGGUCAGAACGUAGUGAUUCAUCAGCUGACAUUUUGUACAUGUGAACGAAGUAUAUGUGCGAAGAGUUUGGAGACGUCAUAUGCGUCCUCAGGUUUCAGGAAAUUGAAAAAUGACUCAAGUUGAGGAAUUUGAACAGUACAAUGUUGAGGAAUUUGACUAAGCAUUCUGAUCUUGGGUUCCAGAGUUGUGCAGAUUCGAAAAUUUACACAAUUGAGGAAUCUCGUAAAGAAAUUUGUGGCCUAGUGAAAUUCAUCAAGUGUUCUAGACAUGGGUGUGCACAGCUGAAAGAUUUUCUGAGGAAUAACUGAUUUCAUGAAUCUAAAGAAAAUAAAUGGAUCAACGGCGGCAGUAAAAUAGGAUUUUAAUUACCCUUGAUGAAGAACACGAUGAACCGGGGAAGUAAAAACAAAAGUUCUUUGGUUCAGAUCUUCAGUGCACUAACUCGGCGACUAAAGACAGCUACAGUGGCGGCGGAGGGAGAUGACCCGCAGUCAGCGUGAGUCGAGCGACGGCGAGGUCAAGGCACUGAAGCUGUUCCUCACCGGCGACGAAGAUUGCUAGCGACGACGCUAGGUUCUGAGCUCGAGCGGAGAAGAUGAGAGUGAGAGAAGAGUUUUUCACUGAAGGGGGGAAGUGGCUAUUUGUAGCUCAGGUGAAAACGUCCGAGGAGAAAUCUUCUCAUGAAACUUCCCCUGCCCUUUCGUCUCUGCAUGACACGUGCUACCCACAUACGAAGUGGUGGAUAUAGUGGAGAUCGUGGUUAUCCAAUCGUGAGUAGUGGGUGCAGUUACAGUGGUAAUAAUAUUUUUUUAAUUUUGAGUAUUUUGUUGCAAAGUAAUCACCUGACAAGGACUCAGUGAGGAAUUUGAACAAGUGUCAAAUACAACACAUAUGAAGAAUUGAGAAUAGACUAGGUUGAUCUUAGCAUAGAGGGGAGACGGGUCCGAUCACAUUCACUUAGAAGAAAUACCAACUUGAAGACUUAGCAAUAACUGAAUGCUAUUGAGGACAUUGAAAGCUCAUUAUAUAAUAUAUAGUCCAUGAAGAUCAUCACAAAGAGUUUUGAAGAAAUUGAAAAAAAUUGAAGACUUUGAAAAUUUGGAGGAAUUUGUGAAAAUCUCAGAUUUGAAGAAUUUAAACUUUUAAGAAUUUCAAAGUUUGACGGUGGCAUGACCCACCGUAUAAGAAUGAUGAUUUUAGGCGCCGCGUACAAUUGUCAUAGGGCCGUCAGAAUCAAAUUCUUCAUUAAUUUCUUCACACUUAGAGUGUUAUUAUUCAUUGAUUGAAGAAAAAGUUACUUCGUGUGUUGCGCAUCUAAGUCAUCAAUUUUGCAUAAGUGUUAGGAUAUGUGCAUUUUUACAGAACAUUCGAAGAUUCUAGGUUAUUUAGAUCACACCGCAACUUGCAAAACCUUUUCUCAUCCAAGGUCUUAGUGAAGAUAUGUGCUAGCUGGCCAUCAGUCUUCACAUGGUCAAUGAUGAUAUUGCCCUUGAGUACAUGAUCACGAAGAAAAUGAUGACACAUUUGUAUGUGCUUGGUCUUUGAAUGUUGUACUAGUUUGUAGGCGAUCUUGAUUGCACUCUCAUUGUCGCAGUACAGGGGCACAUUCUUCAUGUUGAUUCCGUAAUCUCUAUGGGUUUGCUUCAUCCAUAGCAGUUGAGCACAACAAGAUCCAGCAGCAAUGUAUUCAGCUUCACCAGUGAAGAGUGAUACACAAUUAUGCUUCUUUCAGGACCAGCAGACUAAGGAUCAUCCGGGGAAAUGACAUGUGCCUAAUGUUGAUCCACACGUUCACCAGCAUAAUCAGAAUCAGAAUAUCCAACGAGGUGAAGAUUUGAGCCCCUGGGGUACCAUAACCCUAGUGUUGGUGUGUGAGCAAGAUAUCAAAGAAUAUGUUUCACAACCUUAUGGUGUGAUUCCUUAGGUUUUGCUUGGAAACGUGCACAAAUGCAAACACUAAGCAUAAUGUCUGGCCUAGAUGCAGAUAUGUACAAUAAAGAGACAAUCAUAGAAUGAUAUACUUGCUGAUCGAUAGCUAUACCAUUUUCGUCACUGUAGAGGUGGCCAUUGGUAGGCAUAGGAAUCUUGAUGCCUUUGCAUUCAUGCAUGCCAAAUUUCUUCAGGACAUCCUUGAGGUAUUUCUCUCGAGAUAUGAAGAUGCCAUUACGUUGUUGACAAAUUUGCAAACCUAAGAAGAAUGUCAGCUCUUCCAUCAUGGACAUUUGAUAUACUUCACCCAUCAUGUAGGCAAAUUCAUGACUGUAACGUUUGUCACUACAACCAAAGAUAAUGUCGUCGACAUAUAUUUGGCACACGAAUAGUUCAUUGUCAUAGGAUUUUGUGAAAAGAGUAGGAUCAAGUGAACCGAGUUUGAAGGCUUUCUUCAUGAGGAAUUCCUUCAAUGUGUCAUACCAUGUAGCGACCCGACUCAAAACGAGUCAAGUCUCUGUGUAUCUGUGCCAUCCCUGGAUCAGUAUGCUGGCACACACAGUACAUCAAUGUAUAUAUCAAAGUGCAAUCACACAUAAAUAACAUAAAACUGAUAUAUACCUCAAAAAUCUCAGCGGAAAUAGUCAAGGGAGUGGAGUCCCAAUAAACACCAAUGGCAAGUUGAGUGCAAACCGUAACCCUGAAUCGUACUCUUACUCGUCGAAGAAAUAUCUGCAACAUAAGACGUUGCAGCAGUGUAGGUCAGCAUAUUGAAUAUGCCGGCAAGUCACAAAAGAGAGGGGUAGCAAUAUCAUCUAUACUAUAUGCAUUUAUGGCAGGUGGGGCUGUAAGUUUUAGCGGAAAGCAAAGUUUUCUCCUACAACAAGAGAGGGGCUAAAAUCAAAAUAUUACUUCGUUGUUGGUAGUUAAUGAGAUGGUUCCGCCAACCAGUUCUCAUACCCAAGUUAUCAUUAUUACCCACAUCUACUAUAUACAAUGGUGUUGAGAAUUCCGGAUAGUUUCAGUUCCUAUGGCUCAAGUUGUCCAUGACCGUGGACACGGCUAAUCGAUUAGGUUUGAGUACUCUGCAGAGUUUUGCACACGUUCCCCACAAGAUUUGACCGCCUCCGAGUAUGUCCUCGCACUUUAGAGUGUUUGAAGACCGGAUGAUCAAAACAUGGUCUUUCAACGGGUCCCUUGGAUCCCCUGUCGAUGCCCAUCCAAUCCUACCGUUCUUCUACAUCUGCUAGCAUCGCCUGUCCAGAGUCGCCACGUUGUCCAACCAAGCCAGAGCCCAUAAUGACUUGUGGCUGUGCAGGUAAGCCUUGGGUCAUGAAGUAUCCAUCCAUCUCUUCGUGCCUGCAUGAAGAUUUCCGCAAGAUGUCAUGGCGCUUCUCCAUGCAUCCUGGGUCGUCCACUGGUUUCUCCAUGGAGCCCAUCUAAACCAUCCUUCACCCAAAGGUAUAUUUCGUUCUGAGGUCUUGCAAGUCUUUGAGUCAUGAGGUCUUGAUUAUUAAGUUUCUCACAACACUCAUUAUAAACACUCAACCAAAUCCCGUCUCCUAGGAGCAUAGUAAAAUAACGUCCCGGCCAAAGUAAAAAUGGUGGGUGCCUACCACAUGAUACUACAACAAGAUCCAAAAUUUCCAAGUACCUACUUUGCUUGCAAUUGGGUGAAGCAAGGUAGAACUACCAUGCACAUAAAACAUAGGUAAUAAUAUGAUCAACGUAACUUGCCUGGUGAGGUUGAUGAAGAUGGUCGCACUCAUAAUCCUGAUAAUUCUACUCGUCACACUUCGAGCAAUCUAUCGUAAAUGAAUAUAGUUCAAUAAACAUUCAUGCCAAAAGGAAGAACCAAAAGAACAUAAGAACAAAACAUAUCUUUGUGCAAAAUAACAACAUACUAAGGUUUAAUAAGAAGAUAGGGCCUUAUGGGGAUGUAAAAGGAAAGGUAAAAGGGGUCAACUCAAAACAGUCAAAGGAUUAUCAACUAUCGCUAUAUAAGCUCGACUUGCAUACACUAUGGGAGAUGAUUAAAAAUAUUGAGAAAACAACAUGAAUGUUGUUUGAAAAAUAGUAUAAGACAUAAGAAUUUGUUUGUAGAAAGAAUUUCCUGAAAUGGAGCACUACAAUGCAAGUUAUAGAGAAUUGAAGUAUGAAUAGAAUUUGAAUUCCAUAAAGGUCAAAAGUAUUUGAAUUGGAACAUGGUUGUUAUGAAUAGAAAGUACAUAACACUAGUGUUUAGGGGAACAAGAAAUCAAUGGAAAAGGUGCUACUUUUUGCAAGGUAAGAUCAAAUGAAUGUUCGAAUACAAAUUUCAAUUGCUCAAAUUUGUAAGGUUCGAAGGUCGGAACUAAUGAUGCUACUGGAUAUAGGAGAUCAAUAUGAACAUGUAGAAAAAAAAAGAAUUACUAGAUUUGAAAUAGCGGAUCAAAAGAUACAAAUACUUUAAUAUAACAUUGAAUCGGCUUAGAACGAUGUGAACACUUUUGGGCACUAAUAGAUAAAUCUGAUUUGAUCAAAAUUAUAAGUUGAAAAGUUAAAACUAAUGAUACAAACGGAAAUAUUACUUUGAUACGAAUCCGAGGCAAUUGGAUUCAUCUAAAACGGAGCUACAGAUAAAAAGAUAUGAUCAAAUGAAGAUUGAAUAUGAGUGUGAACAAAUUUCGAAUUUCGAAAAUUUCAAAAAAGCUGAUAUGAUAGGUUCACCGGAUAGCUGGGAUCAAGACGAAACUCUAGGCGUUGGUUUCAUCUAAUUCAGAUAAACGAGUAAAAAGUUAUGGCUAUUUGAAAAUCAGGGUCAAGCUGUUUUACGGAAGAAAAGUGCUAUGUCUAAAAGAAUUCUAGGACUAAUGUGUAAAUACAGAGACUAAAUGAUAAAUCUAAUUACUCUAUCAUAUACUAGUGUAGGAAUACUAGUCUAGAAAUAAUAAACUACGGGAGUAUAAAAGAAAAAUACGAAGAGAAAUACCUUUAGAAUGCUGAGUAAGAAUUAAUUCCAAUGAGGAGACGACUUCGAGAAAUCCCGCCGAAGAGAAGAGAAUAUUUUUAUUUAAUAAACCUAGUCAAACCAAAAGAUUGAUUUAACCUGAAAUAGAUGAUUUUUGGAUGCUCCUAUGGGUCUAUAUUUAUAGGUGGAAAGAAGGUCUAAAAGUCAUUAGGUAGGCAAUAUGGGACUAAACAUAGACGAAAAGAGGAGAAAAGGAGGGACCAAAUGCCCAUGGGCUAAGUAAAUUUCGGCCAGCCCACACGCAAGUCCGGCCAGCCCAUUUUUCUUCCUGGAUGAACAAUGUUUCCUGGUGAAUAGUGUCUUUUUUUAUUUUUGAAAAUAAACAGCGAAAAAAAUAUAAACGAAAUUAAGAGAAUAUUUUAUAUAGACAUAUUAUAUAUCAAAAUUUUCAGAAUAAAAUUUCCUACAACAUGAACAUUUUAUUUUUCACAAAAUAAAAACUUUAUAAAAAUUUAUUUUUUUUAAAUUCAAUAAAAUCCAAAUUUUGUCUUUAAAUUUUUUGGCACUAUUUUUCUUCUGACUUUUUUUUUGGGGGGGUGUCAUGUUACCUCCUCUCUUUCUUGCUUGGCAAGUAUAUUGUCAGGAAAAAAUUUGUGGUUGAAAUAUUGUGCUAGAAAUAAAAUUCAAAUCAAUAACCAAAGGAAAAAAAUCAAAUGCCACAUUCAUUCAAAUUCUUUAUAGUUGAAGAAGUCAUGUUAUCUUCUCUCACUGAUUUUACAUGGAUGAAUUUGAAUUCAAAAGAAAAUGGGAAAGUCAUUUUAUUCCCUGUCAUUCAAAAGUUUUAAAAAAGUUUCUAAUUCCACUCAAGUUUCAAUCACUGAAACAAACAAACAAUGAAUCUAAUAAUUAUAUUAACAUUCCAAAAUUUAUAAUUUUGGGAUGUUACAAACUACCACACUUAAAAUGAAUCUUGUCCUCGAGAUCCGAAGAGGCUAAAAGAAAAGGUUUAGGUUUUGGAGGUCUUCUAACAAAUCCAAUCUCCUGCAAAGUGGGGUGCUACCACACCUAAAAUGAGAGUUACCGGUCCCUCAAAUUAUUAACAAUCCUCUGGGAUCUUGCCAUCUGACUCCUCACAUUCUUCAUGGUAACUACUUUGGUGAAGCUCUUCCAUUAUAUUCAUAAUGUUUCCAUCAAAAUCAAGGGUUCUUCUGUUGAUAUAAGCUUCUUCCGUCACUGGGUCUUCUUAACUGACAAGUCUCGUGACCAUUCUAAAUAACCUAUCUAUAAUUCUCAUGGUGGUCUACCAUUUGUGGUUAUCGUGCAGAGAGAAGGGUCUUGGCUUCAUCCUCACCGUAAAAUUUCCUAAGCGUGACAACUAUUGCCAUGUACAUGGGCUUUCAUCAUACCAUUCUAAGGCUUAAACAAAAGCUUCAAAGAGCGUCGUCCCUCACUAUGGGUAAGUCUCUCAGAUUUGCCAUUCCGAAUAGCAAGAGAAUGAUAAGAGUAAGUCGUCAUGGUGAUCAAUCCAUUCCGCACCCAAAUCAUUACUCUGUAUAAGGUUUAGCGAAUCUCGCAUUCUAACACUUGGGCAUCCUCACAAGCGUUGCAGAAUUUCUCUUGUCCAAGAACGAAGUUUGGAUAAUCCAUUGGUUCUGCAAGCUGAACAAAACAUCUAUCAUAUCUUCACAACUCUCGGUGUUACGCAUGCUCCUAAGAAAACGUUUGCUGGUGCAUCAUAGCUUAUUCCUUCAUGCUCUUGGGGCAACCUUCAUGAAAAUCUUGAGAUGAAUCCUUGGUACCGAUUGGAUUCCUUGAACUCAUAUUCCUUUCCAUUGGUCUGUGUACCAAUAAAAGUGUUUGUUCCUCAUAAUAAUUCCUUCAUUUCAUCCUCAUUCUAUUAUCAAAAUUCCACUUUCAAAAGUACUUGGUUACGAAUGUUGUCACCCACAUAGUUUGAUAUGGUCCCACAUUUCCUUCAAUGGUAUUAAGUGUGUUUGGCUCCUUGGUAUGCAUGGUACAUUUCUGGUCACUGGAUCCUGUGGGUUUACCGAUUACUACCACACUUAAAAUGAAAUAUACUCAUGCCUGCAUAGACCAUAUUUUCUCAUAUCCUCGAAAAUGGUCAGAGAUAUUUGUUCAUAGAGAAACAACUCAUACAAUUUCAACAUAGGAAAUCAUGACACAAUAAGUUCCAUUGAUUCAUGAAGUUAUUACAAUCUCUAAGUCUUCUAUUACAAAAUUCAACUCCAUAAUCUCAUGAAAACAAGAGUGCUUCAUGUUACACUUAUUGCCAUUGUCAAAGCUUAACUACUCCAUUCUAGCUUUCUUCCCCUAUGGACAUUUAGUAGCGUAAUGUCCUGCUUCCUUGCAAGUAAAACAAAUGACUUCCGACCUGUCUCGAGGCUUCUUGGGGUUUGUUAUUACUCUUUGGUUUUCCUGCUUCCUUCCUGGGCACAUAUUGAUGUAGUGGCCCAAUUCCUUACACUUGAAACAUCUGAUAUGACUCAGGUCUUUAUGUGCAGUGAUUUGGCUCUCGCUACUGUAUUUUCUCUUCUUCCUUGACUCCUUCAUUUUGGCCAGUUCUUCUAUUUCAAGUGGAUCAAACUCUACUUUUUCUGUCAGAAAGUUUCCCAGAUAUUCAUGGCUUUCCUUCAUGCAAUCCGUUGAGAAAUGUCCUUAUUCUCCACAUGAGUAAGAGGCAUUGGAGAAAAAUUGGGUUAGGCCUUGUCCAUCAGGGUCUUCAAUAUUUUCGUUCAUCACAAGUUCUUCUAGAAUCUUAUUCUUGAGUGUUUCCUUCAUUGCUUCUUUCUGUUGUUGUACAACUUGUUGCACCUAUAGGUAGCACUGGGCUCGGUAGUGGGUGGUUCCUUCACACAAGAAACAAGUCACCUGACUACUUGGGCACUCCUCAGCUGGGUGAUUUUCUUCACAAUGAGUGCAUCCAUCCUUGUGUUCCUCCUGGGUGUGUCCUAUUUCUCCACAGGUCUUGCAUGCAUAAGGCUUGUUCAUCGGGCUAUCAUAGCACUUUUGAAUAAGACAGGAUCUUAACAGAGUCUUUUUGAAUUCACCCCAGGUUUCUGCUCCACUAAAUCCUUGUAUGGCAUGGUGCAUUUUCCACCAAAUAGCAGCACCUUGGGUAAAGUACUGAAGAGCGUGUGCCACUUCAUAUUUCCUUGAAAUCAAAUUGUCCCGAAGUGGUUCUCCAUGUUCUGAAUCCAUAUAUGAGCCUCCAGCUGGGUCAUUGGUCUGGAGAUUAUAAGUCCAGCUUUAUACUCCAUCUGGUAGGGUUGAGGUUUUUGGGAUGAGAUGGGUAAGAGAGAGACGGAGAUACACACAAUACAAACAAUAUUUUUGAGAAUAGGUUUUAUUUGUGGCUGUUGGAAAACGCACACCAAUGACGGCUCACAAAUCAUCGUAUCUAACAUGGGUAUAUAACAGGGGUUUGGACUUCUAAUGGUCAUAUAAAUAUUCGGACGCUUCAGGGUCUUUGAAUUCUUCGGGUCUUGAGACUCUUCAAUUAGCGCAGCUUCAAUUCUUCAAAUGCAUGAUGAAAUCCUCUUUACUUUGAAGUGCGACUCAGUUGAUCCUUCAUGUGGUCGAAUGGAAAAGGAUAUUGUCUAACUUUUUGAGGUGAGAGAGAACAUUUGAUGAAAUCAGAAGAGAUGAGAAGUAAAGGAUGUUCUUGAAAAUAAAUUUUUUGAGAGAUCCUUUCCUAAGGGAUUUCCAGUUUCUAGGGUGACAUCCUACAGUCAAAAUGUGCUCUCAUACCAUUUCUGUAGCGACCCGACUCAAAACGAGUCAAGCCUCUGUGUAUCUGUGCCAUCCCUGGAUCAGUAUGGUGGCACACAUAGUACAUCAAUGUAUAUAUCAAAGUGCAAUCACAUGUAAAUAACACAAAACUGAUAUAUACCUCAAAAAUCUCAGCGAAAAUAGUCAAGGGAGUGGAGUCCUAAUAAACACCAACGGCAAGUUGAGUGCAAACCGUAACCCUGAAUCGUACUCUUACUCGUCGAAGAAAUACCUGCAACAUAAGACGUUGCAGCCGUGUAGGUCAGCAUAUUGAAUAUGCCGGCAAGUCACAAAAGAGAGGGGUAGCAAUAUCAUCUAUACUAUAUGCAUUUAUGGCAGGUGGGGCUGUAAGUUUUAGCGGAAAGCAAAGUUUUCUCCUACAACAAGAGAGGGCUAAAAGCAAAAUAUUACUACAUUGUUGGUAGUUAAUGAGAUGGUUCCGCCAACCCGUUCUCAUACCCAAGUUAUCAUUAUUACCCACAUCUACUAUAUACAAUGGUGUUGAAAAUUCCGGAUAGUUUCAGUUCCUUUGGCUCAAGUUAUCCAUGACUGUGUACACGGCUAAUCGAUUAGGUUUGAGUACUCUACAGAGUUUUGCACACGUUCCCCACAAGAUUUGAUCGCCUCCGAGUAUGUCCUCGCACUUCAGGGUGUUUGAAGACCGGAUGAUCAAAACAUGGUCUUGCAACGGGUCCCUCUGAUCCCCUGUCGGUGCCCAUCCAAUCCUACCGUUCUUUUACAUCUGCUAGCACCACCUGUCCAGAGUCGCCACAUUGUCGAACCAAGCCGGAGCCCAUAAUGACUUGUGGCUGUGCAGGUAAGCCUUGUGUCUUGAAGUAUCCAUCCAUCUCUUCGUGCCUGGGUGAAGUUUCCGCAAGAUGUCAUGGCGCUUCUCCAUGCAUCCCGGGUCGUCCAUUGAUUUCUCCAGGGAGCCCAUCUAAACCAUCCUUCACCCAGAGGUAUAUUUCGUUCUGAGGUCUUGCAAGUCUUUGAGUCAUCAGGUCUUGAUUAUUAAGUUUCUCACAACACUCAUGAUAAACACUCAACCAAAUCCCGUCUCCUAGGAGCAUAGUAAAAUAACGUCCCGCCCAAAUUAAGAAGGGUGGGUGCCUACCACAUGAUACUAUAACAAGAUCCAAAAUUUCCAAGUACCUACUUUGCAUGCAAUUGGGUGAAGCAAGGUAGAACUACCAUGCACAUAAAACAUAGGUAAUAAUAUGAUCAACGUGACUUGCCCGGUGAGGUUGAUGAAGAUGGUCGCUCUCAUAAUCCUGAUAAUUCUACUCGUCACACUCCGAGCAAUCUAUCGUAAAUGAAUAUCAUUCAAUAAACACUCAUGCCAAAAGGAAGAACCAAAAGAACAUAAGAACAAAACAUGUCUUUGUGCAAAAUUACAACAUACUAAGGUUUAAUAAGAAAAGAUAGGGCCUUAUGGUGUUGUAAAAGGAAAGGUAAAAGGGGUCAACUCAAAAGAGUCAAAGGAUGAUCAUUUAUCGCUAUAUAAGCUCGACUUGCAUACACUAUGGGAGAUGAUAAAAAAUAUUGAGAGAACAACAUGAAUGUUGUUUGACAAAUAGUAUAAGACAUAAGAAUUGCUUUGUAGAAAGAAUUUCCUGAAAUGGAGCACUACAACGCAAGUUAUAGAGAAUUGAAGUAUGAAUAGAAUUUGAAUUCCAUAAAGGUCAAAAGUAUUUGAAUUUGAACAUGGUUGUUAUGAAUAGAAACUACAUAACACUAAUGUUCAGGGGAACAAGAAAUCAAUGGAAAAGGUGCUACUGUUUGCAAGGUAAGAUCAAAUGAAUGUUCGAAUACAAAUUUCAAUCGCUCAAAUUUGUAAGGUUCAAAUGUCGAAACUAAUGAUGCUACUGGAUAUAGGAGAUCAAUAUGAACAUGUAGAAAAAAAGAAUAACUAGAUUUGAAAUAGCGGAUCAAAAGAUACAAAUACUUUAAUAUAACAUUGAAUUGACUUAGAACGAUGUGAACACUUUUGGCCACUAAUAUAUAAAUCUGAUUUCAUCAAAAUUAUAAGUUGAAAAGUUAAAACUAAUUAUACAAACGGAAAGAUUACUUUGAUACGAAUCUGACGCAAUUGGAUUCAUCUAAAACGGAGCUACGGAUAAAAAGAUAUGAUCAAAUGAAGAUUGAAGAUGAGUGUGAACAAAUUUCGAAUUUUGAAAAUUUCCAAAAAUCUGAUAUGAUAGGUUCACCGGAUAGGUGGGAUGAAGACGAAACUCUAGGUGUUUGUUUCAUCUAAUUCGGAUAAACGAGUAAAAAGUUAUGCCUAUUUGAAAAAUCAGGGUCAAGCUGUUUUACGGAAGAAAAGUGCUAUGUCUAAAAGAAUUCUAGGACUAAUGUGUAAAUACACAGACUAAUUGAUAAAUCUAAUUACUCUAUCAUAGACUAGUGUAGGAAUACUAGUCUAGAAAUAAUAAACUACGGGAGUAUAAAAGAAAAAUACGAAGAGAAAUAUCUUUAGAAUAAAAGAAAAUACGAAGAGAAAUACCUUUAGUAUAAAAGAAUUAAUUCCAAUGUGGAGACCACUUCGAGAAAUCCCGUCGAAGAGAAGAGAAUAUUUUUAUUUAAUAAACCUAGUCAAACCAAUAGAUUGAUUUAACCCGAAAUAGAUGAUUUUUGGAUGCUCCUAUGGGUCUAUAUUUAUAGGUGGAAAGAAGGUCUAAAAGUCAUUACGUAGGCAAUGUGGGACUAAACAUAAACGAAAAGAGGAGAAAAGGAGGGACCAAAUGCCCAUGGGCUAAGUAAAUUUCGGCCAGCCCACUUUUCUUCCCGGAUAACAGUGUUUCCUGGUGAAUAGUGUCUUUUUUUAUUUUUGAAAAUAAACAGCGAAAAAAAUAUAAACGAAAUUAAGAUAAUAUUUUAUAUAGGCAUAUUAUAUAUCAAAAUUUUCAGAAUAAAAUUUCCUACAACAUGAACAUUUUAUUUUUCACAAAAUAAAAACUUUAUAAAAAUUUAUUUUUUUAAAAUUCAAUAAAAUCCAAAUUUUGUCUUUAAAAUUUUUGGCACUAUUUUUCUUCUCACUUUUAUUUUUUUGGGGGGGGGGUGUCAUGUUACCUCCUCUCUUUCUUGCUUGGCAAGUAUAUUGUUAGGAAAAAAAUUGUGGUUGAAAUAUUGUGCCAGAAAUAAAAUUCAAAUCAAAAACAAAAGGAAAAAAAUCAAAUGCCACAUUCAUUCAAAUUGUUUAUAGUUGAAGAAGUCAUGUUAUCUUCUCUCACUGAUUUUAAAUGGAUGAAUUUGAAUUCAAAAGAAAAUGGGAAAGUCAUUUUGUUCCCUCUCAUUCAAAAGUUUUAAAAAAGUUUCAAAUUUAACUCAAGUUUCAAUCACUCAAACAAACAAACAAUGAAUCUAAUAAUUAUAUUAACAUUCCAAAAUUUAUAAUUUUGGGAUGUUCCAUACCACGCCCGAGGGGCUUGCUUGAGGCCAUAGAGUGCCUUUUUGAGUUUGAAGACUUUAUCAUGGUGCUUUGGGUCUUCAAAACCUGGGGGCUAAGCAACAUAUACUUCUUCCUCAAGCUUACCAUUGAGGAACGCAAUUUGCACAUCCAUUUGAUAUAUAUUAAUAUUUGUGAUGGUUAGCAUAAGCAAGCAAUAUUCAAAUAGCCUCAAAUCUAGAAACAUGUGCAAAAGUUUCAUCAAAGUCUAUUCCUUCAACCUGUGUGUAGCCUUGUGGUACAAGUCGUGCCUUGUUUCACACUACCUGACCAUCCUCAUCUUUCUUGUUUCGGUAGAUCCACUUGGUGCUGAUGAUAGUGUGUUUGCGCGUAUCUGGUCUUUUGACGAGUUCCCACACGUCAUUUAACUUGAACUGAAGAAGUUCAUCUUGCAUAGCUUUAAUCCACUCAGGUUCUAUGAAGGCUUCAACAACUUUUGAGGGUUCUGUGAUAGACACAAAAGAGGAAUGCCCACAAAAUUUAACUAAAUGUGAAGCUUUUGAGCGAACGAGAGGACCUGGCGCAUUGAUGAUUUUGUCAAUUUCCAAUUCAUUUGCAAUCCUUGGAUAUGCUGGUUGAAGACUUAGGUUGGGUUGAGGAAUUUGGUCUGUAGCAUUUUCCUCAGGUGCCCCUGCUUGAAUUUCAUCAUUGUUGGGGACGAUUUGUUCAACAAGGGGUUGUUCCAUAGCAGGAAUUAUAUCUUAAGUAGCCUUGUGCUUUAUAGCUUCCUCAUGAGUCAAUUUAUCUGUCACAAGAGGUAGUUGCUCUCUUUGCGAGCCGUUAGUUUCAUCAAAUCGCACUUCUAUAGUUUCAACAACCUUGUUAUGAUAGGUGUUGAAGACCGUGUUUUUGAAUUCUGUUCCAUUAUCACUUCUGAUGUGUUUGAUCUUGGCGUCGAAGUUCGUUGAGGCCCUUGAGGAAAAUCGUUUGAAGACUUCCUGCACUUCAUUUUCGUAAGCGGUGAUGUGUACCCAAGUAUAACGAGAACAGUCAUCAACGAUGACAAAACCAUAUAGAUAUGCUGCAUUGGUUAGAGUAGCAUAAUGAGUAGGUCCAAAGAGAUCCAUAUGAAGCAAUUCAAACGGACGAGCAGUAGUCAUGAUAUUCUUCAAGGGGUGAUUGGAUCUGGUCAUUUUCAGACUCACAAGCACCGCAGAGAUGGUCCUUGAGGAAUUUGAUAGUUUUGAUGCCAAUGACAUGCUUCUUCUUUGUCGGUGUGUGCAAAUUCCUCAUGCCUGCAUGACCAAGUCGUCGAUGCCAUAGCCAGCCUUCUGAUGUUUUUGCUAGUAAACACGUGGCUGGUUGAGGACCUGUGGAAAAAUCAACAAUAUACAAGUCUCCUCUCCUAAAGCCUUCGAAGACUUUGGAUUUGUCAGAUUCCAUGAUGACUACACAUCUAUAUUUUCCAAAGAUUAGAAUCAUAUCAAGAUCACAAAGCAUGGAAACUGACAUGAGGUUAAACCUAAGGGAUUCGACAAGCAUGACUUUGUCCAUGUGCCGAUCCUUGGAGAUAACCACUUUACCAAGUCCCAAUACCUUGCUUUUACCUUUAUUAGCGUAAGUGAUUUGCUUCAGUGGUGAUGGUGUUAGUGGGAUAUUCAUCAAUAAGAUUUUAUCACCAGUCAUGUGAUUUGUACAUCCACUGUCAAGAACCCACUCUGUGUUCUUGGGUUGAUCAUCCAGCAGAUGAAUUAGUACAGCUUACCUUCUCAUAUGCUUCAGAUUUGAAGAAUAUGAUUUCAAUUUCAUCAGACUUGAAUUUCAUCACAAACAGUAAAUUUGAGGACAUAUGAAAUGUUAGUUCAUUUUAUCAUGUUUUAGCUUGCGUUCAAUCAAGCAAUUUCCUCAGGUAUCCAACAAAUUCUUCACAUGAUGACUUUCAUCUCGAGACGUGUCAUGUAGAAGUGAUUAGUUCGAUUUCUUCACCACCCACAUUUGGAGGGGUGGCAAAUAGUUCAUCAUCCUAUGAGCACCAUAUGAGAAUGGAGGCAUUGAAGCUAAUGCACUUCUUUUCACAAUAGGGGGGUUAGAGUACUGAAAUGAAUAGGCAGAGAAAUUCUUUGAAGACUUAUGAACAUAAUGAUUUGAGGAAUAGUGCACAUAUUCAUGUCCAUUGUAGUUUCCGUGCAUAUCAGAAGCAUUAGUGCGUGUACGAGCGUAAUUUUGACCAUAUGAGGAAUUUGAUCCUCGUGAAGACUUUGGUCCACCUGAGGAAUUUGAUCUGGGUUUCGAUUCUUCACUCGUGGUGACAUGAGGACAUUCACGUGAAAAUUUUCCAAGCAACUUUUGGGAACCCAGAUUUUCCUCCAAGGAGGUCCAUUCCUGCAGUUAGUUCCAACAUAUCGAGCAAAUACUUCACCAGACUGAUUUUUGAACAAUUUAUAGUUGGAGUCAAAUGACUCAUCAGAGGAAUAGGACAUUUCACAUGCAAAGCCUGUUGGAGUGGAUGGAUCAAUGGGAGGUCCUUUAGCAGAAGCCCAUGAGGUUUUGGGGUACUGCUCAGGUUUCUAGUAUGAUCCAUCAACAUUCAUUUUCCUUUCGAAGGCAAUGCCCUCUUUCCUCGGGUUCCUGUUCAAAAUCUACCUUCUGAGCACAUCGCAAAGGGUUUGAUGCCCUUUGAGACUUCUGUUUAUGCCUGUCACAUACAAUUCCUUCAAUCCUGCAUUUUCGUCAGUAGCAUUUGUGGUUUCCUCAAGUGAAGAAUUUAAUACUACAUGAAUAGUUGAAGAAUUUGUAGCGAUAGAAACAUUUGAGGAUUCAGAUGAAGAAUUAGCAGUUUCAUGUUCGAUGCAUUUCAGACAUGGUGGAAUGAAUUCUUCCCGAGCGGUACUGAUCUGUUGAGCAAGCAGUGAAUCAUUUUCCAUUCGAAGAUCAUCAUGGGACAUUUUCAACUUCUCAAGAUCAAGCUUCCUUUGAAGAAAUUCAUAGGAAAGCUUCUCAUGAUCAGCGAAGUGUGUACCAUAACGAUGUUGAAGACUAUCAAAUCUAUUCUGAAGACUUUGAACAUCUUAAGUCAGGAUUUGAGUAUGAUUCAUUUCAUCAUUCAACAGACCAUCGCUUUUGUCUAGUAGUUUCUGAAGCUUUUUAAUAGCAGUUUGUCGCUUAGUGGCAAUGUUGGCAAGUUUAAAGUAACUAGGAUUUUGAUAAUCAUUAGGUUCACACUCACUAGAGUAUGAGGAGGAUGUGUGGUUUGGUACCGUUGAACAUGUUGCCAUGAAGCAAUAGGUUGGAGCAAAGUCAUCAUCAUAUUCAUCCGUGUUGUUGACGAUAUCAUUUUCCUCAAAGUUGAAGAUCCAUGAUACGUCUCCAACGUAUCUAUAAUUUUUGAUGGUUUCAUGCUAUUAUCUUGUCAAACUUUGCAUGUUUUGCAUGCCUUUUAUAUUUUUUGGGACUAACUUAUUAACUCAGUGCCAAGUGCGAGUUCCUGUUUUUCCAUGUUUUUGACCCCUUUCAGAGAAGAUUUUGAAAUGGAGUCCAAACGGAAUAAAAUCCCCAAAAAUAUUUUUUACGUAACGGAAGAAGAUCAGAAGACUUGAGAGCCAAGGCAGGGUGGCCCCAGGGGCCCCACAAACCCCCACCCCGCGACCAGGGGGGAGGCCGCAGCCCUCAGGCUUGUGGACCCCCUGGACACCCUUUGCCCUAGGUUUUGCGCCUAUAUAUCCCCAAAAAUUCCACAAAAAAAUCAAGAGAUCAUCAAAAGUACUUUUCCGCCGCCGCAAGCUUCUGUCUCCACAAGAUCCCAUCUGGAUCACGUUCUGGUGUCUUUCCGGAGGGGGGAUUCGAAUACGGAGGGCUUCUUCAUCAACACCAUGACCUCUACGAUAAUGCGCGAGUAGCUCACCAUAGACCUAUGGCUCCAUAGCUAGUAACUAGAUGGCUUCUUCUCUCUCUUGAAUCUUCAAUACAAAGUUCUCCAUGAUCUUCAUGGAGAUCUAUCCGAUGUAAUCUUCUUUUUCGGUGUGUUUGUCGAGAUCCGAUGAAUUGUGGAUUUAUGAUCAGAUUAUCUAUGAAUCUUACUUGAGUUUCUUCUGAUCUCUCUUACGCAUGAUUUCAUAUCCUUGUAAUUCUCUUCGAGUUGUGGGUUUUGUUUGGCCAACUAGAUCUAUGAUUAUUGCAUUGGGAGAAGUGCUUGGUUUUGGGUUCAUACCGUGCGAUGACCUCACCCAGUGACAGAAGGGGUAGCGAGGCACGCAUCGUGUUGUUGCCAUCAAGGGUAAAAAGAUGGGGUUUUCAUCAUUGGUUUGAGAUUAUCCCUCUACAUCAUGUCAUCUUGCUUAAAGCGUUACUCUGUUCGUCAUGAACUCAAUACAGUAGAUGCAUGCUGGAUAGCGGUCGAUGUGUGGAGUAAUAGUAGUAGAUGCAGAAAGUAUCGUUCUACUUGUCUCGGACGUGAUGCCUAUAUGUAUGAUCAUUGCCUUAGAUAUUGUCAUGACUUUGCGCAGUUCUAUAAAUUGCUCGACGGUAAUUCGUUCACCCACCGUGAUAUUUGCUAUUUUGAGAGAAGCCUCUAGUGAACACUAUGGCCCCCGGGUCUACUCCACACCAUAUUUUCAGCCUUACACUUUUUUACUUCGUUGCACUUUCCGCCUUCAGAUCUCACUUUGCAAACAAUCUUGAAGGGAUUGACAACCCCUUUGAAGCAUUGGGUGCAAGCACAUUUGUGUUUGCGCAGGUAUUCUGAACUUGACGAGACCCUCCUACUGGAUCGAUACCUUGGUUCUCAAACUGAGGGAAAUACUUACUGCUCCUAUGCUGCAUCACCCUUUCCUCUUCAAGUGAAAAACCGACGCAAACAAGAGAAGUAGCAAGAAGAUUUCCUGGAGUUGCCGGGGAAGGACUUUUGUUGCCGUAGCAAUCCAGUUGCUUAGAAAUGUGGUAGCAAGUGCAAGACUCGCCACACCAGAUUCUGACUCCACUUCAGAACCUUCCUCUUCAUCACAUUCCUCAUAUUCUUCUUCAGAAUCCAUUUCCUUGCCAAUGAGUGCCCGAGCCUUUCUGAAAUAGGUCUUCUUGUGCGAUGAGGACUUUGAAGAUUUCUUCUUUUUCUUCGAGUCGUUAGAACUUUCAUCCUUGUAUUUCUUCUUCCUUGAUUCGUUCAUCCAACGAGGACAGUCGGCAAUGUACUGACCAAAUUUCUUGCAUUUGUGGUAGGUUCUUUUCUUUUAGUCUUCAGAUGAAAAUUCUGAUUUCCUCAUAUCAUUUUUUGAUGACUUUACAAACUGUGCACGCCUUGAGAACUUCUCUAAUUUCCUCACGAGCAUAGCGAGUUCCUGACCGAGUUCUUGAGGAGCACCAAGACUUCAGUCAGAUUGUUCUUCUGUAGAUGAGGAAACAACCUUUGCCUUCAGUGCACGAGGUCUUGAAUAGCUUGGUCCAUAUAGGUCUCUCUUUUCUUCUUAUUGGAAUUUGUGAGUAUUGAGUCUCUCAAGAAUAUCGGCGGGAUCAAUUAGCUUGUAGUCUCUUUGUUCUUGAAUCAUCAGUACCAGUGUGUCAAAUGAAGGAUCAAGAGAUUGUAGCAGUUACUUCACAACUUCAUGGUUAGUGAUGUCUCUGGCUCCAAGAGCCUGAAGCUCAUUGGAGAUGUCAGUGAGGCGAUCAAAGAUGUCUCGACAUCUUUCAUUAUCAAGUCCCUUGAAGCGAUUGAAGAGAUUGCGAAGAACAUAAACACGAGAGUCACGUUGUGUGGACACUCCUUCGUUGACUUUGGAUAUCCUUUCCGAGAUAAGCUACGCAGAAGACAAAGCACUCACUGUGCCAUAUCGACCUUUGCUCAGAUGGUCACAAAUGAUAUUCUUUUUUUGAGAGUCGAGUUGCUUGAAUCUCUUCACAUCAGCGGCAGUGAUAGUUGAAGUGAAAAGGGGAACACCAUUUUCCACAAUGUACUAGAGAUCGUUGUCAAUUUCUUCAAGGUGCAUGCACAUCUUGUUCUUCAAGUAAGGGAAAUCAUUUCCUUCAAAGGUAGGACACCCCACAGUCACCUUGAUCAUACCUACAACCGACAUAACUAAAACUCUAGGUGGUUAAACCAAAUCACACAGAACAAGGGAGUACCUUGCUCUGAUACUAAUUGAAAGUGCGUUAUAAUGACUAGAGGGGGGUGAAUAGGCAAUUUUCGAAAAUUCAUCACUAUGGAAAUUCCAAGUGAGGGAAGUCCUCAAUCAUGAACUGAGUGCAGUAGAAUAAGUACUCAAACCGACAUGCAAAAGGGACUAUAACUUAGUUCUCAGAGUGAGUUGCAGUGUUCGGUUUGCAUAGGUCGCAUGAACAGGAUAAGCAGGUGAUGAAUAACUUGAGUGAAGAAUUUGAGCUCAGGAAUUCAGAGAAUGUCUUCAGUCAAAUUCUUCAUAUGGUACAGAUCAAAGUCAUCAACAUGUAGUGGAGGAAAUGAAAGAGUUGAAGAAAAAGAACCCAUAGUUCGAUGAAGACAAUGGUUUGAUGACCCAGUUUCAACUGCUGUGACAGUCGUACAUCUGGUUUGGAGCUGCUUGGUAUUCAAACCAAAGGACACAUAGUCCCGGGACACACAGUCCCUACCAUAUUCUCCUUGAGCUAAGGACACACAGUCUUCUCCCAACACUCGUGGUAGGUCUUGAGAGCAGACUUCCAAACCCUCUCAAACUCGGUUACCCGGCGAUCUACAAUUUACUAUUUGUUGCUCUAGACCAUUGAAGCCUAACCAUCUGGAGGAUCCACGGUCCUCAAAGGUAACAAGCAUCAGAUCCACACAAGAACAAUCUCUUCAGUGAUGCUCAAUCACUUUGGGUUUUGGUUUUGGUUUGGUUAUUUAGGGUUUUUCCUCACUUGAUGAUUUCCGCUCCAAGUCCUCGAGGAUUGAGUUGCUCUAAAUGACAAGUGUCAGUCUCUCUCGGAGCAGCCAACCUACUAGUGGUUGUAGGGGGUGGCUAUUUAUAGCCAUGCAGCAUCCCGACAUGAUUUGACAUUAAUGUCCCCAAUGAUAUGACCGUUGAGUGGAUAAGAUUGGGGACAGGUGGCGCACGACGCGGGAACGGUCGGAUCUUUCAGCUGUGAAAGUCCUCAUGUCUCUGAUCUUCCUCACUAAUAGGCAAUUCGUGCUCGUGAAAUCCUAACUCCUAAGUUAGUGCAAUUUCUUCAGCGACCAGAAGAACUGCGUCGCUGCCACUUAAGACUUGGACUAAUCUAUGAGAGAUUUUCAAAGCCUUCACUUGAAGGUUUUGGUAUUUUUAGGCUUUAAGUUGAGCAUCACGAGGAAAUCUUUCCUUAGUAUUACCUUGAACCCUGAUAACCCACAAGUGUAGGGGAUCGCAACAGUUUUCGAGGGUAGAGUAUUCAACCCAAAUUUAUUGAUUCGACCCAAACGGAAGCGAAAGAAUAUUAUCAAGUAUUGGCAUCUGAGUUUGUCAAUUUCAACCACACCUGAAAGAUUAUUGUCUGCAAGCAAAGUAUUAGUAGCAAAGUGGUAUGAUAGCAACGGUGUUAGAAAAAGAUCUGUUGACGGCAGACUAUUCUUAACUGUUGUAUCAAUGGCGCGAGUAAAUAGCACGUGGACGGGGAACUAUUCUUUCCCGGCAAUGGCUCCAAGAAAGUCUUGCAACAAGUAGCAGCAAAGUAACAACAGUAGUGACAACAGUAGCAAGGAACAACAGUAGUGACAGAAGUAGCAGCAGCAAAGUAAGAGCAGUAGCGACAGCAGUAGCAGCAAAGUAACGUAGCAAGGACCAGUAGUAAAAGACUCGUAGGAAGUGGAUCGGUGAUGGAUGAGUGUGCCGUAUGUUUGUCAUCAUGUAACAGCUAUAACACGGAGAGAUAUGUAACUAGCUCCCGUUCGUCGAUCUAAUGUAGGCAUGUAUUCCGUAUGUAGUCAUACGUGCUUAGGGAAAAGAACUUGCAUGACAUCUAUUGUCCAUCCCUCCCGUGGCAACGGGGUCCUAAUGGAAACUAUGGGAUAUUAAGGUUCUCCUUUUAAUAAAGAACCGGACCAACGCAUCAACACGCGGUGUAUACCUGAACUCCUCAUACUAUGGUCAUCUCCGGGAGUGGUUCCGGCUAUUGUCACUCCGGUGUUUCCGGGUCAUAACACAUAGUAUGUGGCUACAACUUGCAGGACAGGAUCUAAAACACACAUAUAUUGGCGACAACAUAAUAGGUUCAGAUCUGAAAUCAUGGCACUCGGGCCCUAGUGACAAGCAUUAAGCAUAGCCAAGUAGUAGCAACUUCAAUCUAGAACAUAGUGGAUACUAGGGAUCAAUCCCCGUCAAAAUUAACUCGAUUACAUGAUAGAUCUCAUCCUACUCAUCACCGCCCAGCGAGCCUACGAAUAGAUUACUCACGAACGAUGAAGAGCUUCAUGGAAUUGGAGAGGGAAGAAGGUUGAUGAUGACGAUGGCCACGAUUUCCCCUCUACGGAGCCCAGAACAGACUCCAGAUCUGCCCUCGAGAUGAAGAAUACGAGGUGGCAGCGCCUCCGUAUCGUUAAACGCGAUGAAUCCAUCUCUCUGUUUUUUUCCGGGCGAGACGGAAUAAAUAGAGCCGAGUUUGGGGGCGGUGGUGCCACCUGGGCCCCACAAGCCCCACGGCGCUGUCUAGGGGGGUGGCCGCGGCCCCGGGGUUUGUGGCCCACUGGCACACCCCCUCCGGCGGAUCUUUGCGGAGGUAUUUUUCUUUAAUUCCAGAAAAAUUCUCCGUAAAUUUUCAGGACAUUCCGAGAACUUUUAUUUCUGCACAAAAACAACAACAUGGCAAUUCUGCUGAAAAUAGUGUUAGUCCGGGUUAGUUCCAUUCAAAUCAUGCAAAUUAGAGUCCAAAACAAGGGCAAAAGAGUUCGGAAAAGUAGAUACGACGGAGACGUAUCAACUCCCCAAGCUUAAAGCCUUGCUUCUCCUCACGGAAUUCAGUUGACAAAUUGAAAGAGACAAAAGGAAAACUUUGACGAACUCUGUUUGAUCUUGUUGUUGCAACUAUGUCUAAGUCAUAACCAGAAUUUCAGCAAGAUCGCAAGCAAACCACAUAAGCAAAUGACAUCUAGAUCUCACGGUAAACUCAUAUCAAUGGCAUAAUCAGCUAGCGAGCAAAUAAUAGUAACUCUCAAACGUCAACACUUCAAUCAAAACAACAUGAAGCAAUACGAAUAGAUGGUAUCUCACUAGCUCUUUAUGAGACCGCAAAACAUAAAUGCAGAGCACCUUCAAAGACCAAGGGCUGACUAAACAUUGUAAUUCAUGGCAAAGAAGAUCCAGUCACAGUCAUAACACAGUUAAAAGCAAAACAUAAAAACAACAGCGGUGCUCUCUAAUUGGUGCUUUUAUAAGAGGAGGAUGACUCAACAAGAACAUAAAUAGACAGGCCCUUCGCAGAGGGAAGCAUUGGUUUGCAGAGGUGCCAGAGCUCAAGCCUUGAAAACAGUGGUAAUAACUUUGGGUGGCAUGCUUUCAUUGCCAACGCAAUGACUAAGAGUUCUCAACAUCUUCCACGCUACACAUGCUAUAGGCGGUUCCCAAACAGAAAAGUAAAGUUUUGACUCCCCCACCACCAAUCAAUCACACUCCACGGCUAGCCAAAUCCUCAAGAACCGUCCAUACCAACAUCAAUCCUAGGGGAGUUUUGUUUGCAAUUAUAUUUUCGAUUUGAGCAUGGAACUCGGAAUUCCAAUUACCUGCCCCUUUCUCGUGAAUGAUAGUGAAUAAACACAUAUCGAGGAUAACACGCCUAGGAUGGAAGAUAUCUAUAGCCCCCUGUCACCACAUGAGCGGUUCGGGCAUGCAAAACAGAUUAUUUCUUGAAGGUUUAGAGAGUGGCACAUGCAAAUUUACUUGGAACGAAGGGUAGAUACCGCAUAUAGGUAGGUACGGUGGACUCAUAUGGAACAACUUUGGGUUUAUGGGAGUGGAUGCACAAGCAGUAUUCCCGUUUAGUACAAGUGAAGGCUAGCAAAAGACUAGGAAGCGACCAACUAGAGAGCGACAAGAGUCAUCAAUAUGCAUUGAGAUUAACUAACAUUGAGUGCAAGCAUGAGCAGGACAUAAAUCACCAUGAACAUGAACAUUAGAGAGGCUAUGUUGAUUUUGUUUCAACUACAUGCAUGAACAUGCGCCAAGUCAAGACACUUGAAUCAUUCAAAGGAGGAUACCAUCCUAUCAUACUACAACACAGUCAUCUCAAAAUUCAUGUGGGCAUCCAAGACAAACCAUUAGAAGCUCCUAGCUAAGUAAGCAUGGCAUAAGCAACUAUGAUAUCUAAGUUGUCGUUGUAAACAUGUUUCCCUCACAACAAAGCUGAAUCAGGCAUGAUGAGCUAGUCAUAUUUACAAAAACAAAAUAGAUCGAGUUCAUACCAGCUUUUCCAGGCUCAGUCACUUCAUCAUAUAUCAUCAUUAUUGCCUUUCACUUGUACGACCGAACGAUGUGAACAAUAAUAAGCAUGCUCGUGCAUUGGACUAAAGCUGGAAUCUGCAGGCAGACACAAAGGAAAAGACAAAGUAAUAUGGCUCUUUGAAAGCUAAACAGGUAUGCAUGCAAGAGCCACUAAACAUUGUAACCAUGGUCUGCUACCUUGACCCAAAGAAAAAGAAAACUAUUUACACGGGAAAGCUCCCAACAAGAAAAAGAAGAAAAAGAAAAUAUUUUUGGUAUUUCUCAAACUAGACAGACACACGAAAAGAAAACUAGAGAAAGAAAAUAAACUAGUAUGGAUGAUAAAGUGGCAAAGUGUGAACACCGGCUAACAAAGUGAAAGCAUAAGCAAGAAUGUAAAGUCGGUGAGAAACACGUACUCCCCCAAGCUUAGGCUUUUUGCCUAAGUUGGUCUACUACCAAGGAGGGAAAUAACCAGCUCCAGGAUACUCUGGAGUGGACUGAGGAUGCCACUGCUGUGUGAGCUCCUGUGGCUCCCAUUGAUAAACGGUGUCUGGUACUCGACUGGUGGCUCGGGCACGGGCACAUGUGGUUGGGCUAAGCCCCAGUAUGCGUAGAUGUUCGAGGGCAUGAUAAUGUACCUGCCUGCAUGAAGAUUGAACAAAGAAGGAGCAGGCAAAGUAAUACUCUCACGAGUACCCUGACUAAACACCAGGUUAUAACUCAUCCUUCUACUUAUAUCUCUAUAAAGAAAGUCAUGGCGAACCAUGUUAUCGUAAUCUAGAUAUCUCUCGGGAAGAAGAAUCUCUUCUUCCUCCUCGAGUCUAAUAGGUAUCUCAAAGUGUAUAGCAAGACGAGUAGCAUAGAUACCUCCAUAGACAACGCCUUUAGAACGGUUCGGGUUCAACCGUUAAGCUACUAUAGCGCCCAAGCUAUAAGUUUUAUCAUUAUCAAGGGCUUCGCGCAAGACCGCAAGAUCUGGGGAACUAAGUGACCCAGAUUUCCCACGGCCAAUCAAACAUUUUCCCACAAAAAGUGAGAAGUACCGAAGCACGGGAAAAUGAAUGCUAGCAGCUCUAGCGCAAGACACUCCUCUCUCCUCUCCUACAGCAAUUGUACCGAUGAAAGCUUCCAAGUCUCGUGGACGAGGUUCGUGAAUAUCCCCAACGUAAGGUAAUUUGCAGACAUUGCAAAAAUCCUGGAGUGACAUCCGCUGGGGGAUAUCAUAAAGUUUGAACUCAACCAUAGGAGGAUUCUUCCUCGGAUAGAAGUUAAAGCUUUGUACGAAGAUAUUAGUGAGGAGGAGGUAUUGCGGAAACUUAUCUUCAACGAAGGCGGUACGGCCUGCGUUUUCCACCAAGUGAUAAAAGUCCUCAUAAAUUCGAGCGGCGCGUAAGAACACGUCGCUUGGCCACUCUCAUGCUCGAACUUCUGCGACUCGAGGGACCAAAUACUUGGGCUUCUUCUCACUCCCAUCAUCCUUGGGGUCACGGCUUGAAGAGCCUCUUAAGAACCUCCUCAUCCUUUCCCUAUCUAUCUCUGAAAAUUUCUGAAAUUUUUAGUGAUUCUAAGGAAAAGUGAACAAGGCUCAACGAAACUCGUAGCAACUACUCCCACAAGUGCCUAGAGGCUAUAUUACGCAUCAAAACUACUUGGGACCAGCUAGAAUUAGCAUGCAAAGCUUAAGAAUAUGGUCACCAAGGCAGCAAAAAUACGCGAAGUAUAAGGCACUAGAGCAAAAACUAAUUGGACCAAUGGAGGAGUCACUUACCAAGGACUAAUUUCCCCAAAACAGUUCGGAGAAUGGUCAUUUGAGCAAAGAGAUCGAAAAUCCCAGCAAGAGGAGCAAGAACACGGGUUUGAGUUGUGAAACGAUUUUUUCUGGAGGUAGGAGAAGCAGAUGAGAGCAAUAAUGAGUGGAGGGGGUGCCUGUGGGCCCCACAAGCCUGGGUGGCGCGGCCAGGGGGGUGCCCGCGCCAUUAGGGCUUGUGGCCCACUGGUGCAGCCCCCAGACAAGCUCUUUGUCUCAGAAUUUUUCAAAAAAUCCAGAAAAAAUCAUACUAGAUUUUCAGGACAUUCAGAGAACUUUUAUUUCUGAGGUACUUUUCUACCGGAUGCUAAAACAGAAAACAGGGAAAACUAAACUAAAUCUAUCAUGUUUCUUCUAAGCAACCUAAAGUGAUAGCUUGGAACAGAGGUUUGUGACUGCUCGAUUCAUCCAUCUCAUGGUCAUCGAAAGAAAUUCGUUAGUGAGGUUCAUCAAGUCUCUUUGACAAACCUUUUCGAAUCGCAAAAAGAGAACGGAUAAUUUCCGAAUAGUCACUAGGUCACCUCAUUGGGGAUGUCAAUCUCCCCAACAAGAAAAUCAUACUUCAUCUUGACACGAGGUAUAGGGCAUUCAAAGCUCCCAAUAAGAAUCGAUAAAGUUUUUUCGAUAGCAUUGAUGCAAUGUACUCGAUAUUGUUUCUUCGGAAAGUGCACCGUAUGCUCAUUACCGUUGACAUGGAAAGUGAGAUUGCCUUUGUUGCAAUCUAUAACAAUGCCUGCAGUGUUUAAAAAGGGUCUUCCGAGGAUGACCGCCAUGGCAUCGUCCUCGAGAAUAUCCAAGAUAACAAAGUCUGUUAAGAUAAUGACAUUAGCAACCACAAUAGGCACAUCCUCGCAAAUGCCGAUAGGGAAAGCAGUUGAUUUGUCCGCCAUUUGCAGAGAGAUUUUAGUGGGUGUCAACUUAUCCAGUUCAAUUCUACGAUAAAGAGAGAGAGGCAUAACACUAACACCGGCUCCAAGAUCGCAUAAAGCAGUCCUAACGUAGUUGCCUUUAAUGGAGCAAAGUAUAGUGGGCACACCAGGAUCACCUAGUUUCUUAGGUGUUCCACCCUUGAAGGUAUAAUUAGCAAGCAUGGUGGAAAUAUCAACCUCAGGUAUCCUCCUCUUAUUAGUCACAAUAUCUUUCAUGUACUUAGCAUACGGAGACAUUUUGAGCAUAUCUGUCAAACGCAUUUGCAGAAAGACAAGUCUAAUCAUUUCAACAAAGCGCUCAAAAUCCUCAUCAUCCUUUUUCAUGGAUGGUUUGGGAGGAAAGGGCAUGGGUUUCUGAACCCAUGGUUCCCUUUCUUUACCGUGCUUCCUAGCAGCGAAGUCAUUCUUAUCAUAUCUCUUAGUCUUAGGCUGUGGGUUCUCAAGAUCAAUAGGUUCAAUAUCCACAUUCUUAUUGUUGCUAGGUUGAGCAUCUUCAUUAAAAUCACUAUUGAUAUUAUCAUUAGGCUCAUGUUCAUCACGAGAUUGUGUUUCAGCAUCAGAGACAGAGACAUCGUUUGGACUCUCAGGGGUAGCAGCAACAGGUUUGCUAGCGUGCAGGUUCCUAUCAUCUUUCUUCUUCUUUCUAGGAUGACUAGGUGCAUCAGUGCUAACUCCUUGAGAAUCUUGUUCAAUUCUCUUCGGAUGAACCUCGGGAUACAAAGGUUCCUGGGUCAUUCUACCGCCUCUAGUAAAGACUCUGACAGAAUUGUCAUUCAACUCAUUGAGCAAGUCAUUCUGAGCUUAAGUACUUGUUCUACCUGAGUAGUAACCAUAGAGGCAUGUUUACUCAGAAGCUUAAGAUCAUUGACAUUUCUGUCCACACAAGCACUUAAAUGACUAAGCAUACGAGCAUUAUGUUCCAAUUGUCCGCUAACAUAACAAUUGAAACUCUGUUGUUUGGCAACAAAGUUCUCAAAUUCUUCCAGGCACAAGCUAGCAUGUUUAUCAAAAGGAAUAUCACUCUCAUCAAACCUACACAGAGAAUUUACUUCUACUACCUGUAUUGGAUUAUCGGGACCAUGGAUCUCUUCGAUAGGUGGUAGAUUUUUGACAUCUUCAGAUUUAAUGCCUUUCUCUCGCAUAGAUUUCUUGGCUUCUUGCAUAUCUUCAGGACUGAGGAAUAAAAUACCUCUUUUCUUUGGAGUUGGCUUAGGAGGUGGUUCGGGAAUAGUCCAAGCAUUCUCAUUGCACAAGAUGUUAUUCAAUAGAAUCUCAGCUUGUUCUAUGGUUCGUUCCCUAAAAACACAACCAGCACAACUAUCUAGGUGGUCUUUGGAAGCAUCGGUAAGUCCAUUAUAGAAGAUAUCAAGUAUUUCAUUCUUCUCAAGAGGGUGAUCAUGCAAAGCAUUGAGUAGCUGGAUGAGCCUCCCCCAAGCUUGUGGGAGACUCUCUUCUUUAGCUUGAGCAAAGUUGUAUAUUUCCUGCAAGGCAGCUUGCUUCUUAUGGGCAGGGAAAUAUUUUUUAGAGAAGUAGUAGACCAUAUCCUGGGGGCUACGCACACAACCAGGAGCAAGAGAAGUGAACCAAGUUUUAGCAUCAUCCUUUAGCGAGAAAGGAAACAGCUUGAGGAUAUAGUAGUGGCGGGUCUUUUACUCACUAGUGAAUAGGGUGGCUAUAUCGUGCAGUUUGGUAAGAUGGGCUACAACCGUUUCACACUCAUAAUCGUGAAAAGGAUCAGAUUCGACCAGAGUGAUUAACUCAGGUUCGAUAGAGAAUUCAUAAUCCUUAUCGGUCACAAAGAUAGGCGAAGUAGCAAACUUCGGUCGUAUUUCAUCCUAGCGUUCAGAGAUUUUUCUUUCCACUUGGGUAGUAGUUUCUCAACAUCAUAGCUAUCCUUACACGCAAGAAAACCCUCAGCUAUCUCUCCCUCCAUAACAUAGAGCUCAAGCAUAAUAGGCAAUUCAGGCAUAGUAGCAGGUUCUACUUCAAUAGUAUCAGCAGUUUCACAAGUAUCCUCACGUCUAGAAGCAACUCUAGCAAUUUGUGCAUCAAUGACACCUAGUUGCAAAGCAGUAUCAAGCAUAGCAUCAUCAGGCAUAGUAUCAAGCAUAGCAUCAUCAGGCAUAGUAUCAAGCAUAGCAUCAUCAGGCAUAGUAUCAAGCAUAGCAUCAUCAGGCAUAGUAUCAAUAAUAGCAUCAUCAUAAGCAUCAUAGGCAGCAGAACUAGCAUCAUCAAGCACAGGCGUCAUAUCAAGAUUUCUAGUAGGAGGCGAUGUCGCAAACUUACUCAAAACUGAAGGUGAAUCAAGUGCAGAGCUAGAUGGCAGUUCCUUGCCUCUCCUCGUAGUGGAAGGCAAGAUUUUAGUUCUUGGAUCUUUCGGAUUCCUCAUAGUUACCAGCAGACGUCAAUCCCAAGUGACUCAAAGAAUAUAGUUGUCCUUCCCUGGCAACGGCGCCAGAAAAUAGUCUUGAUAACCCACAAGUGUAGGGGAUCGCAACAGUUUUCGAGGGUAGAGUAUUCAACCCAAAUUUAUUGAUUCGACACAAAGGGAAGCAAAAGAAUAUUCUCAAGUAUUAGUAGCUGAGUUUGUCAAUUUCAACCACACCUGAAAGAUUAGUGUCUGCAAGCAAAGUAUCAAUAGCAAAGUGGUAUGAUAGCAAGCGUGUCAGAAAAAGAUCUGUUGACGGCAGACUAUUCCUAACUGUUGUAUCAACGGCGACAUUAAAUAGCACGUGGACGGGGAACUAUUCUUUCCCUGCAACAGCUCCAGAAAAGUCGUGCAACAAUUAGCAGUAAAGUAACAGCAGUAGUGACAGCAGUAGCAAGGAACAGCAGUAGUGACAGCAGUAGCAGCAGUAGCAAGGAACAACAGUAGUGACUGCAGUAGCAGCAGUAGAGUAACAGCAGUAGCAGCAAAGUAACGUAGCAAGGACCAGUAGUAGAAGACUCGUAGGCAGUGGAUCGGUGAUGGAUGAGUGUGCCGGAUGUGAUUCAUCAUGUAAUAGCUAUAACACGGAGAGAUAUGUAACUAGCUCCCGUUCGUCGAUCUAAUGUAGGCAUGUAUUCCAUAUGUAGUCAUACGUGCUUAGGGAAAAGAACUUGCAUGAAAUCUAUUGUCCAUCCAUCCCGUGGCAGCGGGGUCCUAAUGGAAACUACAGGAUAUUAAGGUUCUCCUUUUAGUAAAGAACCGGACCAGCGCAUUAACACGUGGGCCCCACAAGCCCUCACGGUGCGGUCUAGGGGGGUGGCCGCGGCCCAGGGGCUUGUGGCCCACUCGCACACCCCCUCCGGUGGAUAUUUGCGCAGGUAUUUUUCUUUAAUUCUAGAAAAUUCUCUGUAAAUUUUCAGGACAUUCCGAGAACUUUUAUUUCUGCACAAAUACAAUAGCAUGGCAAUUCUGCUGAAAACAACAUUAGUCCGGGUUAGUUCCAUUCAAAUCAUGCAAAUUAGAGUCCAAAACAAGGGCAAAAGAGUUCGAAAAAGUAGAUACGACGGAGACGUAUCAACCCCCUUUAGCUGUACGGUGUUCCUAUGACUCAAGAUAGAAGAAAAUGAAACAGAAAGAGUAAAUCUUCAAGCUUCAAAGUCCUCACGGCAAUUUCUUCGGGAUACACCAAAUUCCUCAUAUUCAAAAGUCUUCAUGAGGAAUAGCAAUUUCUUCGCUAUCAAAGUCUUCAGGGAAUGACCAAAGUCUUCACCCGAAGACAUACUUUUUUAGGGGUCGAUAUUCUUCGAAUAACUCAAACUCCUCAGCGACUUAUAGGUCCUAUGCACACCCACAAACAUAUUAGUCUCUCGACCUAUAAGUCUUCAAUCCACCAAAAUCACUAAGGGGCACUAGAUGCACUUACAUGAUCCUCGAACCCCAGGGGUUGCUUGACAUAUACCAAACCCUUAAGGGGACCAUUAAGAAAUGCACUCUUCACAACCAUUUGAUAUAAUUUGAAGUUAUGAUGUGAAGCAAAUGCAAGCAACAUGCGAAUAUAUUCAAGGCGAUCAACGGUACCAAAGGUUUCACCAUAGUCGAUCCCCUCGACUUGGGAGUAGCCUUGUGCUACCAAACUUGCCUUGUUACGAAUGACGACACCAUUUGCAUCUUUCUUAUUCUUAAAUAUCCAAUUGUUUCCAAUGACAUUGUGGUUCUCCAUUGGUCUUUGCAACAAUCGACAUACUUUGUUGUGCUCGAAGUUGUUGAGUUCAUAAUGCAUGGCUUCAACCCUGUCCAUGUCUUCGAGCGCUUCUUGUAACUUUAGGGGUUCAAUGCAAGAAACAAACGCAUGAUAGGCACAAAAGCUUUUUAAUUGUCGGUGAGUGGUUACCCCUUUCAUCAAGCUAUCGUAGACAUUCUCUAACACAUGUGGAUUCUUUAUGAUCUUGGAAGAAUUCUUGGUGGCAUAUCUUCCUCGAUUCUCCUAAGGGGUAAGUUGAGGAGGAACCUUUUUGUGACCUUUACCCCUUUGUGAGCUUGCUCUUGAUCUUGAACAUGCUCUUCAUAUUGAGCUUGCUCGGAGGUGUGAGAUAGAUCAAGGACAUCACUUGGUGAAGCACCAUCACGUGGGUGAUCUUCUCCUUGAUCUUGAUCACAAGGUUGAGGGCCUUCACUUUGUUCUUCAGAAGCGUGUGGGUCUUGCGUAGGCGAUGGUUCCACUUGAUUGGAACAUUGUCCUUCUCCUUCUACCAUAAGGGGUUCCUAAUGGAUAGGAAGUGUCCCACACCCAUUCUUCUUAUGGCUUUGGGAGGAAUUUAAUCACCUACAUCACAAUGACCACUUUGCUCCACUUGGGAGCCAUUAUUCUCAUCAAAAUCCACGUUACNNNNNNNNNNNNNNNNNNNNNNNNNNNNNNNNNNNNNNNNNNNNNNNNNNNNNNNNNNNNNNNNNNNNNNNNNNNNNNNNNNNNNNNNNNNNNNNNNNNNACCUACAGGGCAGGCCUAUGACCCUACCCUAGGACUAUAACCCCAUCAUUAGUCCCCGAAUGGAUUGGGGUUGGAACGACGAAGUGAUGCUUGAAGUUUGGAUCCGACUGAUACGGAUGUAACUUUGGCGUUUCUUGCCUCGAUCCAUUUUAUCUUUUCUGACCAAUGAUCCGAGUGGAAGUAGUUGCGAAACAAACUGUCGGAAACCGAGUGCUUCCGUGGAAUCUUCUGACGUGACCAGUCAACUCACAGCGGCGGAUUUCCCGGGAUCCUCAAAUUUCGGUUAUCGCGCGCUCAGCGGGGAUGACGCCAUCACGCUCGAGUAGCGCCUGACGCCUCGAUUCUCGCACCUUCAUCUUCUCCACUGAUAUCACCGCGGUCGGUCGGUGGACAAGAUUUCGGGGCCACUUGCCAGUGGCCCAGUCGGAACCUUACCUAAAUCCCAGCAGCGAGGGUUUUUUCGUUACGCUUGCUGGACACCUCGCUUUUGCUCUGCUUCCUUCGCCAUCUUCUGCGCCUUCUAAGCUUCUUCCUUCUCCUUCUCCCUCGCGCAUCCGCAGCUUCCGCCAUGACCAAGGGGCAGACUAGUAAGCUAGAGGCACGGAAGAAGAGGGGGAAGGCGGCGGCUCCUGCGCGGAGGCAGCGAACGCUACCGGCGGGGUGGAUCCAGGGGGACUUCCUCCCCUCCACGAUGACGGAGGAGGACUUGCUGGAGCUGGUGGAGCACGGGAUGAUCGCGCACAAGUCAUGGAGGUUGCCGGAGGAGGGUGAGACCGAGCCGGCGCCUCGGGAGGGGGAGCGCGUCCUGCUGCUCAGCCACGUGCAUCGAGGUUCCUCCCUGCCCCCGCACCCUUUCUUCAAAGGCAUAAUGAACCACUUUGGGGCGCAGCUCCACCACUUUCCCCCGAAUGCCAUCGCCCAUCUCUCUGCUUUCGUAGUCUUGUGCGAGUGCUUCAUCGGUUGUCCUCCCCAUUGGGGGCUUUUCAAACAUAUCUUCUCUGCUAGGUCCCAAACUAUCAAACAACUUAAUCAGUCGGAUGAUAAGACUCACCUUCUCCAGCUCUAUGGGGGUUUAGGCUUCCAAAAUAAGAGCAAAAGUAGUUAUCCCGCUCUUCAGCUGAGUGAAUCGGUUAGGAACUGGCAGUCGACAUGGUUCUACUGCCAGGACGUCGCUUGCCCGAAUACCACGAUAGGGCUACCUCCUUUUAGCUUAGAUCGACCAGCUCCGCCUAAGCAGCUCGCGCUCACGAAGGCGGAGAAGAUCCGUAUCCAUCCCCUGGUCGACGCACUCGUAGAUGUCGUCAGAAAGGGAGUCACCGGCAUAGAUUUGCUGGAGGUUUUCCUCGGCCGGCGCAUCCAACCACUGUAGGCCCGAGACUACGCCAUGUGGCAUUACACGGGACCCGAAGACUCCACUCGGACCAACGUCGAGUGCGUGACUUGGCAGACAGUGGCAUCGUGGGUGCUCAAGAUCACAGGCGCGUGUGAGAACCCCAGAGGGUCCCGGUGAGUGAAGGCUUUCCGCGCAGACAACCCUCCUCCGAACGAGGUGAGUACAACUUGUCGAGCGCACAUAACUGUCUUAGAUUUAUCGCUGUCUUGAAUCGCCAUCUGACAUCUGAUGUCACUGACUGUAUUUUAUGCAGAAGUGGACCAAGUGGUUCUCCCCUGUCUCGAACGGGAACCCGGCCGAGGAGGAGGAAGAGGGCAGCCAGGAGGGCAGCAUGGAGAACGUCGAGUACGUCUCCGACAGUGGGGAGAUGGAGGAGGAGUCUGGCGAAGAAGAGGAGGAAGACGAAGAGCAGGACUCGCCACCCCCGCCGCCAGAGCAUCGAACGAAGCGCCGACAUGAACCUGCAGCUCCCUCGGCCCUUCCAGCAUCCUCGAGUGCUCAGCCAACUGCUCCCGUGGUCCUGAGUGCUCGGAGCGCCAAGAGGACCAGGGACGCUGCUGCUGAACCUGCGGGUCAGCCUUCCAUGGUGGCCAAACCGAGCGGAUCUAAACCUCGGAAGGCUUUGCCGCGGAUGAGGAUCAUCGUUCCCGUCACCUCAACGUAAGUGCAUUGUUCUUCUAACUUCUUCUGAUAUUCGAUUAAACUCCUGUUUGAUGGUCGAAUGAAUUUCACUCGACAGGGUUGCCACCUCUGCCACCUCUCCGGCGCGCCAGGGGGAUGAUCCCAUGGACACGGACAAUGUUGUCUCGUCCCAGCCAGGUGCGUCAUAGGGAUUCCGAGAGUUUACAUUAUUGCAUCGCGAAUUCUGUCUUCGGUCUUGCCCUUUUUCUAUGAUCUCACGCCGUUCGGUCGGGUUUCUCUCAGGGGCGAUUUAUGUGGAUGAGGGUGACCAGGGAAGGUCUGAGCAAGCUGCGGUGCUUGUCCUUGAGGCUUCUCCUCUAGUUACUGCUCUCGCCGUGGACGUGCCGCCGACUGAGGCGAUGCCGUCGACUGAAACGGCGCUGGUUACUGCUGAAUCGACUGGAGCGGGCCUUGGGAUGCCAAAGGAGCCUUCAACGAUGCCAGGCCCGUGGAACAUCGUGUACAAUCUGCAGAACCUCCCAGAAGACCAGGUGGGAGCAGCCAAGGGGGCCAUGGUGCAGGCGGAGCUAAUGGCGGGAGAAGCCAAGAAGGCGUACGACUCCAUCGCGUCCCUGUACCAGCGAAGCUUGGAACUGCGGGACGAUAUCCGAGUAAGUGGGCUAGUAAGUAUUUACUUUUCUCUUGUAACCCACUGGGUGUGUUCGGAUAUCGUAUGAUUUUUGCAAUGGGUUCACUCUUAGUGAACCUAGUGGGUGUAGUCCUCGAGACUUCUGUCGAGUGCUUGCACCGGCAGUUGUCUUUAUACACAUUGUCUUUGACUUGAUCAGAUCACAAAUUAAUCUGUUCGAAUGCUGACAGUUGGGGCACUCGGAGUGUACCUACUGGAUGAGUCCCCGAGAGUAAUUUUACUCAGGUCGGGUAGUAGUAGCCUCACAGGCUUAGGUGUUGUCAUGUAGCUCAAUAGGGCGGACCUGUUUGAGUUUCAUGCCAGUGGGGUCACUCUCAGUGAACCCACUGGGUGUAGUCCCCGAGACCGCUGUCGACUGCUUGCGUCGGCAGGGGUCUGAAGAACUUAGACUUUUUAUUGUUGGAUUUGGCUGAUCGUCUCUUGGCGUUGGCUGGCAGAAAACUUGCGAGAUGGGGACGGCGUACGAGACUCUCAGGGCUGAAAAGGUUCAGUUUGCUGGUGAACUGGAUGCGGCACUGGUUGCCAUGGCUGGUAUGAAGGAUGUUCUGGCGGAACAAGAGAUGUCUUUGGAGCAGGCUCGUGAAGCGUACAAGGCGUUGACUGCUGAAGUGGAGAAAAUGAAGGCGCAGAGGUCCGGGCUAAUGGGACAAAUCGAUGUGCUGAACAAGCGGUGUAUAGCGCAGGAAAAAUACGUCAGUGACUGGGCCCAGCAGAUGAUAACGCGUCUGGGUGGUAAGUCCUGUUUUUCUGAGUGCGUGUGGUAUGAGAUUUUCACUCGGCGCUUAUUAUUUGCUCGUCCUGUGUUUGCAGAUUUUUGCAUGGACGCUGAGGCUGAAGCAGCUGACGUGGAGCGGUCGAUGCGUGAGAAUAUUCCACUCGGGGAGGACGCCAAUUGAGAUCUGCUCCGAGCGCACAUUCGCUUGGGCAAAGUUGGGCCUUUCAUCGGUCGACUGAGAGAAGUCGUCGGUCGGAUUGACAAGGAGCUUUGGCCUGAGGACGAGUCUCGGCAUGAGAUGGAAGGCUUGAUGACACGGCUGGAGGAGGUCCCAAACCGAGUGCAGUCAUGGAAGAAAUCUGCGGCUCGCUGUGGCGCAGACGUUACUCUGUCUCUUGUCCGAGUGCAUUGCAAGGAGGUGCGCGAAGAGAAGCUAAAAAUGUUGCAGGUCGCCAACACGAAGAAACUUCGGUUCGAAGACUCCAUGGAAACCUUCCUUGAGAGCGCCACUCGCAUCGCCGACGGCAUCGAUCUGGACACAUUCGUAGAGCCUGCCAGUCCCGACGGUGUUUGAGAAAACUUUAUCCUCGGUAUGCCGAGUGUUGAUUUGUAAGAAACUUUGGCCACUGCUGUUGGCCGUCACAUUCUUGGUUCGGUGUGGAUAAGCUUGAUCCACACCGGGCCAACUAUCUUUAUGUGAACUUUGAAUUUGAAUCGAAUCUUUUGCUCUUCUUUUGCCAAAGAGUUGUUGAGACGAUUUUGACUCGUGUUUUUGUUUGGCGUUUCUUGGUGAAUCCAAAGGCAAACAUGCGUUGUCUUGACAUCUGCAUGAGCCUCACUCAGGGUCUUGUAAAAUCUCCGAGUGGAUCUGUAGGAUCACCAAGUGGAUCUGUAGGAUCACCGAGUGUAUUUGUAGGACACACUCGAAGGUCAUAGAAUACUUGGGCGAUACGGGAUCGCAGCGAAGUUGUCGAGUGCGACUAUCAGGUCGCACUCGGGGUGAGUUGUUACUCAUGUAGUUGUCAGUUGUUUUGACAUCCACAUGAGCCUCGAUGAGGUUCUGCUACUCAUGUAAUUGUCAGUUGUUUUGACAUCCACAUGAGCCUCAAUGAGGUUCUGCUACUCAUGUAAUUAUCAGUUGUUUUGACAUCCACAUGAGCCUCAAUGAGGUUCUGUUGAGUCCCCGAGUGUAUCUGUAGGACACAGUCGAAGGCAUCUGAGUGCUUAGGCGAUUCGUUAUCGCGACUAAGUCUCCGAGUGUGACGUUAAGUGCACACUCGGAGAAAGUUGAUACUUAGGCGAUUCUGGAUCGCAGCUUAGUCCUCGAGUGCGACGUUAAGUGAACACUCGAAGAAAGUUAAUACUUAGGCGAUUCUGGAUCGCAGCUAUGUCCCCGAGUGUGACGUUAAGUGCGCACUCGGAGAAAGUUAAUUCGUAGGCGAUUCUGGAUCGCAGCUAAGUCCUCGAGUGUGACGUUAAGUGCNNNNNNNNNNNNNNNNNNNNNNNNNNNNNNNNNNNNNNNNNNNNNNNNNNNNNNNNNNNNNNNNNNNNNNNNNNNNNNNNNNNNNNNNNNNNNNNNNNNNGGAAUAUGCUAAUACACGACACUAUUUUUUCGUCGCUACAUCGUCACGGUUUUUCAUUUACGACGAUCUCACGAUGAAAAACCAAGCGUCGAAAACGGAGCGUCAGAAAUGAACAAUAGCGAUGUUUUGAUCAAAAUCGUCGUAACUUUUACGACGAUUCCUAGAUUGUCGUAACCUUUACGACGAUCCUAAAUCGUCGUUGGCAAUCUAACCCAGUCCUACGUGGCAGUCCUACGUGGCAAAAUUACGACGAAAUCAAAACAUCAUAGUUGAAAUCAGCCCAACCCACUUCAAUUGAUCACAUGGGAUGGUUUUAUUUUUUUUUGGGCUUUUUCUUAUUGGGCCUUAGCCUAUUUACACACACUUCUAGUAUUUUUUCCGAAUUUUUUUUAUCAUUAUAAUUUGGGCCAUGGCCUUUUAGUGCCCAAAUACAUUUGGUCCGGUUUCAGUUUUGGCCCUUUUUCAUUUUUGAAUUCAGCAACUUUUUGUUCCAGAACUUGGUUCCAUUUCUAUUUGUUGGGCCUUUUUCAACCCAAUUAUUUGUCCAAUAUUAAAUCCAACACUAUUUCAUAUUCAAAUCAAGAAAACUCCAAAUCGAAUUAAAAUCAUCCAUUAUAUAACAUCACAAAAUACCUCUCCCAGGUUUACAUAACACAAUAACUCAUCUCAUGAAUACAUUUCCUUACACAGGAAUAUAGCAAGAACGAAUAGAAUUGCACAAUAGAACAAUGCCACAUCUGUUACAAUUCCAACAAUACAAUGGACUUCAUUCCACUCUCCUAUGAGACAUGCUCGAGAUGCGACAACUUGUCAUCCUACAAGAACAUUACACUGCACAUGAAUCAAUAAAAGGAAAUAAAUAUAAAAAAUAUUAGAAAUGAAAAGAUUUGUGUUCAUCCCGAAGAUGAUGUAAAAAGAAAUGCGAACAAAAGUGAGAGAGACAUGCACUUAGUUUCCACUCCAUUUUCAUCCCUAGUGCUAGUGCAUCAUUAUUCUUAGAGGUUGUGUAAAUUAAAGCAGUGUGAAGUAUGUGUAAUAUGUACUUUAGGAACCUUCCGGCAUGCCGCAUCUCACUAAAUUAUUGUUGAUGGUAGCUUUUUGGAUCAACAAGCUGCUACAUAUAGUGAGCUUGGGUUACAUUUAUUACACUAGUUCUAAAAAGAUGGAUAAGAAUACUGGCAAAAUAUAAUACUCCUACUGCACAUAUAGUUAAAUAACAUUUGUGGAGUAAGUGUUAGCAACAGUUUAGCUAAGAAAAAGGAAGUGAGCUUCGUGGGUGGUGCUGGAAACGGUAACAGAUUCAGCUGUCAACAUACAUGGACAAAGAACAAGUAGCACCUAGAACUUAGAAGGAAAGUCAGAAUAUAAAUACAUACAUAGUACAUGGGAAUAAUAUACGUACGAGGGAGAGAGGUUGGUCAAUCUACGCUUUCACUAUACGCAGACGGAAUACCAUUCUAACUGAUGACAUUAUUUUAAAAAAAUCAUGUCUAGCUACAGUCACAACUUGCCGAUUAUUUAAAAAAAAUCAUGUCUAGCUACCGUCACAGCUUGCCACACAACGUGCUCCGCGAAGAAGUGAGCGCUCUCGCAAAAAUCGAUGUAUGAUUACUCAAAAUCUCAAAUGAAAGGAUUCAAGCUUUCUUGCUGGUGCAGCCACAACAUCAACUCGACAUCGAUGUAUUAUCACUCAAAAUCCCAGAUGUAAGGAUUCAAAGCCAUAGCUGGUCCAUCCAUGGCAUCAACUCAGAACCGGAAAAUGAAUGUUGUGUGCAGGAGUUGGAAUGUACCAAGUGCACAAGCUCAUAUCUAUGUAUGUUGCUAUGGAACCAAGGUAAAAUCAUGAAUGUGUUUGUUCAGCUGUGGUAUUACCUCGAUAGAUGUGGCGGAACUUCCACUCGGUGCCGUGCAAAUCCUUGGCGACCAGCUCCUGAGAGGGCCGCUGCUGGUUGUAGUUCUGCGUUCCUGGAACCAAACCAGAGAGCUUGAGCAAACAAGUUGACUGAAAGCGCAAUGGCAAAAAGAGCAUAUUCAGCCCAGUAAUUUGACAGGAAGUAAUUGUUCUUAUCAUGGGUUCUCAACUAACACUAUGUUUACCAGAUAAGGUAUAAAAGAACAUUGAUAAUGAUUUCCCCAAUGCCACCAGUCUUAAUAAGUACACCUCACAAACAGGGAAAUUAUUGUAUUGAUUUUUCAUCUUUCAUGCAUACAAAAGUUAUAAACAGGAAGGGUUGUAACAUUGUCAUCAUGUAACUCAAAAAUAAAAUUUUCUCAGUACUAUAUGUUCAUUAUAGCUAUACCUAUGCAUAUGAAAUUGUGUGCACGUGCCACAAAAAGGCUACUUCAGCAGUUAAGAACAACAAAUUAGAAGAAAUUUGCUAUAUAUAUAGGGUUAAUUAAAAUAAUAGGUAUGUUUCCUUUAAAAGAAGUAUAUGUUUUAACAGUAGGAACAAAAACUGUUGGUUAUGUACAUUCAUUGCAAACAGACCUAUAAAGAAGAAGAGAAACCGCUACUGUGCUUCAAUCAUCAAUCCAACAUUGCAGACACACCUAGGAAGCGCUAAAUUGUUAAUAGGAUUCUUCCUUGCACGUUUAUGUUGGUUAGCUCGACUUCAGGUUACUUCCUAAGUGUGCGGGCCUAUGAAACCUCAUUUCAAUUCAUUUCAUUUUGGCUUUUAGCCCCUCCAUGUGCAUUGGAAUUAUUUGCAGAGCGUACUAGGUUGACGACUUAUGUCCUGCUCAAUGCAAUCCUGUCGAAUUAUGUUCAAUACUAGCACCAUUGGCAGGAUAUUUUUGCUGCAGGUACACUACUAGUCCUGAAGCUAACUAUAACUGGAAAAUCCCACUGAAUUCGAUCGAUUUAGCCUUAUUUUAACUAGGGGUGCAAAGCAUGGUGACUCUUUAGGAAAUGCAAAUGCUUAUGAUUAUCCUCCAGUAUGAUGCAUUUUGAAGUGCCAUUAGUUUCACACACAUGCUUGGUCUAUGGGUUCAGAUUUUAAUUUUAGAUGCAUCACAAUAUAUAAGCCAGCGAAAAUUGAUUUAAUAAUUGGAUUACUAUUGAUGGCAAGAAUUCCAUUAUCUCUGCAGAAACCCUCUGGAUCAGACCAAAGACGGUCACACACACCAUUAUGAGGCACCUUUCUAUUUGCGAUCUAUUAUUCCGAUCCGUUGGGCGCACAUGAUAAUAACAUAAUAGAAAUCGAAUGCAUGAACUACAAAAUGUAACACUGGAGAGUAAUUUAGCCGAUCUAGUGUUGUAAUAGCAAGGGACCAUGGACAUUGAAAAUUUUGUUCUCGAUAAGUGCAGACAAACUGAAAAUAACAAAUACAUCCGCUCUUGUAUAUUAGGAUUUUAGUUCAAAGAAAUAAAGUAGCAGCCUCAUAGCAUUACCACAUGCAAUAUAAAAGCAACAUAGAAAUAUUACCUUAAAUAGUCGAAUAUUUCUGUGCAACAUCUCCACACAUUCACCGAGCCGUAUUUACGAAGACACUCAUCAUAGACGCCAAAAACCUGCACUAAUGCAUGAGUUAAAACAAUAAAUGACAACUAUCGUAACACUACUAAGAAAUAUCCAACUUGAGAAAGGUUCCUCACUUGUCUGAUCUGCCUGCUAAUGAUUUCCUCGUAUUAAAAUACGAUCUGGGUACCUAACCCUGGAGACAAUUUGAUCGUAACGGUUAGAUUAAAUGGCACAUAAUGUAACUUUAAGGAGAACAACUCAAAACUGAUCAGGACAAUCAGUCUUUCUAGUACAGUGAAAACAUGGCAUUGACUGUCCUAGGACGCAUCCCUCUAUGGUUUCCAUAGGAGAAAACAGUUGUAGACUUGGAAAGGCAAAGUAUUAUGUAAACAUCAGCAAGAGAAUGGAAAAAUGGCAGUAUUAGUCAUUCAUGUAUGCAGAUAUGUCAAGAUAUGUGCAGAUUUGCAUAUACCUUAUAUGGUUAUACCAGUCCAUCAAUGUGACAAUAUAGAGACAGAAAACAAACCAUGUGUGUGACCUAUGGCUGAUAUUACAAUCAGGAUGUAACAGAUACAUGCAA